AUAGACAAAUCGAGUCCCUUAUUUUAUUAUUCAUAUCCAUAAAAAGUAACCACUACGCUAGUCCCCCGAACUUAGCAUAAGACGGUAAUUUAAAAAAAGAAAAAAAAAAGAACGUUUCUAGACACCAAAACAAAAGCAAAACAAGCACAAAGCGAGACAUACAAACAAAUUUUAUGCUACUGCAUUCAUGCAGAAGCCAUCAACUGUUCACGACGAAGUUUGACAGCAACCGAUAGUUCAUCCUGAUUAGGAAGAUUUUCUUCAAUCACAGGGACUUGCUUGAAAGUUUCAAGCCAGGCAUGCAAGCGAGGGAAUUUGUGUGAUUCAAAUAGUUUAGCUCCCACUGCAUCUUCAAUGACUUGCAACCAAUAAACAAUUGAACCAAACGCUAGGUCCACUAAGCCAAUAUUGUCUCCAUUGAAAAAUUUCUUCUCUCCCAAGCCAUGCUCUUCAAUGGUUUGUAGCAUUUCCAAGGCUUCCUUCAUUGUGUUUUGUAGUUCUUGUCCAGUGCUUCGAAACAUUUUCCAAACAGCAACACCCUGCCACAAAUAUUUUACAUCUGAUUUUAUCACCGACAUGAUUAAUUAAUAAUAUGCAUAUAAAAGUGAAAUAUCGUUAGACAAUAUGCACACGUGUCACAAGAACCUUUAAUUAGAGGUUUAAUAAGUUAAUUAAGAGAGUUCAACCACUGAGUUGUAAAAUCUGUCAUUAGCUAGUAAAUUCACUUUUUCCCAAUGUUUCAAAAGUCAUCAAAAUUCACCGUCAAGUUAAAAACGGUUAUGUUAACUUUAACUUAUUACAUCUUUUCAUAUUUAAUGAUAAAACAGUGAAGGCACCAGAAAUUGAAAGUUUAGAGAACUUUUUACAAAUAAAUAUGAAGGAGACCCCUGGGUGGCUGGGCUCGACUGGCUAUGAAUUCACUUCCGCCAUCACCCGAGUUCGAGUAUAUAUGGAGAGUAAGAUUUAGUGUUUGGUGGGUGGGUUUCAUUAUCCUCGUCACCUAAUCUAGAUCUUAAAAUAAAAAAAUAAAAAAAUAAAAAAAUAAAUUUGAAAAGAAUGAACUUAAUUACAAACGUGUUUGCUAGUGUUGUGAGCAAACCUUGUCUUCGGCGAAUUUAAUCCAGAAUCGAGCAAGAGCUCUAUCAUAAGGAUUGUUUGGCAUCAAGGGAUUCUGUGGCCACGUCUCUUCGAUGUAUUCGAGAAUAACCAUGGACUCACAAACUGGUUUUCCGCCAUGGACAAGCACUGGGAUCUUCUUGUGAACUGGAUUGUACUUCAAAAGCGAAGCACUUUUGUUUGAGAGAUCUUCUGCAACAAAUUCAUAUGGCACGCCUUUCAAUUUCAGAGCCCAAAUCACCCUGUAAACAAAUGGACUCGGCAGUACUGCCCCAUGAAGCUUCACUUCAGCCAUGAUAAUUCUUAGAUUGAAUUUGAAUAUCAGGUUUUUUGGUCGAUCCUGAGUAUAGCUGAUAACUCAUUACACAUGUUUCUGAAUUUAUAGUGAUUUAUGGAAUGCGCUUUCUUGAGCAGAAAGCUUCGAUUUCCCACUAAUAAAACGAUUAAUUAAUGAUGAAUUCAAAGAACUAGUACGAUGACUUUAAUUAAAUAUUUUUUUACGUUGUGUGCGAGUUAUGUCGGCAUUUCGAGGUUAAUUUAAAAGAUAUUAUUUUCUUCUGAUCUAAAUUUUUAUAUAAAAAUAUAGUUAUUAAAUAGAAAUAAAAUAUAAAAUAAAUAUUGACUGUAUAUAAAUAAAAAAUUCAUACAUGUUAAAAAGAUUUUUUAAAACUCAAAUAAAUGGAUCCAAUUCCUAAUUUUAAAGGCUAGCCAAUGAGAUCAUUGAUUUGGUCAACCAGUCAGAGACAACCAUUCAAUAAUUAGUCAAAAUUUUGCCAUUUAUUUUACAUUUAAGACUUUUGCGUCAUGCAUGAUGAUCAAUUGAUCAUGGAUCAAUUAGUCAACAAGACAUUUGCCUUUUGUGAAUGUGUUCACAUUGGACGCAAAUAUAAUUUGUUAUAAAAAAAUUGGACUAAAUUACAAUUUUUUUUUAAUAAUACACCUGAUCCUAGAGGACCUGUUAUUUAGUUCGUGAAUCUUAUAACAGGAUCCAUGAUUAUUAUUUUUUAAAUCUUAUGGGUCCCCUAUUAUUUAAGGGAAAUUUAUGAAAAUAAUCAUGAAUAUUUUGUUAUUUUCACAACUAACCCUCUCAACUUUUUUCUAUCAACAUUAGCCAAACACAAGUCUUUCUUCCCAAAUUACCCUUCUUUACAGACCAAAAGCAACAAUCUUUCUCCCAUAUCGUCAAACCAAACGCAGCUUAAUCAUCAACCAACGGCGACGGCAAAAGACAACGGUAAAAGUGAAAUCCGAUCAUAAUCUAUCCGAAUCCAACACUAAUCGGCAUCACUUAAUAGUAUGAGUUAUUUUCUGAACUUGCUGAACUGAGUCGUGGGUGAAUCUGGCGACAGGCAACCUGUCGCACCAAGAGUUGGUGCGACAGGCACCUGUCGCACCUUGCUUGGUGCAACAGGCACCAAUUAAAAAAAAAAACAAACUUGAGAAUUAUGUAUGACGUGAGCCCAUAGCCAGUUGAACCCAAUUUUCACUUUCCAAUAUUAUAUGUGUUGAACGAACUUUAUGUGUAAGAGGCCCCACGCGAUUUCAUGUUAGUCUCAGAGGGUUUAUAGUUAUAUACCAUGGCUUCUUUAUCAAUCAACACAUGCAUGUAAAGAGAGAUUUGAAAAAACAAGAGUCAGUUUGAUAGAGAGUCUAGUGUUUCUUAAAAAUUAGCAAAACAAAUGUCAGUUGAUAGCCAAUGCAACAAAGAAGCCGUAAUUUUUGGAAACCGCGUAAUCAUUUUUUUUGUAAUAUUUGUUCGAUUUACAUUUUCAAAGUAACUAAACCCUCUGAGUUCAAGCUCACGCCAUUCUUGAACCAUCGCACAACAGCAACACAUGAGAUGAGUUAAGAAGUCAUCGCACGAACCGCCCUGCAAAAUAGAUUUAAGUCGAGAGGUUCUUUCAUUUUUAAUCAUCAUAAUCGAGGCCUCAGAAUUCACCUAAAAUGGGGAAGAAGGCACCUGAAUGUUGAAAGUUUCUCGCAAUUUUGUCCUUAUGCAACAGCUAUAACAGCAACAUCCGCAGAAGAUAAAAUAUGCCAUGAGAGUAUUGAUUGCUUGCUCACGAGCUGUAGCAACAAUUGAACAGGCAGCUUCAUCAGAAUCUUGUUGGAUUUACACUACUACAUUGACAAUUGCAUAAUGAUACUCUAUCCGCUUACAUAUUUUCCCUUCUGUCACUGCAUUAGCUAUCUUUGAAAAUGUUCCACAGGGAUAUAUGCAAGUCUUCAAGCCUGACUCUUGUUUUUUCUGACAUUUGCAGAGGGUAUUACAGGUACUCCAAAAAAUUGGUGCGACAGGCGCGCGCCUGUCGCCCCAAAGCUGGUGCGACAGCGGGGCGCGCAUGGGCGCGCGCUGCUGUCCAGCGAUGGGCGCGCGCGCGCGCCCUGCCCCCCUCCCUCCCCACCCCCAAAAUUAAGCCACAACACUCCAAAAUCGAAAAACAAUACUCCCAAACACCACCAACCACCACAAACAUCACCACCACCACCAUUAUUCUCAAGGUAUAACUAUUAUUAUUCUAAAAUCUCAUUUUAAAUUAAUGAAAAUAAAAAAAAUAACUAACCUAGGUUUUGUUGAAGGUUGUAGAUCGUAGAUCGGAUGCCGGUGAGAGAUGGAGCCGCCGCCGACGAGGGUUGAUGUCGCCGCCGAUGAUGGGAGUUGGAUCGGUUUGGGAGAGAUGAGUGAAAGGGAGUGUUGGGGGAGAGAUGAGGGAGGGGUAUUUUGGUCUCAAAAGUUAUUUUAUGGCUAAUGUUGAUAGAAAUAUUUUUGGGGGGUUAAGAUGAAAAAAAGCAAAAAAUUUUUGGUUAUUACUGUAAAUUUCCCAUUAUUUAAUUUGUGGAAUUGACGGAGGUAACUUGCAGUUUCAUUUUUGUAAUUUACAGCUUUCAAUAAAUUCAGAUAAUAUUAGGCAGUAAAAGUCGGCCAGGUUGGAGGAGUAGAUCUAUAAAAUUUGCUAGCACUUUGCACUAUCUGUUUGGGCCUUGGGGCCCAGAAACACACAUAUAUAUCAUCCACUUUUUAUUUAACGCUGGGUUUUUAUUACCCAUAAUAGUUUCUCUUUGUACAUCCACUUUUUAAUAAAAAAAUUUAUUGUCAAGAUAACUUUUUAUUAAUUACUUCACUAAUCCUUCUUUUUUUUUUGGCCAAUUUCUCUUUCGCAUCCGACAAAAUUUAAUUCACAUCAUGUGCUGGUAUGAUUGUAAAUAAAUUUGAAGUUAUCUCUCACAAGUUGUUCAAAAAUACAUAGACAUAUCAUGUGUAUAGAACUAAAGAACAAUAGCAACCCACUAUCCUCUAGGCGAUCGCUGCUAUUAGGACGGCAAAAUUUGCCGUCAAUAUGUAAAUUUUGUAGAUUGCAGGUAAAUUUGGUAUUUUAAAUUUAAGUUCAUUGCAGGUUACAAAUGGAUUCAGUAUUGAGAAAAAAAUCUGGCGGGUGUUUGCCGACCCACAUUUUUUUUAAUUAUUUGUGUUUUUAAUUUUAAUCACAAAGAUUGUCUUAAAAAAAUUUAAUCAUAAAAAUAUAAUAGUUAAAGUUAUUACUCUAAUCUUUCAAAUUCCUAAACCUAACCUAACUCAUUACAGUUACACACCCUACUCCUUCAAGUAUGUAUGAAUGUAAAUGUAUAGCUGUAUACACACGCACACACACAAAAAAUAAGCUUUUAAUAAGUAGAUUUAGUAUUUUUCAAGUUUAAUAUUAAUGAUAUUUUAAUUUAAUUUAAUUACUUUUGUUUGUUUCGCUUUAAUGACUUGAACUUAGUGAUUGCUGGCUAAGAUUGAAUUUUUAUUUGUCUAAUUAAUGGUCAAUAGUUGUCCAAAAUAUAUUUGUUAAUAUUGUUAACAAUACUUGUAUAUUAACUAAAAGAUAGAGCAAGGCAUUAAUCUUAGUAAUGAUUAUUUGCCUACAACAAAAUUAUUUUGUGUUAGAAUGAUAUAUUUUUUGUAUUUGUUUUAAUAUUGAAACUUUAAUUUCUCUUUUACAUUGAUAAAAUCUAAAAUUGAGUAAUUUAUGUAGAUUUUUUAGGUUGCUACUAUAAAAUUAUAUUUUGAAUUAUGUAAUUCAAAUUAUUAGAUAUAAUUUUUUUUAAUAUUUGUGAUUUUAAAUAUAAAUAUCUACAAAAAAAAAACCGCCUGCGUGUUGUGGAUGGAUUUACUAAUUAUUAAAAAUUAUAGCGAACGAACUUAAAAAAAAAAAAAAAAAAAGGCAACUGGUUACUGGCCAGUUUAAUAAUGACAAACCCAUAAUAAGCGAUACUCAUUACCAUCAGCAGCUUCUAUUACGGAGGGCCGGGGGCGGUCUUGAAUUGUUAGAAGUUGCAACAUUAAUUAGCAAAAUUUUCAGCGGCAUCCCUGAAGUAUAGCAUAGAAUUAGAUAUAUCCCCUUGUUUUCAAAAAGUUAGUCUCUGAUACCCAUGUUGUUUACUUAAUUUUUUUUUUCCAUUUCAAUUGGAUAUACAACUUCGUAAUGUUGCGCCUUGUAAAAUGUAUGCUUAAAAUGCGUGCUUCUUAUUUUUUAUAUACUGCUAAGAGAAGUUGAGAAUAGAAAUAUAUAAAAUGGAGUCUCAUUUAUUAAUUAUUUAUAUCCACUAAAUAGCUCUUUGAAGCUCACUUCAAUAGUAAAAUUAAUUAAACAAAAUAGAAAGAAUAUUUUUAACACCAGUACAAAAACAUAACAAGUGUAAAAGAAGACUCACAAACUUAUUUUAUGAUAUUACAUUCACACAAGUACCACCAAUGUUUUCCGACCACGUUCGAAAGAGAUCACCAGCUCACGCUGAUUUGGAAGAUUUUCUUUAAGUAUAUAAGUUAAAGUUAUUACUCUAGUCUUCAAAAUUCUUAAACCUAAUCUAACUCAUUACAGCUGCAUGCCUUACUCCUAGUAUAUGCAUGCCUUGCUCCUUCUAGUAUCCGUAUGUAUUUUAAGAUGGAUACAUUAACUUUUUAAUAAGUAAAAUUUUGUACUUUUCAAGCUUAAUAUGAAUGAUAUUUUAUUUUAAUUUAAUUACUUUGAAAUAUUUUGCUUUAAUGACUUGAACAUAUAGAUUGUUUGCUAAAGUUAAAUUUUUCUUUGUCUAAUUAAUUGGUGAUAAGAGUUGUAUAAAAUUUACUUAAAAUUAUGAUAAGAGCUUAUGAGAUUAAAUAAGUACUUAUAACCAUUAAAUAAAUCUUACCAAACAAACACUUAGUAAUAACAAAUCUGCAGCAGCCAAUACCCAUUACCAUCCCCAGCUGCUAUAAUGCAAGGACACGGGCGGUCUUAAUUGUUAGAAGGUGCAAAAUUAAUUAGCAAAAUGUUCAGCGGCAUCCUUGAAUUUUAGCAUAGAAUUAUAUAUAUCCCCUAGUUUUCAAAAUUAAUUUUUGAUUUCCCUGUAUAUAUAUAUAUAUAUAUAUAUAUAUAUUUCAAUUGGAUAUAUAACUUUGUAAUGUUGCGCCUUAUAAAAAUGAAUGCUUAAAAUGCAUGCUUAUUACUUUUUAUAUGAUGUUAAGAGAAACUGAGAAUAGAAAUAUGUAAAAUGGAGUUUCAUUUAUUAAUUAUUUAUAUUCAUUAAAUAGCACCCAACAUGGAGUUUGUCUCAAUAGUAAAAUUAAUUAAACAAAGUAGAAGGAUCUGUUUUAGCAACAGUACAAAAAUAAAACAAGCACAAAGUGAGAAUCACAAACUUAUUUUAUGAUAUUACAUUCACGCAGAUGUCACCAAUGUUUCCCGACGACGUUUGAAAGCGAUCACCAUCUCAUGCUGAUUUGGAAGAUUUUCUUUAAUUACAGGGAAUUUCCUGAAAUUUUCAACCACUCAUGCAAGCUUGGGAAUUUGUGAGAUUCAAAUAGUUUCACUCCCAUUACAAUUUGUGAGAUUCAGAUAGGGUCCCACCUAACCCCACUUUUUUGGUGGUUAAAAAAAAAAUCAGGGAUCAAACCUAGGUCAUCAAGGUGAAACAUCAAAUAGGUUGUAAAUUUAACAUAUGAAUGUAAAAGCUUAACAAAACAUUUGAUGAAGUUGCUUCACAACAUAGAAAUACAAGCAAAAAGAGAUGCUAAACAACACAAAAAUUUGAUUGGGGGGGAGUAUUGUUCAUGCUAGCAUAAUAAUGAGGUGCCUGAGAAUACCUAAGACUUUCUUGAUAAAUAAUAUCAUCUAAAAGGUUAGGAAUCACAUAUGAUUGUCCACGUAUGAACAAAUAGGGAUGGCAAAAGUCCUAGUUGGGUUCGGGUUUGGGGUUGCCCGGGACCGACCCGCAUGAUACACAUAGCUGUCUGGACCCGGACCGUGCCCAGAUUUUUCAUAUGCGGGCCGGAUUAAGCCCGACACUAUCCGAGCACGGAUUUUUUUAUCCGGGUUUCCUCUGCCCAUAUAAAUUGAAUUAAAAGGGAAGAAAUCCUGUAAUAAAUUAUUACAACAUCUUAAUUAUUUCAAUCUACUUUGUAAAUUUGAAGUAAAUAAAAUUCAUUCAAUCUCUUCCUAAAUUCAUUCAUUUCAAUCUCCAUCAAAAACUUAAAUUAAGUAGCAUAAUAAUUACAAUUGACAAAUAAAAUACCAACUAUCAAUAUAAUAUAUGAAAAUUUUAAAAUAUCAAACAACAAAGAACAAACUAACAAGACGGUUGCUGCACAAACAUGGCUAUGAUGUGGAGGUGUUGUGCACGGUGGGUCACGGACCAAAUCUAAGAAGUGGGAAAAGAGAGAGAGAAAAAAGAAGAAACAAGAAUAAGAAUAAGAAAAUAUUUCUAUUAAUUUAUUCUUGGAUUGAGAUUUAAGGUUUCUUUGUGCGUUUGAAAAGGAGGGGUGAGGGUUGUUGCUGCUGGGCGUUGGCUACUUGGCUUGGAGAGUUGAAGAUGAGGGAGUUGACUUGGAGUGUUGAAGGGGAGGGAGCGGCGGCUUUGGGAGUGUAAGUUUAUGAGAGUUUUAGGGUUUGUAAAUGUAAUGUGAUAUAUAUAUUUUUAUUUUAUUUUUUAAAAUUAAAAAAUUUUAACCGGGCGUUGAUCCGGGUUCUGGGUUUUUGGGGUUCUGCCCGGAUCCGUGCCCGGAAUUAUCCGGGUAUUAAUUUCCAAAACCCGGAACCGGUUUCUUUUUUAAUACGGGCCGGGUAAAACCCAGACCGUAUGAGCUGGGUCCGGUCCGGAUCCAGACCGGGCGGAUUUUUUUGCCACCUCUAUGAACAAACCUUGCUCAAAAUGUGAAAUGUGUUAAGAUUUUCAAACAUUUAAAUUAAUAAUUAAUAAUUUCAGACAAAGGAUACUUAGAGACCCUAAAGUUCACUAAUUUUAUGUUAUGACUCAUUGUCUCUCUCAACAAUUUAAUUUCUAGAUUAUUUGGCUCCUAUCUAUUAAAAGACAACACCGUUACUAAAAUUAUAAAUUAUAACAGUUAAACCUAAACCUACAUCGUUUAGCAAUUUACAAAAGAAAAAAUAUAUAACAAAAGCCAAUUGUUGGAGUAGCAACGUGCCAACGAGAAAACCUCAAGCCAUGUAAUAUCCUGUGUCAACAACUAAAGAAGAACAAACCACCACCCUCUAGGUCGUCGCUGCACUAACGCUGGACCCGAUUUGAAUAGUUAGAAGUUGUAACAUUAAUUAGAGAUUGAGGGUAAAAUUUUGGACUUUGAUUUAAUAAAAUUGAUUUAAAUGAGUCCCAAUAGAAAUAUGAUUAUAAAUAUAUCAAUACAAUUAUAACAUGUUAAAAGAAAAAAAGUUUAGUUUCACACAAAACAAAAAACACAACCCUUGGAUGUGGGAUGUGUCUAAAAAAUAAUAGGGUGGAAAUAUUAUCACCCUCAAAUUAGAUAUAUAAAUGUUUAAUGUUUUACUCUUAUAAUUUGUAUUUAUUUUUUUGAAUAUUGUUAAGAGAAAGAUAGAAAUUAAUAUAUAGACAAAUCGAGUCCUUUUUUUAUUAUUCAUAUCCAUAAAAAGUAACCACUAUGCUAGUCCCACGAACUUAGCAUAAGACGGUAAUUUAGAAAAAAGAAAAAAAAAAGGAACGUUUUUAGACACCAAAACAAAAGCAAAACAAGCACAAAGCGAGACAUACAAACAAAUUUUAUGCUACUGCAUUCAAGCAGAAGCCAUCAACUGUUCACGACGAAGUUUGAGAGCAACCAAUAGUUCAUCCUGAUUAGGAAGAUUUUCUUCAAUCACAGGGACUUGCUUGAAAGUUUCAAUCCAGGCAUGCAAGUGAGGGAAUUUGUGUGAUUCAAAUAGUUUAGCGCCCACUAUAUCUUCAAUGACUUGCAACCAAUAAACAAUUGAACCAAACGCUAGGUCCACUAAGCCAAUAUUGUCUCCAUUGAAAAAUUUCUUCUCUCCCAAGCCAUGCUCUUCAACUGUUUGUAGCAUUUCCAAUGCUUCCUUCAUUGUGUUUUGUAGUUCUUGUCCAGUGCUACGAAACAUUUUCCAAACAGCAACACCCUGCCACAAAUAUUUUACAUCUGAUUUUAUCACCGACAUGAUUAAUUAAUAAUAUGUAUAUAAAAAGUGAAAUAUCGUUAGACAAUAUGCACACGUGUCACAAGAACCUUUAAUUAGAGGUUUAAUAAGUUAAUUAAGAGAGUUCAACCACUGAGUUGUAAAAUCUGUCAUUAGCUAGUAAAUUCACUUUUUCCCAAUGCUUCAAAAGUCAUCAAAAUUCCCCGUGAAGUUAAAAACGGUUGUGUUAACUUUAACUUAUUACAUCUUUUCAUAUUUAAGGAUAAAACAGUGAAGACACCAGAAAUUGAAAGUUUAGAGAACUUUUUACAAAUAAAUAUGAAGGAGACCCCUGGGUGGCUGGGCUCGACUGGCUAUGAAUUCACUUCCGCCAUCACCCGAGUUCGAGUAUAUACGGAGAGUAAGAUUUAGUGUUUGGUGGGUGGGUUUCAUUAUCCUCGUCACCUAAUCUAGAUCUUAAAAUAAAUAAAUAAAUAAACAAAUUUGAAAAGAACGAACUUAAUCAUAAACGUGUUUGCCAGAGUUGUGAGCGAACCUUGUCUUCAGCGAAUUUGAUCCAAAAUCGAGCUUGAGCCCUAUCAUAAGGAUUAUUUGGCAUCAAGGAGGGAUUCUGUGGCCACGUCUCUUCGAUGUAUUCGAGAAUAACCAUGGACUCACAAACUGGUUUUCCGCCAUGGACGAGCACUGGGAUCUUCUUGUGAACUGGAUUAUACUUCAAAAGCAAUGCACUUUUGUUUGAGAGAUCUUCGGAAACAAAUUCAUAUGGUACGCCUUUCAAUUUCAGAGCCCAAAUCACCCUGUAAACAAAUGGACUCGGCAGGGCCCCAUGAAGCUUCACUUCAGCCAUGAUAAUUCUAAGAUUGAAUUUGAAUUAUCGGUUUUUCUGAUCGAUGUUGUGUAUGGCUGUUAACUCAUUACAUAUGUUUCUGAAUUUAUAGUGAUUUAUGGUAUGCACUUUCUUGAGCAGAAAGCUUCAAUUUUCCAUUAAUAAAACGAUUAAUGAUGAAUUCAAAGAACUAGUGCGAUGACUUUAAUUAAAUAUUUUUUUACGUUGUGUGCAACCGCUUUUUGAGGUUAAUUUAAAGGAUAUUAUUUUCUCCUGAUCAAAACUUUUAUAUAAAAAAAUAUACAAUAAUGCUACACAUCCCAAAUUUUUUAUCCCAAAAAGUUAUCCCAAAUGAUGUGGCAUUUAUCAAUUGGUUGGUGAAAUAAUACAAUUAGUUCACUUGGAUAUUAUAAAUAAUUAUCAACCACUCAAUUAAUGACACAUCAUUUGGGAUAACUUUUUGGGAUAAGAAAUUUGGGAUGUGUAACAUUAUUGAAAAACAUAAUUAUGUAAUUGGUAGUUAUUAAGUAGAAAUAAAAUAAAAAUUAAAUUUUGACCGUAAAUAAAUAAAAGUUCAUAUAUGUUAUAAAGAUUUUUUAAAACGCUAGCCAAUGAGAUCAAUAAUUUGGUCAACCAGUCAGAGAUAACCAUACAAUAAUUAAUCAAAAUUUUGCCAUUUGUUUUACAUUUAAGACCUUUGCGUCAUGCAUGAUGAUCAAUUGAUCAUGACAUGGAUCAAUUAGUCAACAAGACAUUUGCCUUUUGUGCAUGUAUCCACAUUGGACACAAAUAUAAUUUGUUAUAAAAAAAUUGGACUAAAUUAUUUUUUAAUAUAUUUUUUUAAAAUAAUACAUUUGAUCCUAGAGGGCCUGUUAUUUAGUUCGUGAAUCUUAUAACAUGACCCAUGAUUUUUUUUUUAAAAAAAAUCUUAUGGGUCCCCUAUUAUUUAAUUUGUGGAAUUGACGGAGGUAACUUACAGUUUCAUUUUUGUAAUUUACAGCUUUCAAUAAAUUCAGAUAAUAUUAGGCGGUAAAAGUCGGCCAGGCUGGAGGAGUAGAUCUAUAAAAUUUGCUAGCACUUUGCACUAUCUGUUUGGUGCCCAGAAACACACAUAUAUAUCAUCCACUUUUUAUGUUAAGACUUUUAAGUCUUUAAUCACAGCAAGACUCACAAAUCUUGAUGAGUAGAAACACCAAGAACACAAUCCAAUCAAGAAAGCCAGAACAGAGAAGCUAUACCAGAAACAAAACAAAGACACAGACCAGCAAACUUAGAAGGAAAAUUUACUCAUUAUUAUUGAUCAAGAACUAACCCAAUCACAAGUGAUUUACAGAAGAUUAUGCACAGAUCACAAUGGAACAGAUUCUAUGCAAAAUGAUGAACUAAUGAAGACGAUAUUAGCUCUCUAUCAGGCACCACCCAUCAGCCUCUGUUUUAUAUCAGUGUGCUGGGCUCGUUAUAACAGAUUAUAACGAAUCCAUGCCACGUCAGCAGACGAUAUCAAAUAGACCCCAUCAACUGAAGUCAAUCUGCACAACAACUCACAACUUUUCCAGUUUCUUCAUUUCAGUCCACAUACACAUAUCUUCACAUUUUAUUUAGCGCUGGGUUUUUUUCGACCCAUAAUAAUUUCUCUUUGCACAUCAAGUUUUUAAUAAAAACUUUUAUUGUCAAGAUAAAUUGUUAGUAAUUACUUCACUAAUCCUCCUUUUUUUUUGGGCCAAUUUCUCUUUCGCAACUGACAAAAUUUAAUUCACAUCAUGUGAUAGUAUGAUUACAAAUAAAAUGAAGUUAUCUCUCGCAAGUUGUUCAAAAAUACAUUGACAUAUCUUGUGUAUAUAACUAAAGAACAAUACCAAAACCACUAUCCUCUAGCUGAUCGCUGCUAUUAGGACGGCAAAAUUAGUCGUAAAUAUGUAAAUUUGUAAAUUUGUCUAAACCCAUCUACAAAAAUCUUUCCACUGCGAAUAAUUUUGUAGGUUGCGGAUAAGUUUGAUAUUUUUAAUUUUAGUUCGUUGCAGGUUACGGAUGGAUUCAGUAUUGAGAAAAAAAUUGGCAGGUGUCUGCCGACUAGCAUUUUUUUAAUUAUUUAUGUUUUUAAUUUUAAUCACAAAGAUUGUCUUAAAAAAAUUUAAUCAUAAAAAUAUAGUAGUUAAAGUUAUUACUCUAAUCUUCCAAAUUCCUAAACCUAACCUAACUCAUGACAGUUGCACACCCUACUCCUUCAAGUAUGUAUGUAUGUAAAUGUAUACACACGCACACACACACAAAAUUAGCUUUUAAUAAGUAGAUUUAGUAUUUUUCAAGUUUAAUAUUAAUGAUAUUUUAAUUUAAUUUAAUUACUUUUGUUUGUUUCGCUUUAAUGACUUGAACUUAGUGAUUUCUGGCUAAGAUUGGAUUUUUAUUUAUCUAAUUAAUGGUCAAUAGUUGUCCAAAAUAUAUUUGUUAAUAUUGUUGACAAUACUUAUAUAUUGACUAAAAGAUAGAGCAAGGCAUUAAUUUUAGUAAUAAUUAUUUGCCUACAACAAAAAUAUUUUGUGUUAGAAUGAUAUAUUUUGUGUAUUUGUUUUAAUAUUGAAACUUUAAUUUCUCUUUUACAUUGAUAAAAUCUAAAGUUGAGUAGUUUAUGUAGAUUUUUUAGUAUGUUACUAUAAAGUUAUAUUUUGAAUUAUAUAAUUUAAAUUAUUAAAUAUAAUUUUUUAAUAUUUAUGAUUUUAAAUAUAAAAAUUUAUUAAAAAAAAAAACUACUACAUGUUAUGGGUGGAUUUGCUAAUUAUUAAAAAUUAUAGCGAACGAACUAAAAAAAAAAAGAGGCAACCGGUUACGGGCGAAUUUAAUAAUGACAAACCCAUAAUAAGCGAUACCAUUACCAUCGGCAACUUCUAUAACGCAGGGCCGGGGGCGGUCUUGAAUUGUUAGAAGUUGCAACAUUAAUUAGCAAAAUUUUCAGCGGCAUCCCUGAAGUUUAGCAUAGAAUUAGAUAUAUCCCCUUGUUUUCAAAAUUAGUCUCUGAUUCCCAUGUUGUUUACUUAAUUUUUUUUUUUUUUUCAUUUCAAUUGGAUUUAUAACUUCGUAAUGUUGCGCCUUGUAAAAUGUAUGCUUAAAACGCGUGCUUCUUAUUUUUUAUAUACUGCUAAGAGAAUUUGAGAAUAGAAAUAUAUAAAAUGGUGUCUCAUUUAUUAAUUAUUUAUAUCCUCUAAAUAGCACCUAACAUGCAAGCUCACUUCAAUAGUAAAAUUAAUUAAACAAAAAAAAAGCAUUUUUAACGCCAGUACAAAAACAUAACAAGUGUAAAGGAAGACUCAUUAACUUAUUUUAUGAUAUUAAAUUCACACAGAUACCAUCAAUGUUUCUCGACAACGUUUGAAAGAGACCACCAACUCACGCUGAUUUGGAAGAUUUUCUUUAAGUAUAUAAGUGAAAGUUAUUACUCUAGUCUUCAAAAUUCUUAAACCUAAUCUAACUCAUUACAGCUGCAUGCCUUUCUCCUUUUAUUAUAUGUAUAUAUUUUACGAUGAAUACAAUAACUUUUAAUAAGAAGAAUUUUAUACUUUUCAAGCUUAAUAUUAAUGAUAUUUUAUUUUAUUUUAAUUACUUUGAAUUGUUUUGGUUUAAUGACCUGAACAUAUUGAUUGUUUGCUAAAGUUGAAUUUUUAUUUGUCUAAUUAAUUGACGAUAGCAAUUGUGUAAAAUUUACUUAAAAAGAUAAAAUCUUAGUAGAUUACAAAAAGAUUUAGUAAUGACAAACAUGUAGCAGCCAAUACACAUUACCAUCCCCAACUGCUAUAAUGCAGGGCCAUGGGCAGUCUUAAUUGUUAGAAUGUGCAAAAUUAAUUAGUAAAAUGUUCAGCAGUAUCCUUGAAUUUUAGCAUAGAAUUAGAUAUAUCCCCUAGUUUUCAAAAUUAGUUUUUGAUUCCCCUGUUGUUUACUUUAUAUAUAUAUAUAUAUAUAUUUCACUUGGAUAUAUAACUUUGUAAUGUUGCGCCUUAUAAAAUGUAUGCUUAAAAUGCAUGCUUAUUACUUUUUAUAUGCUGUUAAGAGAAAUUGAGAAUAGAAAUAUGUAAAAUAGAGUUUCAUUUAUUAAUUAUUUAUAUCCAUUAAAUAGCACCCAACAUGUAGUUCGUCUCAAUAGUAAAAUUAAUUAAACAAAGCAGAAAGAUUUGUUUUAGAAUCAGUACAAAAAUAAAAAAAGCACAAAGCGAGAAUCACAAACUUAUUUUAUGAUAUUACAUUCACGCAGAUGUCACCAAUGUUUCCCGACGAUGUUUGAAAGUGAUCACCAUCUCAUGCUGAUUUGGAAGAUUUUCUUCAAUUACAGGUACUUUCCUGAAAUUUUCAAACCACUCAUGCAAGCUUGGGAAUUUGUGAGAUUCAAAUAGUUUCACUCCCAUUACAUCUUCAAGGACCUGCAACCAAUAAGCAAUGGCUCCAAAUGCUAGGUCCGCUAAGCCAAUAUUGUCUCCAUUGAAAAAUUUCUUCUCUCCUAGGCCAUGUUUUUCAACGGUUUGAAGCAUUUCCAAGGCUGCCUUCAUUGCAUUCUCCAGGUCUUGUCCAGUGCUGAAAAACAUUUUCCAAACAGCUACUCCCUGCCACAAGAUUUUAUAUCUAAUUCUUAUCACCACAUGAUUAAUAAUAUAUAUGAGGUAAAAAGAAAUUAGAUAAUAUGUACACACGCGUCAAAGUAUCUUUUAAAGCCUAGACGUUUCAAACUGUCAAAGUAUUUAGGAGAGUUUAUCCACUAAUUUUUAGACUAGUUUAGUAUAACUUUUUAGAACUUAUUUAAGUAGAAUUUUUAUUAGUAAAAUUUUAAUUUUUAUAAAAAAAUUAAUUAUUUAAUUGUUAAUGAAAUUUUUUUAAAAUUAUUUUAAUAGACAAAUUUUUAAAGUUAUGUUAUGAAAUAAAUAAAAUAAGAUUAUAAAAUAAAUGAUGAAUAUUUUAAACAAUUUAACUUUUAAAAAAAUCCUCAACCCUCUAUUUCUAAAAGUGUAAAUUCAAACUUUUACUAAUAUAAGCAAAAGAAUUUAUUUAAUCCCAAAAAGCUCUACUAAAAAUAAAACUAAAAAAUAAUAAAAAUUUUGAAAAGAGUUUUUUUUUUAAUUAAAUAAACAGGUAUGAGUAAUAAAUAAGCCAUAUCAAACAAAUACUUAAUGAAAUAAAAGGAAAAAGAUUAAAAAAAAUCCUCUUAUUGUUUUAGUAAAUUAUAAUUUUGCUUUCAUGUUUCAAAAGUCCUUGAAAUUCCCCUUGUCGCUAAAAUUAUAUUUUAAUAUUUUACCCUUGAUGCAGUAAAAUCCACGGUUAAUUAAGAAAAAUUUCUAAAGAUAAAAAAUUUAAAGUAAUUAACCGAUUUUUUUUUUAUAAAUCUCUAAUGUAAAAUAAAAGGUCCAUUGAGCUUCGUCGGCCGUGAAUGCAUUUUGCACAUGCGAGGACAUUAGUUUGAGCAUUAAUAGAAGAUAAAAAUUAAUGUUUAGAGAGUCAUAUUUCUCAUAUACAAUGAAAAAUUAAUUAAAUUUAUAAACGUGUUGGCAAGAAAAGUUGCGAUGCGAACCUUGUCUUCGGCAAAUUUAAUCCAAAAACGAGCUUUAGCUCUAUCAUAAGGAUCACUUGGCGUCAAGGAGGGAUUGUGUGGCCACAUCUCUUCAAUGUAUUCGAGAAUAACCAUGGACUCGCAAACUGGUUUUUCGCCAUGAACGAGCACUGGUAUCAUCUUGUGAACUGGGUUAUACUUCAAAAGCGAAGCACUUUUGUUGUAGAGAUCUUCUUCAAUGUAUUCAUACGGGAUGCCUUUCAAUUUCAGAGCCCAUACCACCUUGUUGCUAAAUGGACUCGCCCAUCCCCCGUGGAGCUUCACUUCAGCCAUGUGUCUCAGAUCGAAUUUGAAUAUGUUUGUGGUUGUUUUGCUUAGCUGAUGAGUUAUUGCAUACGUACAUCUGAAUUUAUAAUGAUUAAUGUUGGAAUGUCGAGUGCGCUUGCUUGAGCAGGGAGCUUCAUAUUUCCAAUUUAUUUAAUAAAACGAUUAAAUUAAGUUGAAUUCAAUGAGCUAAUGCUGCGACUUUUUAACAAUUCUGUUAUAUAUUCAACGAGAAGAGGUAUCGUAUUUGACGGGAAUCUCUUGAAACAGUGCUGAAUUAACAAGUAAUCUUAUUUAAUUUGGUCAACUGGUCAGAUGUGGAUUAAUUAUAUGUUUGGCGUUUGUUUUAGGUGCCCAGCUAGCCCUGCUGCUGUGUUUUUGACUUUACUAUGGGGUGGAGUCGUGGAGAUAUCAUCAUCCCAACUGAAGACAUAUUAUGAUAUUCUCCUGAAAACUUUGUGAGACUCAUUUACUUUACAAUUUUAGCAUUUUAGGCCCAAUAACUUCAUAUAUAUGACGUUUUGUCCCCCGGCUCCACCUCUUCUUUAUAAAUCCGAACACCUGAAAAAUGACGAGACCGGAACAACUCUCCGUCUUAAGUCUAUGCAAAUUUUACACACAAGAGAAAGAGAGGGAGAGGGGCGGCCAUGAGAGACAACGAUACAGAAAAGAAUAUGGAAAAGAGUUUAUUAAUACCAAAAGAGAGUUUAUCAUCAACAUCCACAACAUGGGAUUUGUUGAGUGGAGAAGUGAAAAAGCAGGGUUACAUAGCAGCACCAAUGGUGGCUGUAACUUUAUCACAGUAUUUGCUUCAAGUUGUUUCCAUGAUGAUGGUUGGUCAUCUUGGUCAACUUGCUCUUUCUAGCACCGCCAUGUCCAUCUCUCUAGCUAGCGUUACCGGCUUCAGCGUCCUUGUGAGUCCUAUAAUCCAUAUAUAGUUAUAUACACAAUAUUGUUUAUUCUUUCUUUUGAUAGGUAUUUGCAUCAUUGCAUGUGGGAUUUAAACAAAUAGAUAUGCCAAAUUUCUGAUGUUAAAAAACAUGCAAUUAACUUAUACCCUGUUAGUAAAAAUGCCAUUAAUUUUUAAAGGACUUGAUUUGCUUUUUUUUUUAAAAAAAAUAUAUUCUACAGCUAACUUGAAUUGUGUAAUAUUUUCUUUGAAACAGUUAGGAAUGGCAAGUGCUCUGGAAACAUUAUGUGGGCAAGCAUAUGGAGCUCAGCAGUAUCAAAGAAUUGGAACUCAAAUUUACACUGCAAUAUUUUGUUUAUUCUUAGUAUGUUUUCCGCUUUCCUUUCUAUAGAUUUACAUGGGAAGGCUGCUAGUUUUGGUGGGCCAAGACCCCCAGAUUUCACAUGAAGUAGGCAAGUUUAUAAUCUGGCUUCUUCCAGCUCUGUUUGCUUAUGCAGCAAUGCAGGCGCUUAUUCGAUAUUUUCAGUCUCAAAGUUUGAUCAUUCCCAUGUUCUUAAGCUCCUAUGCCGCUCUUUGUUUGCAUAUUCCCAUCUGUUGGGGUUUGGUAUUCAAGUCUGGACUAGGGAACCUUGGAGGAGCAUUGGCAAUUGGUAUAUCGUAUUGGUUGAAUCUAACUUUCUUGGCAAUUUACAUGAAGUUCUCCACUGCUUGUGCAGCAUCCUGGGCUCCAAUUUCAAUGGAGUUGUUCCGAGAAAUUGGAGAGUUCUUCCACUUUGCUAUCCCUUCUGCAGUAAUGGUUUGGUAUGUUAAUUAUCCUCUGGAGUUUUAUUUUCCCUUCUCAUAGAUAUCGUAGACACGUCAUAAAUUUUCAUGCUUCUUCUUUUGUUUAUAAUUUUGCAGCCUAGAAUGGUGGUCAUUUGAAUUGCUCAUUUUAAUGUCAGGGCUGUUGCCUAACCCACAGCUUGAAACUUCAGUCCUAUCUGCAUGGUAUGUUGACAUAGACUUUGUAUGUGAAAGUUCUAUACAGAGAAGCACCUACCAAAGGAAAUAGAUUUUUUUUCUUUUUUUCUUUUUUUCCCCGACUGCUCAUUAUUUGUCAACUUCUUUGGGCAGUCUCAGUACUAUUCAAACCCUCUCUGCAAUCCCUUAUGGACUUGGUGCUGCAGUGAGGUUUGUUCAUAACAAUCAUUUAAAUAAUAAUUGUUUUAUAUCAACUAAUUAGCAGAUUAACCAUUAUUUCCUUCUAUAGUACUAGAGUUUCAAAUGAACUAGGAGCUGGGAAUGUGCAAAGAGCCCGUGUAGCUGUCUAUGCUGUGGUCUUUAUGGCAGUCAUGGAGACUAUCAUAGUAAGUGCAUCUCUCUUUGCCAGCCGGCGUGUUUUUGGUUAUGUUUUCAGCAAUGAGGGACAAGUUGUGGAUUAUGUCACAACCAUGGCUCCUCUGGUUUGUUUGUCUGUCAUCAUGGAUAGCUUACAAGGAGUCUUUUCAGGUUAAAUUAACUUCUUCAACUCUUUCAAUUGCUAAAUAGUUCUCUUUAAGUAGAAAUAAAUUUUUUCAGGUUUCUAAAUUCUUUUAAUUAUUUUUAAGGUGUUGCAAGAGGAUGUGGGUGGCAGAAUAUAGCUGCUUUUGUGAAUCUUGGGGCUUAUUAUUUGUGUGGAGUCCCAACUGCUGCCAUUUUGGGUUUCUGGUUAAAGUCUAGAGGAAGGGGCCUAUGGAUUGGGAUACAAGCCGGUGCUUUUACACAAACACUUCUGCUUGGCUCAUAACAACAUUUACAGAUUGGGAAAAACAGGUCUGUUUCUCAACAUUUAAUCCCUUAAAAAUUAGAGAAGCUUAUUGGACUAUAUAUGUAAAUAUGUAGCAAUUUUUUUUCCCAACAAGUAUAUGAUACCUUCUGACUGAAAGUUCAAGAUUAAAAUCAUUCAGCUUGAUCUGAAAUGGUUAGUAUUAUCAUCUUAUGCAGAAAUGGUUUUGCUCAUUGAGAAAAUGAUAUUCAAUAACAGACGUGCAAACUCAUUUGAAAAUUUGCUUUUUUGGAAGAAUUAUAACCAUUUUCUAGUUUGUUAAUUGUUACAAGUUCUGUGUUUCUAAGGGGUUUCUCAUGUUGCAGGCAAGUAAAGCAAGGAAAAGAUUAUCAAAGGGAAGAUCUUUGGCAGAUAAUAGAGUAGUAUGUGAGUGACCAGAGUCAAUCAAUGAGCUGAUACAUACAUUUUCCAGUUGAAAGAGAUAAUCAUUGCUUGAGAAAAUGAGCUGAUCAUAUGUCAAUUGAUGGCCAAGAAGGUCCCCCAAUCUGAUCUAUGGAGCAUGACAUUUCAUGAAACUCUGUUUCUAGAGAAAAAAAAAAAAAAUUAACAGCUUCUUAGGAUUGCACAUUGCAGCAUCAGGUGACUUAGCAUUUCCAGUAUGAAUGAAUUAUAAGAUAGAUGAUGCUGCAAAAAUGAAUAGAGAUAAAAAUUAAGCAAGAGAAAAUGUUUGAAUGUUAUUAUUUAAACCUUUUCCAGUGAUUGUAGAGAUAAUUUGCUUUGUAUUGAAAACUUUCACCAUCUGAAAGAUAAGGAAAAUAUUAAAAGAAAAAAGAAAAUUCUUAAAUCUUUUCCAUGUCAUUCUAGCAAAGUUGAAUUGUGAUUCUUAACCCUACACCACAAUGUAAGGUGGCCUGUGGCCUGUGGGUAACACACAAUUUGACAACCCCAUAUAUUAAGUAAUCUAGAUGGAGGACAUUAAAUUUUUCAAUUUUUUAAUUUUUGUUCAUUUUUUUUUUUUUAAAUUCAAACGACACCUCUUUCAUUGUGGCAUUGGAAUGUAUAGAGAUUUGCACACUGAUUUUGGACCAUACUUCACAAAUAAUGCGACGCACAUCUUUCUUUCAGUACUUCUUCAGGAGGACGUUGUUGUCCUUUUACCUGAAGCAAGUGCGUGUGCAUGCAUUGUUGUUGUCUGUUAAUCUGCUGCCACUUUGCUGCCAAAAAACUUGAAAAAUAAACUGGGAAAAUUUUCAAUAAGCAAAGUCAAACAACUAACCCCUGUUUUCAGUUAUAUUCCUAAGAAAACUUUUAACACUCAAAUAAAGCACACAGCUAAAGUAUUUCUAUCACAUUAGCGUUCGAGUGAGGCUUGAUUUACAUUUAUAUCAGAUAUACCAAGUGUUUUUUAUUCUUUUAAUUAAUGUUUAUUCCUAAGAAAACUUUUAAUUGAUUAUCCACAUAUAUAAACAAACCUAGCUCGCAAUGUGAAAUAUAUUAAAACAGCAACCAUAAUAUUUUCAAAUAUUUAAAUUAACGGUGAUGAUAUUUUCACCCCAUGAAUUUUAUAAACCCACCCAUUUUUAAAAAAAUUAUUAUAAUCAGUUCACAUUAUUUUUAAAAAUUUAAAUUAAGAAGAAAUUAAAAAAUUGAUCAAUUGAAUUCAUAUUCAUUUCUUUUUUAAACUGCGUUUCUUUAUUAUAUUUAAUCAAUAAGAUUGCUUUAACAUAAAUUAGUAUGACUAUUUUACCCUCAUAAGAUAAAAGUAUCAAAAUAUCUAAAAAUUCACUUUAACUUCAAUAAAUUUUUAUGCAAUUUUUUUUAUAUUUUAAUGAUGUAUUAGUAAUUGUUAGUACAAUUAUUAUUACUCCACUAAACUAACAAGAUAUAAUUAGGACAUGUGGUGAAUUGAAAAUAAUUAAAUUUUAUAUAAUACAUAUUGGAUUAUAAAAUAUAAAACUAAAUAUCUAAGCAAUUAGUUACAAUAAUAUAUAUAUAUAUAUAUAUAUAUAUAUAUAUAUAUAUAUAUAUAUUUCUUAGAGUAAUUUGGUAAUUUUAUAUUAUAAGGGUAAAAUAAUCAAAUUAAAUUUAUCUUGAAGCGCUUCAAAAGUUAAAGAUUGUUAAAAGGCUAAGUCGGAAAAAAUAUUAUAAAAUUGAUUUAAUUAAUUAAUUAUUUAAAAAUUUUAUAAUUUUAUAAUUUUAUAAAAUAAUGCAAACUUAUUGUAAUUAUUUUAUACAGAUGGACUGGGUUUAUAAAAAGAGUAAUGAUAUAGCCACAAACUCUUGUACAAACUUAUUUUGUACAAAUUGAUGUGGCAUGAUAAGAUUGGUUGAAUUAAAUAUCACUUGGCCCACAUGAUUUGUUUUUAUUAUUUUAUAUUUUCAUUCGACCAAUAAAUUAAUGCCACGUCAGUUUGUACAAGAGUUUGUGGCUGUAUCAUUACUCUUAUAAAAAUAGCAGGGUGGAUAUACAUACACCCCUGAAUUAAUAGUCAGUAUAAAUUUUAGAUACCUCCCCUAAGAUUUGACUUUGCUACACUUAGAGAAAAUGUAAACAUAUAUUGACAAUAUACCCCCUAGUCGUGUAUAAGGGUUAGGCACUCAUUAGGUAGUUGAGGGCAAUGACGUACAUGUUGCAUAUUUUUUUAUUUUUAAAUCUUACAAAAGCUGUUAUACUGUAACUAAUUAGACAAGAGCAGCGAAAAUGCAUACAGUGCUUUGAAGCUAGGGAAGCCCAAGGGGAUAGUAACCCAUUUUCAUUGUCAAUGCCUAGCUUCAUUUCUUCUUCUUUUUUUCUCAGCAUAACUUGAUGAGUGCUUAGCUUCAUUUCGAAGGUCGUGACACCAACUGAUUUUACCAAAAGCAGAGAUACUUUGUGAUGCAGUAAGCUAACAAGUUUCUGAAAUCAACUAUGUUUUGAACCAAAUUCCGGCGACGACCAGCAGCUGAAAAGCCGGUGAUUAAAGGGCACACUAGGUGCGUAAUUCUAUCAAAUCUUAAAACUGAAGUUAGGUUUUAUUAUUUUCUUGCAUUUUGUUGAAAAUUGCUGUUAGUUAGGUGCUUUAUUCUUUGUUCCAAUUAAUUGAGAAAAAUGUUUAGGGUUUAUAGAAAUUGAAGUAGUGACCGAAUAUAUCUGAAUUGAUUUUUAAGUUGAUAGUCACUCAACAUGUUGUGUAAACUAUGAAAAUAAUUUAUUUUUUGAUGAUUUUGGACUCUGGUUUUUGAAUGCCUACUGAAAUUUGCUUGAUCUGUUAUUAAAAUUGAGAAAAAUCCAAUCUUUUUCUAAGAAUGCAGAGGUGUUGCUGAGAAAAUGCUUAUGGUGUUGUUUUGUUUCUUUUUUUAUGUUACAAGUGUGCAGUUCAUGUAAGAUUGAGACAAUUGCUCUUGUUGCUUUUUGAUGUUUGUAUAGACUAAUUCCAAUCACUGAUUUUUGUUGGAAAAUGGAUGCUAUUAUUUUUCCUUUUCUUCGUGUAAAAAUUUGUAUUUCCGUUCCCGACAUAAAAUUCAGAUGCUUGCCUAUUACUUUUUGAGGUUGUUAUUUAGGUGUAAGAGAUAUAUUAGUUAUAGAGCUUGUAGGCAGUUGGUUUAUUGAAGAACUAGUACAGUUGAGAAAGUGUCUUUUAGGUCAUCCAUUUUAAUACACAUAUUAACAGAUUUAAUUACAUAAACACAAGACUUCAUUUGUUUAUCAAAGUAGUACUUUCUGAUGCUUUCGUAUAAUGAAUGCCAAAGAGAUGACAUUUGCAAAAAGGCCAUUUGAAUGUGCCAACUGCUAUCCUUGUAAACCUCUAUUGUGAUUCUGUUAUCAUUAUAUGUUGUUUAAUGAUCUGAUGAUUUCGAGAUAUCAAGAUGAGUUUAUUCAUACAAUAAAUGUUGUCAUUAGGUUCAUAAUUAUUGUAGUACAUGUUCAUUUAGCUACUUUAGGUACUGCUACAUGCAUUUAUUGUAUAAUGCCUACUUAGCAGCCAUAACUACACCCAUUGUUGAAGCCACAACAGCACAAAUGAGAAAAAAAACAUGUUUAGGAACAACAUUGUCUUUAUAUCAUUUCAUUUUACUCCAUUUUGUUGUGCUUUUUGCAUCAGUGACUUCAAAUCCUUCCUAUCCUUUUGCAUACUCAUCAGCAGUUCAUAAUUUGCUUGACAUGUUCCUAAACCAUCAAAUAUAACACCUUGGUCGAUAUCAUUUGAAGAUGGCAUCCAAAACUUGAAAUAGCCACAACCAUUUUUGCUAUCCAUACAGCAAUAAUAUAGCUUGUUUGGGUUGUCAUCUGAUUCCGCUACCUUCAUAGCAGCUCUUUUGUAGCAUUUACUAAUCUUGUUUGAAAAUCAAAUGAAUUUAAAAUAUUCUCAUUUAUUGUUUUUUGUAGCGUUCACUAAUCUUCUGAUAUUCAGUAUUGUUUUUAUAUAAAUUAAUUUAAAAUAUUAUCAUUUAUUUGUCUUAUUAUAUGAUUUUACACUAUCAAAUUAUUUGUUUUAAGGGGCAUUUUGGUCUUUUCAACACUCCAUUGAGUUUUGUCUUAUUAUAAGAAUAUGUAAUGUCAACAACAAUUAUCAUAAGGGUAUAAUAGCCUUUUCACCCCCCCAGGCGCGAAAAAAAAAAUUGCCCCAAAUAUAAAGAUCAUCUACAGUGUCAAAUAAUUUUGAAGGGCAUUAUUGUACAUUCACUCAACUACCUAAUGGGUGCCUAACCUUCAUACAUGGCCGGGGGUAUGUUGUCAAUAUAUGGAUACAUUCUCUCUAAGUGUAGCAAAGCCAAACCUCAGGGGUGGUUUCUAAAAGUUUUCCUAAAUAGUUAAUAAUUUUAUACAACAGAUUCUUGGAUACCCCUCAAGUUCAUUUAUUAUACGUUAUGGCUGACUUUCAAGAAAUUAAAUUCUACAUUAUGACCCCUAGGGAAACAACGUCGCCAAUAAAAUUAUAAACUAUAUGUGUGUAAUAGUUGUCAAACCUGAACCUAUGUUGUUUAGCAAUUUACAAAAUGAGAAAGACGACAAAAGCCAAGUGUUAGAGCGGCAGCGAGCCAACGAGACAAGCUCAAGUUCACUGUGUUUUUGUUGAACCUUCUGAAGAUCCGAAACUCGAGGUUUGUUUUUUCGUUCCCUAAUCGUUUGACCACAUUUUUAUUCUGUGCUACGUUCGUUAUGAACUAUUCAGGCUAAGUGUUCGACGAAAUUCCUAAGUGAGUAUAUAUAAUGGUUUGCUCUUGUAUUUAUUCUGUUAUAGAGGGUUUUGCUUUGGGUGGUUAAAUAGAGGAGAUUAGACAUUGAACUUUAUGCACUCGUAUGUUUUCAAGUAAUUGUUUGCUGAGGCACAUGUACUUUGAAUGGCUUCAUUCAUCUACAGAGAUAUCAUAACAUUUUUUGCUUAAUGUGAGUCUUAUUGUUGUUAAUUUGUCCAAAGUGAAGGCUUUUUUAACUUUUAUUUCUUUGAUUUAUUUAUUUAUUGGUGUGUCAAAGUUCUGUGUCUAAACUUUUAUUUGAUAAGUUCUUUCAGACAACUAAUUAGAAGAAAAAAAUGCUAGAGAGUGAGUAUGAGAGGGAAUGAUGUUUGGGCAAAGGGUGAUUGGUUCACUUGGCUCAUGAAGGACCCCAACUAUAAUGACAUGUAUCAAUUUCGCAGCCUAAUUGGAAGGUAAGCUCAUUUCUUGAUUUCCUUCAAUUUUCACUUCCAUUUUACUGUUUUCAAGUAGCAGGUAUUCUAAAUAAAAGUAAAAUCAGUAGUGAUUUGCUUCAAAUGCAUAUGGAUAGUAUAUCACAUGUGAGAAGAUUGUAUUUGUUAUAUGAAAAUCCUUAAUAACUUUAAUUAAAAAAUAUAUUCUCAAACCUGAUCGUGGAAUGUACUAUUUCUUAAUAUCUGAGUUUGGAUCAACACAUUUUUUGCCAUGCAAUUUGACAAGUUGUCAUGUCCUCAUUCUGCACUAUUAUAAGUUUUGCCAAUCUGCAUAGGUGUUUAAUAGAUUGAGUUAAUCUAGUUUCGAGAACAUGCCUUGCUAAAGGACGUCGAGUUUCUAAGUGAGGGCAAGUCAGCGGGGCAGGUCUGUUACCUCUAAAUUCUUUCAAUAGCUUGGGGACGUUAAUCCUAUUAAUGACAGCCACAUAUUAUAAGUCAAGAAAACUGAUUUUUUGAUUAUUGAAAAAUCAAAUUUUUUGUAUUAUUCUAUUGAUGAUCUCAGUAACCUACCUGUUGCGGUUGUCUUGUAUGGAUCAUUGUUUCUCUUUUAAGCUGUUAUGGUGACAAUUUUUAGCUCUUAUUGCAGUUCUUAAAGUCAUUGCAAGCACAUGCUCUGUCGAUCUCCAUAAAUUCAGAUACAUAUGCAUAGUUAGCUAUUCAAACAACCACACUGGUAUUCAACUUCAAUAUUCAGAAACAUGGCUGAAGUGAAGCUUCAUGGGGCAUGGGCGAGUGCAUUUUGUUACAGAGUGAUAUGGGCUCUGAAAUUGAAAGGCAUAGCAUAUGAUUACAUUGAAGAAGAUCUCUCUAACAAAAGUGCUUUGCUUUUGAAGCAUAAUCCAGUUCACAAGAAGGUCCCAGUGCUUGUUCAUGACGCAAAAUCAGUUUGCGAGUCCAUUGUUAUCCUUGAAUACAUUGAGGAGAUGUGGCCACAGAAUCCCUUGAUGCCAAAUGAUCCUUAUGAUAGAGCUCUGGCUCAUUUUUGGAUUAAAUUUGCCGAAGAUAGGGUUUGCUUCAGAACUCUAGCUAAUGCGUUUAUAAGUUCAUUAUUUUCAUGUUUAUUUGUUAUUAGAGAAAAUGAUCAGUAUCCCCCAUUGUACGUCAAAAUUAAUUAUUUCUUCUUUUAUGUUUUAAAACCUAUCAAAAUCUCCAUUGUCGUUUAAAAAAUUCUGUUAACUUUCAACUUUUUUUGUCUUUUACUAAUUUACCUCUGGAAAAAUUUUUAUUAAUAGGAAGUUGAAAGUUUAAUAGAAUUGUUUUAACGGCAAGGGAAAUUUUGAUGGCUUUUGAAAUAUGAGGGAGAAAAAGGAUUAAUUUACCAAAACAACAUUGUGGUUUUGUUGUUCAUUUACCCUUUGUCAUUCAAUGUAGUGGUUAACCUCUAGUAUAAGGGUGCUUGACAAAUGACAAGGGUAUGUAUUGUCCAAGUCUUUUAGUUCAUACAUAUUAUUAAUCAUGUAGUGAUAUUUUGGCAGGGAGCUACUGUUUGGAAAAUGUUUCGUAGCGUACGAGAUCAAGAGAAUACAAUGAAAGAAAUCUUGGAAAUGCUAAAAACCGUUGAAGAACAUGGCUUAGGAGAGAAGAAAUUUUUUCAUGGAGACAAGAUUGGCUUAGUGGACAUAGCAUUUGCUUCCAUUGUUUAUUGGUUGCAAAUCAUUGAAGAUGUAGCAGGAGUGAAACUAUUUGAAUCUCACAAAUUCACUCGCUUGCACGCAUGGUUUGAAAAAUUUAAAUGAGUCCCAGAAAUUGAAGAGAACCUUCCUAAUUGGGGUGAACUAUUGGUUUUUUUCAAACGUCGCCGUGAAAAGUUGGUGGCCUCUUCCUCAUUGCAUUAGCACAAAAUUUGUUCGUGCAAUUGUAUUGUUGUUGUCAAGAGGCCGCUCUUUGCUUAGUUUUUGAUUAUCUUGUGUGCUCAAUUGGGAGGCCGCCGCUUUGCUGGGUACUUUCAUAUGGAUUUGAGUAAUAAGAGGGACUUGACUUUAUAUUUAUGAAUUAUUGCAUGUAUUUCGUUAAUUAUUAAUGGACUACUAACGGUUAUGUAUUGUUUGGGCGGAAGUUUACAUGCUGAUAUAUACUAAUGACUUGAAGUAAAGUCAACUUGUUUGAACGAAUGGUAAUAUAGUUCUAAAAAAUAAGAAGAAAAGCUCCUUGUGGAAAAAGAUAGUUCUAGUAAACAUGCCCAAUAUUAAAGGGUAUUAUCGAAACUUAUAUUUUAAUGGUUAGAGCCAGCAUGUGAACAGUGCCCCAUUAUGAAAGAAUAAUUUUUUUUUUGCUAAGAAUAAUGAGCCAAAAGGGCUUUAGAGAUUUUUUUUAGAUCUAAUUUCUUGAGAGACUUCUUCAUCUUCUUCUUCCUUUAUGGUUAGGGUUUCUUUCUCCAUUUUAACACCACCAUGGAAAAUUUUAACCAUCUCAUCUCCCAAAGAAGCCUUUUCCCUUACUCUUUUCCUGGAAAACUCUCUAAUCUCUAUAAAACUCAUAUCUCCCUCAUGUCAUUAUUCCUCAUAAACAACCUUUAAUAAGGUUUUGUCGAUAUUAUAAUGCAAAUUAUGUAAUACUUCAUUUAUAUAGUGGAUUGGAGAUGAAUUACUCUUAUGGAUGUAGAUCAAAGGGUCAAACAACGUAAAAUCUUAUGUGUUCUUUAUUGUUUAUGCUUAUUUUCUAUUUAUUAGGAUGAUGAUAAUACUCAAAUCGUAUUUCAUAUAUGAGCUCAUAUAGAGGCAUACCACGAGCUCUACUGAGCUCCCCAUAUAAGCUCUCUAGUUAAAGCUAUCCUCGAAUUCGCUAGAGCUACUUCCUAAACUCUCUUGAGUCCCCAAAUCAACUCUUUAAACUAAAUCCCAUGAGCUUCACAGAGUUUACCUCCCAAAACACUUCAAUUUGCCUCUCAAAUUACCUCAGUUCACCUUCCAGAUUACCUCAGUUAUUUCUUUUAUCCCUAACAGCAGAAAAACACACCUAGAUUUUUACUAGCUCAAUCUCCUCUCAAAUAUAAAUUUAUUUAUUUAAAUUAUAUUUAACCUUGUUAAUGAUUCAAAUCAGAUCCUAGAGGAAAUCCGGUCAAAACAUGUAUCUAUGUAUAAUAUUUAACAUCACCCUAACGAUCAAUACGAGUGCACUUGGAUUUAUUCUUAGUAGUACACAAAGUGGAAAAAGCAUAACAAGCAACACUUGCACGCUCGAGGCUCAAUAUAAGUACGAACGUCAUAAUUCCAAGCAACAAACAAUGAUCAUCAGUACUAAUUUUUUCUGCAAGCCACCAAAUUGGAAAAGUACCGCGAAGUAAUUAAUUAACCACUGCGACUUGCCAGCUUAAGGUUAUCCAAUGCUGAGAGUUCAUUAUUCUUUGAGGUUUGGUUAUUGUAAAUGUCUUUUAGAGUAAUUGCAGGAUAGAGCGGAGGAUUUUCUUCUGAUAGCAACUCUUUAAGUGGACCAUAUCGUCUCGAGCAACUAUUAUUCAUGAAAAAACUUCCGAUUGAAAUUCUGGAGUCUUCCUUAUUUGAUAACACUCUAUGAUAGGCACUCUUGAACUUAUCGUUGGUAAUCAGCUGCAUAAACACGAACACGUUGGUAAUCAGCUGGAUAAACACACACUUCAUAUAAACCAUAAUUAAGUUAUCUGAUAGAGAUUCAUGCUCGGGUGUAGACGUUCACAUAAUUUUGUAAGGACGAUUCUUUCACAGUAUUGUGAAAGAAUGUGUCCGCACAAGAUUUAGUGCGAACGUCCCACUUGAGAAUUUUCAAUUUGAUGGAUAGUAUUUCUUAAUAAGUUAUCUAACACACACUUGCCUGCAUCAUGUAGCCUAAGUUUACAACUAGAGUUCCCGGAACAGGGGCAAUGCCAAACCAUUGAUCUUCGUGAAAGACUUGGAGGCCACCAAUUUGAUCUUGUAUGAGCACAGUGACAAAUCCAGGGUCAGAAUGUGUUGCUAUGCCGAUGGACAAUUAUGGUUGAGGGCAUUCAGGUUAGUAACCAUUCCCAAUAGUCAUUUCCUCUUCACAACCUAUGUCUUUCAGGUAAUUGGGGUCAAGCCCUAAAGCUUCGGAUAGAAGUUCAAACAGAGUGUCCCCUGUUUUCCACAUUAGGUUGUUGUAUGCGAUCAUUAUCUCUCUGCAAAUUAAUAAAGACAAAAAAUAAUCACUACUAAAAGAAAGGGAGAAUGACAUUUCGACUUUUAGAAAUUAUUUUUUUAUUGGGUUAACAACUAGAUGAAAUGAGAGUAAUAAAAACUUAUUAGGAACCCAAGUGAUGCAAAAAGUUCUAAGAAAGAUGCAAGUGUUAUCCACUGUAAAAGAAAUAAAAUCUAUUGGUCAUCGUCCACAUACCUGCAAGCUUCAGGCAAAUCUUCAGGAUUUGAAAAAUCGCGACCCACAACACAACUUAAAGUAUCUUUCCAAAAGAGGGUUGGUGCACUAUACAAAUUUAAAUUUGAACAAUAUUUAAUUUUUUUGGAGUAAUCACGAGAAUAAUAUUUCUGCUCAACCUCAACAUCUUGUUGAAAAAACCUAUGGAUCCCAUCAAUGGCCUGAUCCAAAUGCUUGUUGGGAUUCCAUGAUUGAUCACUUGAAAGAAACCCCACUUCUCACGAGCACUUCUAAUUUGGUCAAUUACCUGAGAACGCAAACUUGAAUCCCUGUGUAUUCUUUGAAGGUCUAUGAUAGGGAUGCUGAUUUUGGGGUCCCUGCAGAUUGGCUUAUCAUCAAACUUAUGUUUAGUGUGAUGAUCUUGAAGGAUGAUCUGUGGAAUGGUUGUGAUCCCAGCAUCUACGAGUCCCUUAACACCAGCUUUCGUGUCAUCAUAAGCUUUCAACUCGCUAACUCUGUCACAAGUAAUGCUUCCCAUUGCUUGGUGAAUUAUCUUUUACCUGGUGAAUUAUGAAGUACAAAUGCUGACUUGCGGGUGAUUGCUUUUGGUAUAUGCCGUUUAUAUGAAUAUGAUUGCUAGCUUGCCACGUGCAACAUGUUGAAAUAUAACGUUAGCAUGAAGAUAUGGAAAUUUAUAAAAUUUGAUUCUGCGUUAUUUAUCAUGAUUAAAUUAAUUAUAAAUUAUCAAUAAUAGUCAAUUCCGGGAACUACCAACUACUGGGUGGCACAUCACAAUAAUAAAUUAUCAAUAAUAGUCAAUUCUGCAUUAUUUAAUAUUUAUGUGGAUAAAAUUUCAAUUAGCUACACUACAUUGUUGUUUGAUAGUUAACGUUUCACCUUCUCCAUUUGUAAAUAUUAUUAUGGACUUAUAGUGUGGCUUAAAAGCUAGAUCUUAAAUGAAAAGAAAGCUUUAAUGGUGAAAUAAAAAUUUAAAUAAAUGAUAAAGAGAUUAAAGGUUAACCUAAUGUUAGCAAAAAUAAUUGUAAAAUAUACAUGUUUUAUCAUGUUAAUUGAUGUUUUUCCAGUAUGCACAUAAAAAAGAUCUAUUUUACAAUUGUUUCUGUUGGCGUUCGGGCAGAUUUUUUUUAGUCUAAUUAAGUAUAUCAUAAGUUAAUAAUAGUGCGUAUUUUAACUUUAAUAAAUUUGGCCACUUAGAUUUUUAAUUUUGACUCCUUCCCUAAUCAAUCAAGAAAAAGAAUGCUUUUCUCCAUAAAAAUUAAAAUAGAAAAUUCAGCAAGGACAUAACUGCGGAGAUGUUUGAUUCUGGAUUUAUAUAUCAAAGCAACAUCAAAAUUAUAAUACUUCCUUGUUACCAAGAAGAGAUAUAUUCAAGAGCACUAGCCUUAUAAAGCCUUAACAAUACUAAACUACCUACAUGGAAUCUAAUGCGUACAUGCAAUGCUUUCUAAAGUGAAACUGUCGCUUGAAAAUAGAAUUCAUGUUCAGCAGCCUCUCUCUAUCCGAGCUCCAAUUUUAUAACAAGGCAGCUAAAUAAGAUGAUUUAGAUGGCAUCGGCAUCUGUAGUAUCGUUUGUCUGCAGUCCCUCAUUAUCUACGAUCUGAUCGCUCCCUAUAGUAUUGUUUGUCUGUAGUCCCUCAUUAUCUACGCUCUGAUCGCUCCCUAUAGUAUUGUUUGUCUGUAGUCCCUCAUUAUCUACGCUCUGAUCGCUCCCUAUAGUAUUGUUUGUCUGUAGUCCCUCAUUAUCUACCCUCUGAUCGCUCCCUAUGUAGAGAAUCGACAAGAGCAAAUUGUAGCACACGUUCACAGAACUAAUAACUGUUAAACUCUUAUAGUACUUGUCAAGCCUACUAUCAUCCAAGGUUUCAGCAAAGUCGCCUUUGUUUGCCAAAAUGAAAAAGAUGUUAAAAAUGCUUCCUAUUCCGACGAAAAAAGAACUUAUUGCUGAUACAUGGUACUCCAUCCGUUCAGGAAAAUGAGAGCUCGAGUAUUCAUCACAUCCAUGCAAAGCAAGCCCUUCCAUAAGACCCAAUAGACAGAAUUGUGGAACAAGCCAAAACAUGCUCAUAUUUUCCAAUUGUUUGCUCUUUUCCAACCUGCGAACCUCAACCUGCCAUGCCACUACACAGCAAACUGUAGACAUCACCAUUCCAAUGAAUGUUCUCAAUACUUGAGCUUGUCUCUGCUUCGUUUCCGGAACAAAUUUGAAAAUUAAUUUUUUCGACAGAUAAGAGAUCGUCGCACGAAUUAUGGCUUCAAAAGUAAGUAGAAAGAUUAAGUAACGUUCAGAAAUCAUUUUGGCUCCCUGCUCAGGAAAAAAUGUAUUUCCCGCUGACAGAACCAAUCCAAACACAAUGAAGCUAGACCACAAUGGCAACAACUUAAGAAGAGAUUUUGACUCCCUGACCUGGGCCACAGUGCAAAGUGUGCCUGCCUCUUCUUGUUCUUUAGAAGUACUUGAUGUCUCUAUAAUUGCCGCUUUGUCUAUCCACCUGCAAUUCAAAGAAUUAGUUUAUUGGUAAUUUUUUAGGAAAAUAGAAAGCGACAGCUCAUGGUUUGGCAAAAUGAUCACACAGACGCUUUUAUAAAUACGCCCUUUUGGACAAAUCUUGGAGGUCGGUGUGACUAUUCCCGAACACAAAAGGGUAUUAAUGUGUCCAUAAAGAGGUUUAUAUAAUUAUUAAUAAAAAUAAGAGGGUCUCCCCGACAAUUUUGCCAGACCACGGGCCGGGUGUGGGUGUAUACAUGUUAGGCAUAUACCUGAGUAAUUUGAUUCUGGGUGACAAGUGUAAUACGUUUCCCUCAUCAUUACUGAAGAACAGCUCCGGAGAAAGAGGAUAAUUGAGAUGCUUUUUCUUCAGGGAGGUUUUAACAACGCGGAUUAUAGCAAAACGGUCAAUAGGAGGUAUUUCUGUAUUAUGAUAAAAGGGAAUACCUAACAACAGGAGGAUCAAACUGCCCCCCAUAAACAACAAUGUAAACAUGAAAGUCUUCUUCCGUGUCUUAAUAUUAUUUGCGUAGAAUGCCGCAGCUGUACCACAGCACCAGGCAAACCGCCACCACACUCUUUUCUGAGCCAUUACUUGAUCCUCAUUUGAAUUUUCUGUUCUCCCUCCUUCACCAUGUUGUCUUAAUUGAUAGGCAAGAAAUGGUCCCAAAAGAGGAGCCGCUCCAACUUCACCCACUGCUAACAGGAUAAUUCCUAUCAUGUUGAGUAACUCAAAGUUGGUUUCUGAAAAUUCUCUGGACGCUGUACAGAACAAUAGUCCCAAUGCCUGAAACAAAAAUUGUUGGAACUAAUUGUAUAGCAUAACAUUAUGAUCCUAGAAAUGCUUUUCUUAAUCAUUAUUAUAAUCAGAGUGGAGCCAAAAUGAAUUAAUGUCACAUUAAUUAUAACUUAUCUAUUGAGAUCUCUAUCAUUAUAUUUAUAGGGGUAAGGCUCCUAAUAUCCUCUUAUUACGGGUGUGUGUAUAUAUAUAUAUAUAUAUAUAUAUAUAUAUUUUAAUAUGCUGUGAAAUUUAACAUUUACUGCAAAAUAAUAAUUUUUUUAAUUUAGCCCAAAGUACUACAAAGUCCUGGGUCCGCCCCUGAAUAUAUAUAUUGCUUGCAAACCUAGGAUCAUAACAUAUGUUUUAAUUUCGUCUCUGUUUAGAAGUUUUGCAAAUUCAAAACAUAUUAACUUACAAGGAUGUAGGAGACAGUUGAAAAAAUGAGGAUUCUGAGAGGACGAAUGGCAUAACACGAAAUCCAGGCGGCAACAACCGUAAGAGUUGCUAAUAUUACAUCCUGAAUACUCGUAAAUAUUGCAGCUUUUUGAAAUGUGAAUACUUUUGAAUAUUCGGAGUCGGAGAAGUAAGUUAUCAAGACGCCCACUAUAGCCAAGUCUACCAGUUUGCGGCUAGGCUUAUCAACAAACCUGGAAUCAAAAUAAUCAUUAGAAAAAAUGUUCGUGCUCACUAAAAAAAGCAUACACGUGACGACUGCAAGAACAAUGUGAGAGAACUAUUGUCAUGUUUUUAUAAUUUAGCCCAACCUAAUCAAAGAUCUUAAGUACACCUCUCUUAACUGAAAUUAUUUUAGGGGAUUAUCUAUUUAGGAAUCUCAAAUUUCAUGAGCUCUUAAUACACACACUGUAGUGUUUUUGAGUGACAGAUUAUUGUACAAUCAACUCGAAACACUUGCCAAGAUCGCAAAUCAAACAACCAAGAUGUAACAAGAACCAACCCAGAACAAAUCACAGAGAACUAGGACUAUAAGAACUUAGCAGUAAAACAAGGAAAUUAACGUGGUUCAGCUAGCUUCCACUAGCUUACAUCCACGGGAAAACCAGGACCAAGUUUAUUGAUUUAUCAACCACAAUUACAGAGAAUCUCAAGAGCUGAUUACAGAGCUUUUCCAAGAAGCUUUCUCCUAAAACUUCUCUACCCACAUUAGCUCUCACACAUACGCUCCUGUUGCAACUAGAACCAGCUGUUUAUAACAGCUUCUUCAACGAACCAGGAUGAGCCCAGAAACUCACAUGAUUGGCAUUCGUGAUAAUAGACUCAUAACGAUCUUUCAAGGGAUGGCAAAACCCCGGGCCGGGUCCGGGUAUUGCAAUGACCGGACCCUGCCCGUGUAUUGCAAUGACCGGACCCUGCCCGGAUGCAACCGGUCCGGGUCCGGGCCGGGUUUUAAUCCGGGUAUCCAAAUUUUAUAUUUUUUUAAUAUUAUAUGUUUAUAUAUUUUAUAUUUUUUUGGUAAUUUUAUAAGUUUUAAAUUUAUUUCAAUAAAAUUUGACAUGAAAAUAUAAACUUUAAGUGUUUAAAACUUUAUAUAUGUAUAAUAAAUGAGUCAAAUAAAUAUAAAUAUUUAAAAUAAUAUAUAUUUUAUAAUUUUUUUUAAUAAAAUCCGGGUUCCGGGUUUAUCAAGUGAUGCCCAAGACCGACCCAGCUUCAUACCCGGGCCGGAUAAUACCCGGCCCACAACGCCCUAGUAUGGUCCGGGUCCGGACCGAGCGGGUAUUUUUACCACCUCUAGAUCUUUGAAAACAACUUAUUCGAGCACGUGAUUCUCUCGUCCAUUACUUAAACCAAAACGACAUUCAGACAGGUCGUUCCAGUAAUGAGAGAAUGCUGCUCUUCAAAACGCUCUGAUUUGCUUCACAACACAACACACACACAUACGUACAUACAUCAUCAUGUUGUUAAAGUAAUGAUGUUAGUAAAAUACAAAAAGAAUAUAGUUUUAAAUACAUUGGAGAUUCUAUCUUUUUUGUACUUUACUAACAUCGUGAUUAACAAAAUGAGGAUACCUUUAUUAAAGAAUGAUUAUAUAUAGAUAGUUUUUUUUUUUUCUCGUGAGCGUUCUCACAUAUUUUUUUAUGCAUACACACUAUUAAAUUGUAUGGUUUAAUAAAAUUAGUAUAGACAAUUAAACUACAUGAUUUUGUAGUGUAUUAAAAAUUAAUUCUAUUAAACCAUACAAUUUAAUAAUGUGUCUGUAUUAAAAAAAAACCAUAUAUAUGUAUACAGGUUUAUAUUCUAAAUAAAUACAUUUUUAAAAGAUACGAAUACCUAAGGCCCCACGUGCAAAAUUACCUGACAUAAAUGCAGCAGCCUUACAAAAGUAGACGUAAUAUCGUACCCAAGUCAUGAACCUGCUUUGAAUCUUCAACAACCGAGAAAAUGGAAACAUUGUAGUUUCUGAAACUGCUUCUUUUAUCAGCAAAUACUUCUACUUGUGACUUGUGAAUCCGGAGACAAUGAAGAUUUUGUAAUUAUACCAAAGUCUUCGCUAGUCUUCUAAAAAGGUAGUUUAUUCAAAUUAAAAAAUAAUAAGUCGCACUUCAAGACCACCUAUUGGUCACAUAAGUCUUUUUUUUCUUAUUUUUAGGGUUCUAAAAAGAUAGUUUAUUCAAAUUAAAAAAUAAUAAGUCGCACUUCAAGACCACCUAUUGGUCACAUAAGUCUUUUUUUUUCUUCUUGUUUUUAGUCUUCUAAAAAGUUAGUUUAUUCAAAUUAAAAAAUAAUAAGUCGCACUUCAAGACCACCUAUUGGUCACAUAAGUCUUUUUUUUUUCUUGUAACUAAAGGAUCCAGCUACGGUGCAACAGGUGCACCGUGCCCCUCUUUUUCCUUUUUUGACAGCACCCCUUACUUUCUUCUGUAUUUACAGUUUAUUAAAGUAAUUUCUUUUUCCUCUUUCUUUCACCCCUCAUCUUUACAAUCUUCAAUUUUUUUCCAUUUUGAAUUAAACCUAUAAUCAACCAAUUGCAAGCAAUAAGAAAGAAGUUGACAAGCUAUUUCUUUAUCACCUUAGGAUUCAUUUGCUCUAUAAUACAUAAGUAAUAAUGAAUUGAAGUUUUUAUAUAAAAAAAUCACAUAGAUGUAAUUUUUUUACACACACUAUUUAUCAUCUACAAUGAUUUUUUUGUCUUUUAUUAUAUAUAUUCUUCCCCUUUCUCCUCCGUAUGUCUUUCCAUUUUCUCUUUGAAUAAUCUAACCUAAGGCUUUCUAAUAAUUGGUUUAUUGUUAUUAUUUUUAUAAGUAAACCUUCUCUUUAUUAUGUCAAUAAGUUUAUUUUUUCAAGAAAAAAAAUUCGUAAAUGACCAAAAGUGAGAGCAUUAAUAAAAAUUCAAAACCUAUCUUAAUUUUUGUUGUCUUUGUUGAUGCAUCUCGCAUGUUUGAUCUAUUAAUUAUAACUUGUGAGAGUAAAUACUGUAAUACAAUGAUAAUAAAUUGAUGAUUAGUAAUUCUUACUAAGAGUAUUCAGAGAGAAAGAAGUUCGUGUAAAAUUUUAUAAACUUUGACUUUUCCAAAUUUUCACUAAACAAUAGGGAUUGCAUUAUUAAUAACUAAAUAAACACAUCCAUAACCUUGAAACUACAUUUGUGUUAGAUCCAACGGUGACAGCACAAAAAGACAAAAAGAGGGGUAUGGUGCACCCCUUGCACUGUAGCUGAAUCCUUUAGUUACAAAAUAAUGACUUACUGUACAGCUCAAUAAUUUUAGGUGGUAUGAAACACGUAUGAUGAGACGGUCAUAAUUACACUGUACCAUGAAUGAUCCUCAUUGAGUAUAUAAUCCCUUUCUUUUUUCAAACAAGAUUUAUGCUUUAAUUUUGGGAGGUUUGCUAAGUUCUUUCUUUUUGUAAUGGUUACGGAGACUGACAAUUUUCUAUUGAAGUUAUUUAUACAUGUAUUUCUUUUUCAGCAUGUAAUACAUUUAGGAAAUGAGUAAUGAUUAAGUACAAACACUUUUAGAUAAACAAUGUUGUACGAACUUAUGUGAUAUCUUUUUAGAAAAAAGGAUCUGAACAUCCUUAAGAUUUUAAAAAAUGGUCAUAUAUACUUUGAGUUUUCAAUAAGGAAUAUCAAGACACUUUUUGACUAUAGUAUCCUUAAUAGAUAAUAACAAAAAAUAUUGACUUUAAACAUUUUAAUAAAUAUAAAUAAAAUUUAAAUAGUUUGAUAUGUCUAGUAGACUAAUAAUAUUAGAACGUUUCUUAAUAUAUAAAUAAUUUUUAAAAGAUAAAUUAGUAUAUUUAUUUUAAUAAUAUAUUUUUACUUAUUAUAAAAAUUGUAAAUAAAUCUUUAGGUUAGAUAGAUUUUAAAUUUAAUAAAAUACAUGUCAUGUACUAAUAAUAUUAAAACUAUUUUAUAUAAUAUUGAAAAUAAUUUAAAUUUUAAAUUUUAAUAUUAUGUUUCGAUUUAUUUUGAAAUUUAGUUUAAUAUAAUUUAAUGUUGUAAAGUAUUAAAAUAUUUUAAAAAUAUUGAAAUUAUUUUAAAAUGUAUAUAUUGUUACAUUUAUUUUAAUAUUAUACUUCUAUUUAUUAUAAAUAUUAAAAAUAAUAUUUUAAUUAAAAGGGAGUUUUGGUGUCUCUUACUUAAAAAAUGGAGUGUACGUAAUUGUUUUUUCAAAUUUUCAAGGGUUUACAUGUCAUUUUUCUUACUUUUUUAUAAUCAGUUGAAUAAAAAAAAGUCAUCUGGCCACAUAAAUUAUUUCUAAUUUAUAUUUUCAAUUAACAAAUCAUAAUGUAUCAUAUCUAUUUGUAUAAGCAUUUAUGAACAUAAAAAAUUAAGUUUAGGCACUAGUCGGGUUGGAAAUCAACCCAUCCAACCCAUGUAUAGUGCUAGUUGGGUGAGUUGGACUUAUCUCGAAGACCCAUUUUCUGUCUUUGAAAUGUCAAUAUGAAAUUAAAAUAAUUAAAAAAUAAUUUAAUUGAAACAACUAAAAAUAGAAUACAAAAUUACAAAUAAUAACUAUCCCUCAAACUUCAUUGUUAAUAAAAAUAAUUAUUUGUAUAGGAUCCUAAUUACACCAUAAAAAGUAAUAGGAUGAAUUCAAGAGUUGGGUUUGAAAAUUACAAAUAAUAACUAUUCCUCAAACUUCAUUGUUAAUAAAAAUAAUUAUUUGUAUAGGAUCCUAAUUACACCAUAAAAAGUAAUAGGAUGAAUUCAAGAGUUGGGUUUGAAAAUUUUCAACACCUAGUAAAUAUAGUGCAUCUUCUCCACCCCUAUGAAAUUAGGGGUUGGCUUUCUACUUGAUUUUAAGUAGAGAAAAUGAUCAAAACUACCUUAUUGUUUUUUCAAACUAUAGGGUGAAUUUAAGAGUUGGGUUUGAAAGAUGCAAUAUGUUCAUAUUUAUAUAUAUGAACAUAUUGCAUCUUCACUAUCUUAUCCCCAGAAUUUUUGCACCAAAUCAUGGUAAAAGAAUAAAAAUUCGCAACUCGAAUCAACAAAGUAUUAUCACUAAGUUAUUCUGCAAGCCGCCAAAUUGGAAAAUGUCCCAAAUAAUUAAUUAACCGCAGCGACUUGACAGCUUAACUUUUUCCAACGCUGAGAGUCCUUCAUUCUUCCCUAUUGAGGAUUGGUUAUUGUAAACGUCUGUUGGAGUAACAUGGGGAUAGUGCGGAUGAUUUUUUUCGGAUAGCAACUAUUUAAUUGGACCAUAUUGUCUCGAGCAACUGUUAUUCAUAAAAAAAAACUUCCAAUUGAAAUCGUUGAGCCUCGCCUUCUUGAAAACACUCUGUGAUAGGCACUCUUGAACGCGACACUGGUAAUCAGCUGCAUAAACAUAUAAAAGAACACUGUAAUUAAGCUAUACGAUGGAUUCAUAAUAGUCAAAGUUGUGCAUAACAUCUACUUGCCUGCAUCAUGUAGCCUAAGUUUACAACUAGAGCCCCGGAAACUGGGGUAAUAUCAAACCAUUGAUCUUCACAAAAGACUUGGAAGCCACAAUUCGAUCUUCUAUGAGCAUAGUGACAAAUCCAGGGUCAGAACGUAUUGUUACGCCAAUUGUCAAUUUCGGAUGAGGGCUUUCUGGGUAGUGACUAUUCCUAAUAGUUAUUUCCUCUACAGAACCUGUGUCUUUCAGGUAACUGGAGCCAAACCCUAAAGUUUCAGACAAAAGUUCAAACAGAGUGAAUUAGCAAUUGGCGUUGUUGGAGAAAAAUCAGUUUUUAAAUUUAAAAAAAAAACUUUUUAGGGCCGAUCUCAUACAAUAUAUAAGAAUUCGUAAUCUAGAAAUCGUAUCUUGAAAAUCUGAGAAAAUGAACAAUCUUUGCUUUUUCCACUGAAGUGAAACUAAGCUCCCAGAUCACGAUCCGUCACCACCACGCCUGUUAGAUCAUAGUCUGUCACCACCACGCUUGUUAGAUCACGAACUAUCACCAAUGAUCUUCCAGAUUAUGACUCAGGUUUGAUCUGCAUUUGAUGUGUGAGUGCCUUUAUCACUACCAAUAGCAACUAGUAGGAGAAAAUUUUUCUCUCAAGAUUAGAGAGAAAAAUUCUUUUUCUCUGAUCUGUAUAAUGUGGUCUUAUAUCGUUUCAAGAGAAAAUAAGCCAUUUUAUAUCUUAUCUAGUGGAAACCCUAAGCUCUAUAUUUUCUAUUUUUUAAUUCUAUUAACACAAGACCCCUUACACAUAAGCAUAUUACAUGGAGCCUCCCACUAAAUAAUAUAUUUAAACUUUUAACCCAAAUAACUAGUUAUCUUACUUAUUAAUUUAGUAGCAGCGCAGUCAAUUAAAUGAGCUAACCCAGGGAUCAUUUGGGAACAUACAAUAGUGGCUACAAUAAUUAGGCAUGUAAUCAAACUAGCUCAAUUAAUUAAUUUCAAAUCUACUCCACUAAAAGAUUGGAACUGACCUCCAUAAUUGUAUGCUCGAAUAAUAAUUCAUCCCAAGCCACAUUGAUUUCUUUACUGCACAAUCCUUUAUACCACAUCAUUAAUUAAAUCGAUAUCUCAACUGUCCAAUCAAUUUAAUUACAUCUUGUUCCUCGAUUCUUACUGGUUUUCUCUAAUGAUCAUUUCAACAUACUAAAUAUGUCGACACACUCUGACAAAAGAAUUCUAUGAUCAAGUGCCGAAAACUCAUCAAGAGAUGUGUUGUACAAAUUCUAUAUUGUCAAUCUAUAACUCUAAUACUCAUAAUUGCUCUCAUCAAGAUACCGGGUAAUCUUGACUACAAGUAUGUGUCGUGCCCAUUGGUAAUUCAAAUGAAAUAACAAUUACAAUCAUGAAAUCAUAAUUAACUCAAGAUUAAGAUUACAGUAAAAUCAAUGUCUAUGAGAUUUAAUAAGUCUGACAGUAAUUACAAAGUUAAUUAAAUCUCAUAUGUGAUCAUGUUCAAUGUAGUCUUACUACAUCAAUAAAUUCAUACAUGAUUAAGACAAAUUAUUCAAUGAAUUCAUUACAGUCUAUACCUAAAUAAAGUGCCCAACUUUAUUUAUCAACUGCGAACUAAAUUUAUUUAAUCAUAAGAUAACUUGUAUUUAUGUCUUCUGUGAAUUCACAUGUUGAUUCUUGUCCAAAUUUAUUGAACUCGCAAGUGCACGAAUAUAUUGUAGAAUAGAUUAAUGGUGACGAAUGUCGAUUCCACGAGGAAGUGGAUUUUAAUUAUGUGUAGAAUUAAUUUUCUAUGAGGGUGGUUGGAUUUGUGGUGAAAAUGAUUUGGAAUAUUCUAAACAUUAAAUUAGAAUGGCAGGAAUAAAUUAAAGCGAAAUAUAUUGAAAUGAAGCACUUAGUUAUUUGGAUUUGCAUUAACAUGCACCAUGAGCUAAAUAUUCCUUAGUAAUGUCAAUUAAAUCAUGAGGGGGGUUUCUACUCCUUAUGAACCACACUCUAAUCAAUAUGGUGCUAAGGGCUUAUCGUACCAAAUAAUAAUAACCUUGUAUUAGGGAGUCGGUUAAACCGGUGCGGUAUCAAGACAAGAUUAUUACUAUUUAUUGACGAAAAGUCAAAACAUCAAUAAUAAUUAGAGGGGAAGAGAAAGUAAAUUUACCAAAUAAAGCCCAUGGCACAUGUUGAGACUUCACCAACCCAAGCUUGAAAGAAAAUUAGCUACUCAUAAUUGAACUAAGGGUAAAAUGAGAAUUUAUUAAAUACAUAGAAAAUACAAGAUGGAGAAGGAAUUACAUAAAAUAGAGCUCAAAAAUGAAUUCAGGGAUGCCAAAUUAAAGGGGAGCCCUCCUUUUAAUAGAUACACUAAGUAAAUCAUGGCCAUCAGAUUAAAAACAUUUUGGACGCUCAAGAUUGUGCCACGUCAUCGGUCAAUAGUACGCGGUUUGACCAUGCAGUUUGGUUUUAAAUAAUCCCGUGUAUUAUGCAUGUACCGUACGCACUAUUUUUGAUCCACUAACAUACUGCCACGUCAUUGAUCAACAGUACAUAAGAAUUUUGUCUAAUAAAAUCGUGACAUCUCAUCAGUCAAUGCCACAUCAUCGGUCAAUGCCACGUCAUUGUUCCGUAUAUGUGAACAGUGUCGUGAAUAGUAACACAGUACCGUAUCUGUGAAUAGUACCGUACAUGUGAACAGUGCCAUUUUCCUUUUAAACUCCUCCUAAGGUUUUCAACUGUCCUAAUCUCAAAAGUGAUGUCCGUUUUGCUGUAUGAUCUCUCGUUCAUUGUGAAAUGACCAUGAUGCCCCUAAGAUACAUAAAAUACUUAAUUAUAAUACAACACACAUAAUUAAAUCACAAGAAACUUAAAUACAUAAAAGUAGGAAUGUUAGUGAAACUUGAAGUGUAAAAUGACAAUUUUCUCCUUCAUAAAUAUACACUUUCGAACACUCAACAGUGAUCACAUAAAUACAUAUAAUAUGAUUAAAUGGACUUUAAUCAAAAUAUUAAUACAAUUAAGAUAUUUGAAUAAAAUACCUCAUUUAUUUUAUUAAUCAGAAAAAUUAUUUAUUAUAAUUAAAUAAACACAUAUGCUUUUAAAGAGCAUAUUUUCCCAACAGGCGUAUCUCAUAAAGCCAACUUCGGUGGUUGGGGUAUCCUGCUGUGCAACGCUGUAUCUCUUAUAGCCAACUUUUACGACUUGGACAAUUUGUAUUUUACCGAUUGUCCAUUAAAUUAAUUUGUUUUUGCUGAAAAUGAAUAUUAAAAAAAGAUUAAAAUAAAUAAAAUUAUAAAUAAUUAAAAUCACUGAUUGUCCCAGACCACCAAUAAAACCUCUAAAACUAAAAUUAUAAGCUCCUCUGUAAGAUCCACCAUUAUAUUUCUGAUUACCACUAGCAUUCUUUCAAGGAUUAAAAUGGUUUUGAGUUACAUUAGCUAACAAGUUAUGUGUGACAUCACUAGCAAUUUUACCUCUUGUCUGUUCAACUCUAUUCUCCUGAUUUAGCAGUAAAGAAUAAAAUUCAUCAAGACUGAUCUUAUCAACUCCAGCUAACACACUAAUAACUAAAGAUUCAUAAUCAAAUGAAUCUAGUCUAGUCAAAAUAUAUUGAACAAAAUCACUUAACUCAACAGAUUUUCUAGCUAAAGCCAGUCUGUCAGACAAUCUCUUCAUUUUAACAAAGUAAUCAAUCAUAGACAUUGAUCUUUUUUUGAGUGUUUGAAUAUGCAUCUUAAAGGCAUUAUUCUAGCUUGAGAUUGUAAAGUAAACAUACUUGUGAGUGUAUCCAAAAGCUCUUUAGCAAUGGAGCAAUGAAUGAUUGGAGCGAGUAGAUUUUGCUGAAUAGAUGACAACAUCCAACUCAAAACUAAUUGAUCUGUCUUCAUCCAGGCUGUGUAUGCUGGAUUGACCUUUCGAUUUUUAGUACUAGUUGAGGACCAACUUCAGUGCUAGCUGGUGUGAGAAAUUACUCCGGACGAGUUUGAUCACCAUUAAUGAAAUUAUCCAGAUCGUUUCCUUUGAUCGAUGUUAAAACCUGAGUUUGCCAGACAAUGAAAUUAUUAUGAUCUAGCUUAACAGGAUUGAUAAAACUAUAGGAUCCAGAAAAUUGAUUAGAACUCACCAUUGUAGGCUCUGAUAUCAUGAUAGAAUUUGUAAUAUAUAUGUUUGGAAAGCAAGAAAAUUAAGGAGAAAAAGAUAGAAAGAAAAGAAGAAGAAUUUAGAAUAUGUUAAUUGUUCAGCACAUUACAAAUGUGAUUAUAGCCUUUGUAUUUAUAUUGAGUGAAAUGCUUAACUAUAAUUUGUUAUAACUGGAAUACGUGCUAAACAGUUCGUUAGCCAGAAGGCUGAGAUGGCUAACUAAUUAUUCCACGUCAGCAAGAGCACUCGUGUAUGGUCCUCAUCCUUACUGUAAUUAUCAUACUCUGUAACACUUCUUCUACAUCUUCUUGCUCUUCAGGACCAAGUGUACUUCGUGGGUCUAUAAUUGCUGCUUUGUCUAUCUAUUUGCAAUUCAAAGAAUUAAUUUAUUGGUCAUUUUUUUAGGAAAAAAGAUAACGAAACAUAGUUGUUUGGUAAAAUAGUCAUGUGAACUCUUUCUUCAAAACAUAUAUAAAAACAAACCUUGGAGAUCAGUAUUGUCUAUGUGAUAAUUUCUAAAAAUAAGAGGUUUAACUGACAAUUUUUUCAAACCAUGGGAUGUUGGUAUAUACUCUUUAAGUAAGUACCUUAGUAAUUUGAUUCUAGUGACAAGGGUAAUUCAUUUUCAUCAUCAUUACAGGAGAACUGAUCUGCAAAAGAAGGAUAAUUGAGAUGCCUUUUCUUCAGGGCAGCUUUAAAAAGACAGAUUAUAGCAAAACCGUGAAUAAGAGGUAAUUGUUUACUAUGAUAAAAGGGAAUACCCAACAGCAACAAGACCAAACUGCUCCCAUAACCAAUAUUGUGAACCUCAAAGUCCUCCGUCAUGUUUCCAGAUUAUUUGCAGGGAAUGUUACAACCACAUUACAACACCAGGCAAGCUGCAGCUAUACUUCUUUUUGAGCCUUUACUUAUUUCUCAUUUGGAUUUUUUGUUCUCCCUUCAUCACCAUGUGCUCUUAAUUGAUCGACAAGACAUGGUCCUAAAAGAGGCCCCAUUCCAAAGUCACCCACUGCUAACAAGAUCAUUCCUAUUACGUUGAGCAGUUCAAAUUUAGUUUCUAAGAAUUUACUGGACGCUGUAUAGUACAAUAGCCUUAAUGCCUCCAACAACAAUAGUCGGAACUAAUUGUAUGGCAUAACAUUAUGAUCCUAAAUAUGCUUCUUAAUCAUUACUAUAGUUAGGAGCGGAACAAAAUUGAGAUUUAGGGGGCCAAGUGUAAUUAAGGUAAUUAUUUCAGGAUUAGAGAGUAUUAGUUAUUUUCUGGGGUUAGGGGAUGGGGUUCACGUUUAUGAAACCACCAUAUAAAGAAAAACAACUAGUUUGAAAGUUGAAAUUACAAAUUUAUAUAGUGUGAGAUUAUUUCAACCUACUAAAAUAUUUGUUAUUUUAAAGGCUAAUGAGCUUGCGGCUUUGAAAAGGUUGGAAUGUUAUUUGGUUGGAGAGGGACUCGGUUUCAACUUUAGCUUGUCUUACGAGUACCAAAUUCAAGCCGCCGUAGCAUCUGCAUAUCAUAUAAUUGAAUUGUUUGAGAUUUAUUCGUGGAAUACACUUUGCUAGUUUACACAUCUAGAGAGAGGGGAUUCAGUGGCUGAUAGUCUUGCAAAUUUGGAGUUAAAUCUUAAUGCUCAUAAUUGGUGGGAUAAUCCUCCUAUUUCAAUUCGUCAGAGUUUGCAUGAGUGUAUGCUUGGGAUAUCCCUAAAUAUCAUUUCAAAUGAGUGUUUUUGCAUUCUUUCUUCUCCUUCUUUCCUUAAUAAAAUUGAGUAUCAUAAAAACAAAAACUACCAGAAUGCUUAAUAAAUGUAUUUAUUCAAUAAAUUCAUUUAAAAAUUUAAAUUAUUUUAUUUUAUUUUACCAACCAAUUUUUAGUAUUCAAUAUGUCCUUAUUUGAAAUUCACAUAAUUCUUUCAUCUUUCUCUUUCAAGACUUUUAGGCUUUUAAGGCUCUUUUACAUUCGUGUCUCCCUAAUAUUCUAUUUUUCACUAUUUCAUAAGCACAUCUUUCUUUAAAAUUGUGGGCAUACUAUAUAAUUUACGUAUGUACGUAAAUUAUAAAUAAAUAGAUUUUUAAACGAUAUGAUUACCUAAGGUGCCAUAAGCAAAAUGUUACCUGAGGUAAAUGCGGCAGCCCUACAAAAACAGAGGUGAUGUCUUACCCGUCUUUUGAACCAAUCCUGAAGCUCCUGAGAACAUGGAAACGCUGUGGCUUCAGAAAUUGCUUAUUUUAUUUGCAAAUAUUUCCACCUGUGAAUCCUGAUUCCUGAUACCGUGGAAAUUUGUGUGGGCUCGAUAUACCACCUUAUUACGUCAAGGUAGUGCAUUCGAACAAUAAAAGUUUAUUAUUUUGAUAGGUUUAGUAGGUUUAACGUGGGACCCCACUUAUUUAAUUAAAAAAUAAUAGAUAUAAAAAGUAAUAGUACUACUUCAUCACCGACUGAAUUAAAAAAUAAUGAAUCUUACUUCAAUUGUCUUUGAGACUUAACUAUCGUGGACAGACCGUGGAAGUCUACCUCCUUAUUUUUAAGUACAAAUUAAAGAAUGAAUUGUACUUACUAACAAGCCAAAAUCAUUUAUUGCACAGCUAAAUAUAUUUUAGAUGGUAUAAAUGACCAGCAAUAUAUUGCCAGUUGGGUGCACAUACAAGAUCAUAUUUGGCUUAAGUAUUAUAAAUUAGGAUAAUGCCUAAGAUUUAAACCUAAGUUCGGAGAAUGUCUAAUCACAAAACACAUUUUUUUUUUUUUUGAGGAGAACUAUUGCUUUUUAACUCUCUCAAAUAUUCGAGGGAUGCCAACUCCCCUUUUGAAAAAAAAGACUGUCUUCGCUCAAGCUCUGAAGCUCCAAGAAAGAAAAUUUAAAUUAAACCCCCUACAAUAGGUCUGCAGGGACUCGAACUACUUCGAGCACUUGUGAGAGAGUGGCUCUAGCCACUUAGGCCAAGCCCUAGUGGUUCACAAAACACAAUUAUAAACACUAUAAAAUCUAAAAUUGAAAGGAGAAUAAAAGAUUCUACACAUUAAAGUCCUAUGAAAAACUAUAAAAAUUUUAAGGGACUAGCCUACCCGUCUUAGUUAUUAUAAAUAAAAACUACCUUCUAAUCAAAAGAAAAAUCCAGUACAGUGCCUGCAACAACGACAUACACUACCACUAGUACCACUAAACUAUUACCAACGUCACAAAACAACUCAAAUAUGAAUAUACAUCUUAAACAAUCACUGUUAUUCUACAAAAAUAGAGUAAAUCAUCGGCGGUUUAAUUAACAUUUAUUAAGGGCUCAAAUAAUAUUUUACAAAGGCUAUAAAGAGAGAAAAUUUUCCAUUGGGGGACUUUAAUCACUUGAGUCCCUUUAGGGCUUGAGAGUAAAACAAACAGCCAAGACAAUAUAUAAUAACAAAAUGAAUGAUUAGAAGAGUCUAUGAAUAAUAAAGCCUCGUAAGCAUUGUGGAAAAUUUACUGGGAUAUUUAUCCAUUUUCAUUGGCAACAGGUCAAUAAUACAACUGGCAACUUCACUCACAAAAUGCGAAAAUCCAAUUCAAUAACCAGUUAACCACAAAGUAAUGGACUUGCAUGCCACAUUUCAAGUAUAUGAAGCAUAUAUAUUAGAAAAGUUGACAAAACCCAAAUUAUCACUUAAUUAAUCGGCAUUUAACCCCUCUCAAACUACAAGGGGGGAAAAAAGAACUUACAAAUGUGCAUGUGAAGAUUGUUUAUCUGGGCUCAUUUUGUCAAAGUCAUCUUCGUCAAUUCGAUCUGUUUUGAUUUUGGGCUUUCUAAUUAUAUAGCCAGUUUGAGCUUCUAACAUCCCUUUAAAAUUCUUGUGAAGUCCUACUGUUGCAUUUGUAACACUUGCUUUUAAGAAAUUAUUUAAAAAGACAGAAUAAUAUGAUAGAGUUAAUUAAAAUUUAACAUACUUUUUUAAAAUAAAAAAUCUAUCAUUAGGUAAUUUAUUUCUUCAUUGUCUCAAAAUUAUUUGAGUUUGCAUAAGAAAUUUAUUAUAUCAUAAAUUAGGAUUGGUGAUGAUACAGCCACAAACUCUUGUACAAACUUAUCUUGUACAAAUUGAUUUGACAUUAAUUCAUUGGUUGAAUGAAAACAUAAAAUAAUAAAAAUAAAUAAUGUGCGUCAAGAAAUAUUUAAUUCAACCAAUUUUAUCAUACCACAUCAGUUUAUAUAAAAUAAAUUUAUACAAGAGUUUGUGACUAUAUUAUUACUCAUUAGGAUUUAAAGAUGGGAUAGUUCAUAAUUAGCAGGUAUAAAGAUAUUUUAAUCGAGUUAAAUUCAUAAUUGUCCUUCUCUAGCAGUAGAACUAUGUUCACAAAAAAUGCGGAUUUACAAGGAUUUUAAAGGGGUGUGAAAAGCAUUAAUUACUCUUACACGACAUCACCCAAAUAAUCAAUUCAAACGCACUCGGCUAGAUUUGUUCCAAGAUUAGACCUUUUGACACCCCUCAAAAUUCCUCAUAAAACCCCUUGUUAAUAGAAGUUACUUAAAUAAUCAAAGAUAAAUUAAUUCAUUUCUUACUUUAACUAGAAAUCCGAUUAAACAAUUAAAAAAUUUCUAUUAAAUUUUUUUUCACCCAUCCCAUUUCAUAAUUUAUAUUUAUAUUUAUAUUUUAGUUUUUAAUUUUUUAAAAACUUAUAAGAGUUUAGAAUUAUGGAGAUAGAAACUAUAUAAUAAAAAGAAAAUAAUUUAAAUUUUAAGAAAUUUUAGUACUUUAUAAAUAAAACUUAAAAGAAAUAUUCAUUUAGAGUUGGUAAGAUAAUUGAUUUUAAUAUAUGAAUUUGUAUUUUAUAAAUUAAACUGUGAUAUUUUAAAAAAUAAAUUUAAAAGAAUAUUAUAAGAAUUUUAACGAAGUGUUAAAAACUCCACCCUUAUCUCAAAGAGUUAGUAUGCAAAAGUAAAAACAUAAGCAAUACCCGUUAACACCAUUGGACCUUUGACCUGGUGAUAAAGAACCUAUUGGGGGCACAGGUUCAAGUUUUUGUUUUAUUUAUCCAAAUUGAGUGAAAGUAACAUCAUUGAAUCCUAUAUUACAUAACUGCAAAAUCAUAGAACUAAAAAAUUUCGAAUUAAUUCAAACAAAUAAUACAAGGGCAAUCUAGAAAUCAUAUUAUCUUGAACUAUUACUUUAUCAACUUUAAAUGAAUACUGCAACUUAAGUCCAAAAUCAGUACCAAUAAAUGAGACAUGGACAGCCUUAUUAUGCUGCUCUUGUUCUGUUUUCAGCAUAAAAAGCCAAUUCUGCUGUUCUUAAACUGUUUCUCAACAAGAUGGAACAUGAAGUUGUAUUCAAUGACACAUGGACAUUUCAUGAUUAUAAAAAAAUCUAUUUACUUCAGCUAACCUCAAGGAAAUAAUCUAGUAUUGUAGUCAGUGAUGCAUAGAAUAUAUUAAAUGAGAACAUAUUUUUCUAUAACAACGAAAAAGGAAUUGCUAUUAGAGCAGAGUACAUCAAACGGAAAGAUUACUCACAGUGAACACUGGAACUUGUGUGCCUUGCCUUCAAUUCUUUUCAAUUUAGAUUUGUUCAAGAAUGUGCAAUUGGUAUCAGCAACUUUGGGUUGUAAGAAUAGAGACAGCAAACAACUAUCAAAAAAAAAAAAAUGUGGAACUUAGUUUGAAGAAAUAUUGUGGAUCAUAUCAAAUGCCAAAUGUUGGAUAAUCUUUUCCAAAUGUUGGAUAACAAGAAAAGGGAUGCACACAAGACCGCUGACUGAAAACAGAAAUAAUUGGACAAAUAAAGCCCAAACCACAACUCAUCCUAAUCUUUAUGUUACUAAUGGAAGCUAAAAGCACAUAAGUCAUCAACUAUUUACAUUUUCUGAUAGAUACGGAUGCUUAAUACUUUCAUCAUGAUAUCCAGAAACAAUAAAAUUAAGCUAGUACAAAGAUAUCUAAAUGAAGAUGAUAAUAUCAUAGGCAAAAUAUGGUCCAAUGGAUUAGGAAAAUCAAGCUAAGGUCAUUUUUUUAUACUAAAUGCUUAAUUAAAAAGACAUCAUUAUAUGUUUUAUACAUGCACAAAUUGUCAUUUAUUUGAGGCAUGUCUAAUAUUUAGUGGAGUGACAAAUAUACUUGAAAAUUUAUAAAAAUUAUCAAAUAAUAUGUAAGAAAUAUAGUUAUUUUUGUUGUAAUAUUAAUGCAAUAAAUUUUUAUCGUAUCAUAUCGGCAUGUUUAAAGAGGGAAAAAAAAAACUCAGAGACUCAAAAACUCCAAACUUUAAUGUAUAGCUGGCAUUUAUUUGUAGGCUCAAUUGAAGUACAGAAGUCACAAUUCCAAACAACAAACAAGCUAUCAUUACUAAUCCACCAAAUUGGAAAACAUCCUCAAUUAAAUUAACCACCGCGCCUUUCCAGCUUAAGUUUUUCCAACGCUGAUAGUCCUUCUGUUGAGGAUUGGUUAUUGUAAAUAUCUUUUAAAGUAAUUGCAGGAUAGAGCGUAGGAUUUUCUUCGGAUAGCAACUCUUUAAUUGGACCACAUCGUCUCGAGCAACUGUUGUUCAUAAAAAAACUUCCGAUUGAAAUCCUUGAGCCUUCCUUUUUUGACAACACUCUGUGAUAGGCACUUUUGAACUUGUCAUUGGUGAUUAGCUGCAUAAACACACAAUAAAAAAUUCCACUAUAAUUAAGUUACAUGAUGGAUUAAUAAUAGUCAAAUUGAUACAUAACAUGUACCUGCCUGCAUCAUGUAACCUAAGUUUACAACUAGAGCUUCGGGAACAUGGGUAAUUACGAUCUGCAGUUUCCUAAUUUAACUCAUGCAUACGCGAGGCUUUUGUUUACCCUAGUUUUUAGUAUAAAAAGAGGCACGCAUCACAUAAUACGGCGGCAAGGAAUUAUCAUUAGAAAAAUUGGAGAGAAAAAGAAGAAGAAGAUCAUAAUUCAAGGGAACGGCUGCAGCAUCAUUGAAGAAUCCAGCAGAGUUAUUUGGAUUCACUUUUUGCCGUUCUCGACUUAUACCUUUCUUCUUUCUCUAACUGAUCUAAUGUAUUUCAUGAACAAUAUGUUGCUGAUUGUUUAUCUCUUUCAGAAUAUGAACUAAACUUGCUUGUAUUUGAGUGACAAAUAAUCUAAUGGGUUCUUGACUGUUCUUAUGAGUUGCUAUGUCAUGGCUGUAGCAUUUUACUCUAGUAGCUAUUAUUAUAACUGUUAUUUUGGUUGACCACCCAUUUAAUGGUUUAAGUUAAGAUAGGACUGUAAAAGGGCAUGUCUUAGUGGAUAUUAUUAGAGAAAUACUUUAUCUUAAUUUAAGUUUCCUAUAUUAAGUUUAUCUUGAAUCCCAUAAGGACCAUACUUGAAGUUAAGAUUUGUGAUAAACUAGACAUAAGUAUUCACCUUGUAGGGUGGAGAGAAUGGAUGUUCAUAAUGCCAUGCCAUAGGUAAAAUAGCAACUGGUCAUUGCGAAGAUGUUUACGAGUAUGAGACUUCCAAUAUGCGAUAGCUGAGGAUGCAAAUUAAAUUCUGCCCAGUGCUAUAGAAAUUGUUGUAGCAACUGGUGUUAACUUGAUGAAAAGCAGUCAGCCUAUAAAGAGAGUUUGAUCAUUCAACUACCUUAUUCUCAUUUGAUUCUUCGACGCAUUUUAUUUAAUUUGUUUCAUUACUGCAUUGUUUAACUUUAUUAUCUCACAAUUAUCAAUUUCAAUAGUAACCAACUUUACAUUUGUUAAUUUAGGAAUCAAGUUAGAUUACACUAUCGUAAUUGCUGUAGCAUUUCUAGUAACAUCAAUCCCUGUGGAGACGAUCUUGAAUAUUAAUCACGUUAUUACUUGUUGUGUAUACUUGCACAUUAGCAUAAAUAGAAUUUGAUAAAAAAUACCAACAAUGAGAUAGGGGUAAACUUCAGGAUGUGCUGCAGUUUUUAAUUGUUGUGCAGAUUCUUUUGAUUCCUAUCUCUAGUGGAGAACCAGAUGUGAUUUUGUGGGACCUUUCUCCUGAUGGUAGUUUUUCUUUGAAGACAACUUCAAAUAUUGUGCAUUGGACAAUGCCAAGUGAUGAGGCUUUUUUUGUUAUUUGGCAGCGACAUAUCUUUUCUUGGAUAUCUUUUUUUCUCUAGAGGUUGUGACACAAAUUCUUGACCACAGAUGAUGCCUCAUGUUCGGGGGAUUUCUGCAUAGUUUCUUAGUAUCUUUGCAGUUGGGCUUAUGAGACUUCUAGGUAUUUUCUUUCUUGAUUGCCCUCGAUUUGCGCUAUGUUGCUUUUUUGUUCCCUCGUACUUUAUUUCUUAAUUGGUAGUGAUGUGCCCUUUCUUGGAGCCAUAUUCGAGUUCUUCUUCCUUGUUUCAUUUUGUGGCGAGUUUAGAAGGCCUGUAAUGCAUUGAAGUUUGACUCAAUGGCCUUUUUUUUGUUGAUGUUGUUAUUUAUCGGGCAAUGUUGGAUCUUAGGCUUGCCAAUUCUGCCUUUGGUCUUAAACCAUCCCAACUGUGAGGAGUUCUAGGUUCUCGAUUUGCAAAGUGCUUGAGAGUUGUUGUUUCAUCCAGGAGGCUGAUUCUUUUAGUUUUUGGUUGUGGUCACCACCUGGGGUGGUGAAGCUGACUAUUGAUGGUUGCUUUAGGAGUAAUCCUAGGAUGGCUGCUUCAGAUAGUAUUUUACGUGAUGAUUAGGUUGUGGCUUUGGCUGCUUUUGGUUCCUUCCUUGGGUGCUAACUGAUCUUUCAUGCAGAAUUCAUGGCUGUUUUUGAGGGGUUAGAGUUGCUGCUCAGCUCCAUUAUUCUGUGCUUGACGUAGAGUCGGACUCAGCCAUGGUGGCUUCUUGGAUUCUUUUCUAAGGCCUUGUUCAUAUAGACUAUACCUAUUCUUUGCGUCGAGUGUGUAGUUUGACAUUUUCUUCUACUUCAUGGUUAGUCAUGUGCUUCGAAAGGCUACUUCUACUACUGAUUUCUUUGGCCUACACUCUUUAAGUUCAUCGGCGUUUCUUGGGUUCUCAAGAUAUCUCUGCUGGCUUAUCUAAUAAUCUUCGUUUGAAUUGUGGGUAAUUUAACAUAUCAGGCAAUAUAAUUGCUUAUUUUUGUGUUCUAUUUUUUAUCUUGUAUUUUUCACUUUUUCAUUCUUAUGUUCUUGCAAUUGCGGUUUUGAUUUAUAUUCACCUCCUUAUAUAUUUGAUUCAUUCUAUGAUUUAUAUGAAAGAUAGGAGUCCCACCUAAUCCUACCUUUUUGGUGGUUAAAAAAAAAAAGAUUAGGAAUCAAACCUAGGUCAUCAAGGUGAAACAUCAAUCAGGUUGUAAAUUUAACAUAUGAACGUAAAAGCUUAACAAAACAUUUGAAGUUGCUUGACAGCAUAGAAAUACAAGCAAAAAGAGAUGCUAAACAACACAAAAUUUUGAUUGGGUGGGAGUAUUGUUCAUGCUAGCAUAAUAAUGAGGUGCCUGAGAAUACCUAUGACUUUCUUGAUAAAUAAUAUCAUCUAAAAGGUUAAGAAUCACAGAUGAUUGUCCACGUAUGAACAAAUCUGGCUCCAAAUGUGAAAUGUAUUAAGAUUUUCAAACAUUUAAAUUAAUAGUUAAUAAUUUCGGACAAAGGAUACUUGGAGACCCUAAAGUUCAUUGAUUCUAUAUUAAAAGACAACACCGUUACUAAAAUUAUAAAUUAUAACAGUUAAACCUAAACCUACGUCGUUUAGCAAUUUACAAAAGAAAAAAAAUAUAACAAAAGCCAAUUGUUGGAGUAGCAACAUGCCAAAGAGAAAACCUCAAGCCAUGUAAUAUCCUGUAUCAACUAAAAAGGAACAAACCACCACCCUCAAGGCCGUCGCUGCACUAACGCUGGGCCCGAUUUGAAUAGUUAGAAGUUGUAACAUUAUUUAGGGAUUGAGGGUAAAAUUUUGGACUUUGAUUUAAUAAAAUUGAUUUAUAUGAGUCCCAAUAGAAAUAUAAUAAUAAAUAUAUCAAUACAAUUAUAAUAUGUUUAAAAGAAAAAAUUUAUUUUCACACAACAAAAAACACAACCUUUGGAUGUGGGAUGUGUCUAAAAAAUAAUAGGGUGGAAAUAUUAUCACCCUCAAAUUAGAUAUAUAAAUGUUUAAUGUUUUACUCUCAUAAUUUUCUAUUUACUUUUUUGAAUAUUGUUAAGAGAAAGAUAGAAGUUAAUAUAUAGACAAAUCGAGUCCCUUAUUUUAUUAUUCAUAUCCAUAAAAAGUAACCACUAUGCUAGUCCCCCGAACUUAGCAUAAGACGGUAAUUUAAAAAAAGAAAAAAAAAAGAACGUUUCUAGACACCAAAACGAAAGCAAAACAAACACAAAGCGAGACAUACAAACAAAUUUUAUGCUACUGCAUUCAAGCAGAAGCCAUCAACUGUUCACGACGAAGUUUGAGAGCAACCAAUAGUUCAUCCCGAUUAGGAAGAUUUUCUUCAAUCACAGGGACUUGCUUGAAAGUUUCAAUCCAGGCAUGCAAGUGAGGGAAUUUGUGUGAUUCAAAUAGUUUAGCGCCCACUAUAUCUUCAAUGACUUGCAACCAAUAAACAAUUGAACCAAACGCUAGGUCCACUAAGCCAAUAUUGUCUCCAUUGAAAAAUUUCUUCUCUCCCAAGCCAUGCUCUUCAACUGUUUGUAGCAUUUCCAAGGCUUCCUUCAUUGUGUUUUGUAGUUCUUGUCCAGUGCUACGAAACAUUUUCCAAACAGCAACACCCUGCCACAAAUAUUUUACAUCUGAUUUUAUCACCGACAUGAUUAAUUAAUAAUAUGUAUAUAAAAGUAAAAAAUCGUUGGACGAUAUGUACACGUGUCACAAUAUCCUUUAAUUAGAGGUUUAAUAAGUUAAUUAAGAGAGUUCAACCACUGAGUUGUAAAAUCCUUUAAUUCACUUUCUCUCAAUGCUUCAAAAAUCAUCAAAAUUCCCCGUGAAGUUAAAAACGGUUGUGUUAACUUUAACUUAUUACAUCUUUUCAUAUUGAAGGAUAAAACAGUGAAGACACCAGAAAUUGAAAGUUUAGAGAACUUUUUACAAAUAAAUAUGAAGGAGACCCCUGGGUGGCUGGGCUCGACUGGCUAUGAAUUCACUUCCGCCAUCACCCGAGUUUGAGUAUAUAUGGAGAGUAAGAGUUAGUGUUUGGUGGGUGGAUUUCGUUAUCCUCGUCACCUCAUCUAGAUCUUAAAGUAAAUAAAUAAAUAAACACAUUUGAAAAGAAUGAACUUAAUCAUAAACGUGUUUGCCAGAGUUGUGAGCGAACCUUGUCUUCGGCGAAUUUAAUCCAGAAUCGAGCAAGAGCUCUAUCAUAAGGAUUAUUUGGCAUCAAGGGAUUCUGUGGCCACGUCUCUUCGAUGUAUUCGAGAAUAACCAUGGACUCACAAACUGGUUUUCCGCCAUGGACAAGCACUGGGAUCUUCUUGUGAACCGGAUUGUGCUUCAAAAGCAAAGCACUUUUGUUUGAGAGAUCUUCUGCAACAAAUUCAUAUGGCACGCCUUUCAAUUUCAGAGCCCAAAUUACCCUGUAAACAAAUGGACUCAGCAGGGUUCCAUGAAGCUUCACUUCAGCCAUGAUAAUUCUAAGAUUGAAUUUGAAUUAUCGGUUUUUGUGAUCGAUGUUGUGUAUGGCUGUUAACUCAUUACAUAUGUUUCUGAAUUUAUAGUGAUUUAUGGUAUGCACUUUCUUGAGCAGAAAGCUUCAAUUUUCCAUUAAUAAAACGAUUAAUGAUGAAUUCAAAGAACUGGUGCGAUGACUUUAAUUAAAUAUUUUUUUACGCUGUGUGCAACCGCAUUUUGAGGUUAAUUUAAAGGAUAUUAUUUUCUCCUGAUCAAAACUUUUAUAUAAAAAAAUAAUUAUGUGAUUGGUAGUUAUUAAGUAAAAAUAAAAUAAAAAAUAAAUUUUGAACGUAAAUAAAUAAAAAUCAUAUAUGUUAUAAAGAUUUUUUAAAACUCAAAUAAGUGCACCCAAUUCCUAAUUUAAAACGCUAGCCAAUGAGAUCAAUAAUUUGGUCAACCAGUCAGAGAUAACCAUACAAUAAUUAAUCAAAAAUUUGCCAUUUGUUUUACAUUUAAGACCUUUGCGUCAUGCAUGAUGAUCAAUUGAUCAUGACAUGGAUCAAUUAGUCAACAAGACAUUUGCCUUUUGUGCAUGUAUCCACAUUGGACACAAAUAUAAUUUGUUAUAAAAAAAUUGGACUAAAUUAUUUUUUAAUAUAUUUUUUUAAAAUAAUACAUCUGAUCCUAGAGGGCCUGUUAUUUAGUUCGUAAAUCUUAUAACAGGACCCAUGAUUUUUUUUUUUUUUAAAAUCUUAUGGGUCCCCUAUUAUUUAAUUUGUGGAAUUGACGGAGGUAACUUACAAUUUCAUUUUUGUAAUUUACAGCUUUCAAUAAAUUCAGAUAAUAUUAGGCGGUAAAAGUCGGCCAAGCUGGAGGAGUAGAUCUAUAAAAUUUGCUAGCACUUUGCACUAUCUGUUUGGUGCCCAGAAACACACAUAUAUAUCAUCCACUUUUUAUUUAACGCUGGGUUUUUUUCGACCCAUAAUAAUUUCUCUUUCCACAUCAACUUUUUAAUAAAAACUUUUAUUGUCAAGAUAAAUUGUUAGUAAUUACUUCACUAAUCCUCCCUUUUUUUUGGGCCAAUUUCUCUUUCGCAACUGACAAAAUUUAAUUCACAUCAUGUGAUAGUAUGAUUGCAAAUAAAUUUGAAGUUAUCUCUCGCAAGUUAUUCAAAAAUACAUUGACAUAUCUUGUGUAUAGAACUAAAGAACAAUAGCAAAACCAAUAUCCUUUAGCCGAUCGCUGCUAUUAGGACGGCAAAAUUAGUAGUAAAUAUGUAAAUUUGUCUAAACCCAUCUACAAAAUUCUGUCCACUGCGAAUAAUUUUGUAGGUUGCGGAUAAGUUUGAUAUUUUAAAUUUAAGUUCGUUGCAGAUUACGGAUGGAUUCAAUAUUGAGAAAAAAAUUGGCGGGUGUCUGCCGCUAGCAUUUUUUUAAUUAUUUAUGUUUUUAAUUUUAAUCACAAAGAUUGUCUUAAAAAAAAUUUAAUCAUAAAAAUAUAAUAGUUAAAGAUAUUACUCUAAUCUUCCAAAUUCCUAAACCUAACCUAACUCAUGACAGUUGCACACCCUACUCCUUCAAGUAUGUAUGUAUGUAAAUGUAUACACACGCCCACACACACAAAAUUAGCUUUUAAUAAGUAGAUUUAGUAUUUUUCAAGUUUAAUAUUAAUGAUAUUUUAAUUUAAUUUAAUUACUUUUGUUUGUUUCGCUUUAAUGACUUGAACUUAGUAAUUGCUGGCUAAGAUUGGAUUUUUAUUUAUCUAAUUAAUGGUCAAUAGUUGUCCAAAAUAUAUUUGUUAAUAUUGUUGACAAUACUUAUAUAUUGACUGAAAGAUAGAGCAAGGCAUUAAUUUUAGUAAUAAUUAUUUGCCUACAACAAAAAUAUUUUGUGUUAGAAUGAUAUAUUUUGUGUAUUUGUUUUAAUAUUGAAACUUUAAUUUCUCUUUUAUAUUGAUAAAAUCUAAAGUUGAGUAGUUUAUGUAGAUUUUUUAGUCUGUUACUAUAAAGUUAUAUUUUGAAUUAUAUAAUUUAAAUUAUUAAAUAUAAUUUUUUAAUAUUUAUAAUUUUAAAUAAAAAAAUUUAUUAAAAAAAAAAACUACUACAUGUUAUGGGUGGAUUUGCUAAUUAUUAAAAAUUAUAGCGAACAAACUAAAGAAAAAAAGAGGCAACCGGUUACGGGCGAAUUUAAUAAUGACAAACCCAUAAUAAGCAAUACCAUUACCAUCGGCAGCUUCUAUAACGCAGGGCCGGCGGCGGUCUUGAAUUGUUAGAAGUUGCAACAUUAAUUAGCAAAAUUUUCUGCGUCAUCCCUGAAGUAUAGCAUAGAAUUAGAUAUAUCCCCUUGUUUUCAAAAUUAGUCUCUUAUUCCCAUAUGUUGUUUACUUAAUUUUUUUUUUCAUUUCAAUUGGAUUUAUAACUUCGUAAUGUUGCGCCUUGUAAAAUGUAUGCUUAAAACGCGUGCUUCUUAUUUUUUAUAUACUGCUAAGAGAAUUUGAGAAUAGAAAUAUAUAAAAUGGUGUCUCAUUUAUUAAUUAUUUAUAUCCUCUAAAUAGCACCUAACAUGCAAGCUCACUUCAAUAGCAAAAUUAAUUAAACAAAAAAAAAAAAAAGCAUUUUUAACACCAGUACAAAAACAUAACGAGUGUAAAGGAAGACUCAUUAACUUAUUUUAUGAUAUUAAAUUCACGCAGAUACCAUCAAUGUUUCUCGACCACGUUUGAAAGAGACCACCAACUCACGCUGAUUUGGAAGAUUUUCUUUAAGUAUAUAAGUGAAAAUUAUUACUCUAGUCUUCAAAAUUCUUAAACCUAAUCUAAGUCAUUACAGCCGCAUGCCUUGCUCCUUUUAUUAUAUGUAUAUAUUUUACGAUGAAUACAAUAACUUUCAAUAAGAAGAAUUUUAUACUUUUCAAGCUUAAUAUUAAUGAUAAUUUAAUUUAUUUUAUUUUAAUUACUUUGAAUUGUUUUUGUUUAAUGACCUGAACAUAUUGGUUGUUUGCUAAAGUUGAAUUUUUAUUUGUCUAAUUAAUUGACGAUAGCAAUUGUAUAAAAUUUACUUAAAAAGAUAAAAUCUUAGUAGAUUACAGAAAGAUUUAGUAAUGACAAACAUGUAGCAGCCAAUACACAUUACCAUCCCCAACUGCUAUAAUGCAGGGCCAUGGGCAGUCUUAAUUGUUAGAAUGUGCAAAAUUAAUUAGUAAAAUGUUCAGCGGUAUCCUUGAAUUUUGGCAUAGAAUUAGAUAUAUCCCCUAGUUUUCAAAAUUAGUUUUUGAUUCCCCUGUUGUUUACUUUAUAUAUAUAUAUAUAUAUAUAUAUAGUAGUUUUAUGGUCAGGGAUUUUAAAGUGCGGGAAAGUCCGGGAAAACUUUAAAACCGCAUGGUUUUCAAGGUUUAAAACUGUAAGUCUUUAAAACCAUGCGGUUUUAAAGGUUUCCUGCACUUUCCCGUACUUUAAAAUUCCGGACUGAAACAUAUUUAUAUAUAUAUAUAUAUAUAUAUAUAUAUAUAUAUAUAUAUAUAUAUAUAUAUAUUUCACUUGGAUAUAUAACUUUGUAAUGUUGCGCCUUAUAAAAUGUAUGCUUAAAAUGCAUGCUUAUUACUUUUUAUAUGCUGUUAAGAGAAAUUGAGAAUAGAAAUAUGUAAAAUGGAGUUUCAUUUAUUAAUUAUUUAUAUCCAUUAAAUAGCACCCAACAUGUAGUUCGUCUCAAUAGUAAAAUUAAUUAAACGAAGCAAAAAGAUUUUUUUUAGCAUCAGUACAAAAAUAAAAAAAAGCACAAAGCGAGAAUCACAAACUUAUUUUAUGAUAUUACAUUCACGCAGAUGUCACCAAUAUUUCCCGACGACGUUUGAAAGCGAUCACCAUCUCAUGCUGAUUUGGAAGAUUUUCUUCAAUUACAGGGACUUUCCUGAAAUUUUCAAACCACUCAUGCAAGCUUGGGAAUUUGUGAGAUUCAAAUAGUUUCACUCCCAUUACAUCUUCAAGGACAUGCAGCCAAUAAGCAAUGGCUUCAAAUGCUAGGUCCGCUAAGCCAAUAUUGUCUCCAUUGAAAAAUUUCUUCUCUCCUAGGCCAUGUUUUUCAACGGUUUGAAGCAUUUCCAAGGCUGCCUUCAUUGCAUUCUCCAGGUCUUGUCCAGUGCUGAAAAACAUUUUCCAAACAGCUACUCCCUGCCACAAGAUUUUAUAUCUAAUUCUUAUCACCACAUGAUUAACAAAAGAAAUUAGAUAAUAUGUACACACGCGUCAAAAUAUCUUUUCAAGGCUAGACGUUUCAAACUGUCAAAGUAUUUAGGAGAGUUUAUCCACUAAUUUUUAGACUAGUUUAGUAUAACUUUUCAAAGCUUAUUUAAAUAGAAUUUUUAUUAGUAAAACUUUAAUUUUUAUAAAAAAAAUUAAUUAUUUAAUUGUUAAUGAAAUUUAAAAAAAAUUUGAAAUUACUUUAACAGAUAAAUUUUUAAAGUUAUGUUACGAAAUAAAUAAAAUAAGAUUAUAAAAUAAAUGAUGAACAUUUUAAACAAUUUAACUUUUAAAAAAAAUUCCUCAAACCUCUAUUUCCAAAAGUUUAAAUUUAAACUUUUACUAGUAUAGGCAAAAGAAUUUAUUUAAUCCCAAAAUGUUCUACUAAAAAUAAAACUAAACAAUAAUAAAAAAUUUAAAAAGAGUUUUUUUUUUAUUAAAUAAACACUUAUGAGUAAUAAAUAAGCCACAUCAAACAAAUACUCAAUGAUAUAAAAGGAAGAAGAUAAAAAAAAAAAUCCUCUUAUUAUUUUAGUAAAUUAUAAUUUUGCUUUCAUGUUUCAAAAGACCUUAAAAUUCUCCCUAUCGCUAAAACAAUUAUAUUUUAAUAUUUUACCCUUGAUGUGGUAAAAUCCACGAUUAAUUAAGAAAAAUUUCUAAAGGUAAAAAAUUUAAAGUAAUUAACCGCAUUUUUUUGAUAACUUUCUCUAAUGUAAAAUAAAAGGCUCAUUGAGCUUAGUCGGCCGUGAAUGCAUUUUGCACAUGCGAGGACAUUAGUUUGAGCAUUAAUAGAAGAUAAAAAUUAAUGUUUAGAGAGUCAUAUUUCUCAUAUACAAUGAAAAAUUAAAGUAUAUAAAGAAAUCCGACAAGAUUAAUUAAAUUUACAAACGUGUUAGCAAGAAAAGUUGUGGUGCGAACCUUGUCUUCGGCAAAUUUAAUCCAAAAACGAGCUUGAGCUCUAUCAUAAGGAUCACUUGGCAUCAAGGAGGGAUUCUGUGGCCACAUCUCUUCAAUGUAUUCGAGAAUAACCAUGGACUCGCAAACUGGUUUUUCGCCAUGAACGAGCACUGGUAUCAUCUUGUGAACUGGAUUAUACUUCAGAAGCGAAGCACUUUUGUUGUAGAGAUCUUCUUCAAUGUAUUCAUACGGGAUGCCUUUCAAUUUCAGAGCCCAUACCACCUUGUUGCUAAAUGGACUCGCCCAUCCCCCGUGGAGCUUCACUUCAGCCAUGUGUCUAAGAUCGAAUUUGAAUAUGUUUGCGGUUGUUUUGCUUAGCUGAUGAGUUAUUGCAUACGUACAUCUGAAUUUAUAAUGAUUAUUCAUUAAUAUUGGAAUAUGGAGUGCGCUUGCUUGAGCAGGGAGCUUCAUAUUUCCAAUUUAUUUAAUAAAACGAUUAAAUUAAGUUGAAUUCAAUGAACUAAUGCUGCGACUUUUUAACAAUUCUGUUAUAUAUUCAACGAGAAGAGGUAUCGUAUUUGACGGGAAUCUCUUGAAACAGUGCUGAAUGAACAAGUAAUCUUAUUUAAUUUGGUCAACUGGUCAGAUAUGGCUUAAUUAUAUAUUUGGCGUUUGUUUUAGGUGCCCAGCUAGCCCUGCUGCUGUGCUUUUGACUUUACCAUGGGGUGGAGUCGUGGAGAUAUCAUCAUCCCAACUGAAGACAUAUUAUGAUAUUCUCCUGAAAACUUUGUGAGACUCAUUUACUCUACAAUUUUAGCAUUUUAGGCCAAAUAACUUCAUAUAAAUGACGUUUUGUCCCCCGGCUCCAUCUCUUCUAUAUAAAUCCGAACACCUGAAAAAUGACGAGACCGGAACAACUCUCCCUCUUAAGUCUAUGCAAAUUUUACACACCAGAGAAAGAGAGGGAGAGGGGCAGCCAUGAGAGACAACGAUACAGAAAAGAAUAUGGAAGAGAGUUUAUUAAUACCAAAAGAGAGUUUAUCAUCAACAUCCACAACAUGGGAUUUGUUGAGUGGAGAAGUGAAAAAGCAGGGUUACAUAGCAGCACCAAUGGUGGCAGUAACUUUAUCACAGUAUUUGCUUCAAGUUGUUUCCAUGAUGAUGGUUGGUUAUCUUGGUCAACUUGCUCUUUCUAGCACCGCCAUGGCCAUCUCUCUAGCUAGCGUCACCGGCUUCAGCGUCCUUGUGAGUCCUACAAUCCAUAUAUAGUUAUAUACACAAGAUUGUUUAUUCUUUCUUUUGAUAGGUAUUUGCAUCAUUGCAUGUGGGAUUUAAACAAAUAGAUGUGCCAAAUUUCUGAUGUUAAAAAACAUGCAAUUAACUAAUACCCUGUUUUUAAAAAUGCCAUUAAUUUUUAAAGGACUUGAUUUGCUCUUUUUUUUUUAAAAAAAAAAAUUCUACAGCUAACUUGAAUUGUGUAAUAUUUUCUUUGAAACAGUUAGGAAUGGCAAGUGCUCUGGAAACAUUAUGUGGGCAAGCAUAUGGAGCUCAGCAAUAUCAAAGAAUUGGAACUCAAAUUUACACUGCAAUAUUUUGUUUAUUCUUAGUAUGUUUUCCGCUUUCCUUUCUAGGGAUUUACAUGGGAAGGCUGCUAGUUUUGGUAGGCCAAGACCCCCAGAUUUCACACGAAGUAGGCAAGUUUAUAAUCUGGCUUCUUCCAGCUCUGUUUGCUUAUGCAGCAAUGCAGGCGCUUAUUCGAUAUUUUCAGUCUCAAAGUUUGAUCAUUCCCAUGUUCUUAAGCUCCUAUGCCGCUCUUUGUUUGCAUAUUCCCAUCUGUUGGGGUUUGGUAUUCAAGUCUGGACUGGGAAACCUUGGAAUUCGAGAGUUCUUCCAAUUUGCUAUCCCUUCUGCAGUAAUGGUUUGGUAUGUUAAUUAUCUUCUGGAGUUUCAUUUUCCCUUCUCAUAGAUAUCGUAGACACGUCAUAAAUUUUCAUGCAUCUUCUUUUGUUUAUAAUUUUGCAGCCUAGAAUGGUGGUCGUUUGAAUUGCUCAUUUUAAUGUCAGGGCUGUUGCCUAACCCACAGCUUGAAACUUCAGUCCUAUCUGUAUGGUAUGUUGACAUAUCUUUGUAUGUCAAAGUUCUAUACAGAGAAGCACCUACCAAAAGGAAAUAUAUUUUUUUUCUUUUUUUCCCCGACUGCUCAUUAUUUGUCAACUUCUUUGGGCAGUCUCAGUACUAUUCAAACCCUCUCUGCAAUCCCAUAUGGACUUGGUGCUGCAGUGAGGUUUGUUCAUAACAAUCAUUUAAAUAAUAAUUGUUUUAUAUCAACUAAUUAGCAGAUUAACCAUUAUUUCCUUCUAUAGUACUAGAGUUUCAAAUGAACUAGGAGCUGGGAAUGUGCAAAGAGCCCGUGUAGCUGUCUAUGCUGUGGUCUUUAUGGCGGUCAUGGAGACUAUCAUAGUAAGUGCAUCUCUCUUUGCCAGCCGGCGUGUUUUUGGUUAUGUUUUCAGCAAUGAGGGACAAGUUGUGGAUUAUGUCACAACCAUGGCUCCUCUGGUUUGUUUGUCUGUCAUCAUGGAUAGCUUACAAGGAGUCUUUUCAGGUUAAAUUAACUUCUUCAACUCUGUCAAUUGCUAAAUAGUUCUCUUUAAGUAGAAAUAAAAUUUUUCAGGUUUCUAAAUUCUUUUUAUUAUUUUUAAGGUGUUGCAAGAGGAUGUGGGUGGCAGAAUAUAGCUGCUUUUGUGAAUCUUGGGGCUUAUUAUUUGUGUGGAGUCCCAACUGCUGCCAUUUUGGGUUUCUGGUUAAAGUUUAGAGGAAGGGGCCUAUGGAUUGGGAUACAAGCUGGUGCUUUUACACAAACACUUCUGCUUGGCAUCAUAACAACAUUUACAGAUUGGGAAAAACAGGUCUGUUUCUCAACAUUUAAUCCCUUAAAAAUUAGAGAAGCUUAUUGGACUAUAUAUGUAAAUAUGUAGCAAUUUUUUUUUCCCAAUAUGUAUCUGAUACCUUUCGACUGAAAGUUCAAGAUUAAAAUCACUCAGCUUGAUCUGAAAUAGUUAGUAUUAUCAUCUUAUGCAGAAAUGGUUUUGCUCAUUGAGAAAAUGAUAUUCAAUAACACAGAUGCAAACUCAUUUGAAAAUUUUGCCAUUGAGAAAAUGAUAUUCAAUAACAGACAUGCAAACUCAUUUGAAAAAUUUGCUUUUUUGCAAGAAUUGAUAACCAUUUUCUAGUUUGUUAAUUGUUACAAGUUCUGUGUUUCUAAGGGGUUUCUCAUGUUGCAGGCAAGUACAGCAAGGAAAAGAUUAUCAAAGGGAAGAUCUUUAGAAGAUAAUAGAAUAGUAUGUGAGUGAGCAGAGUCAAUCAAUGAGCUGAUAUAUACAUUGUCCAGUUGAAAGAGAUAAUCAUUGCUUGAGAAAAUGAGCUGCUCAUAUGUCAAUUGAUGGCCAAGAAGGUUCCCCAAUCUGAUCUAUGGAGCAUCGCAUUUCAUAAAACUCUGUUUCUAGAGAAAAAAAAAAAAAAUUAACAGCUUCUUAGGAUUGGAGCAUCAGGUGACUUAGCAUUUCCAGUAUGAAAGAAUUAUAAGAUAGAUGAUGCUGCAAAAAUGAAUAGAGAUAAAAUUAAGCAAGAGAAAAUGUUUGAAUGUUAUUAAUGAAACCUUUUCCAGUGAUUGUAGAGAUAAUUUUCUUUGUAUUGAAACUUUCAGCAUCUGAAAGAUAAGGAAAAUAUUAAAAGAAAAAAGAAAAUUCUUAAAUCUUUUCCAUGUCACUCCAGCAAAGUUGAAUUGUCAUUCUAAACCCUAUACCAAAAUGUAAGGUGGCCUGUGGCCUAUAGGUAAUACACAAUUUGACAACCCCAUAUAUUUAGUAAUCUAGGUGGAUGCCAUUUAUUUAUUUUUUAUUUAAUUUUUUUUCAUUUUUAAUGCAAACAACGCCUCUUUCAUUGUGGCAUUGGAAUAUAUAGAGAUUUGUACACUGAUUUUGGACCAUAAUUCACAAAUAAUGCGACGCAUAUCUUUCUUUCAGUACUUCUUCAGGAGGAUAAGAUACAGACAUUGUUGUCUUUUUACCUGAAGCAAGUGCAUGUGCAUGAAUUGUUGUUGUCUGUUAAUCUGCUGCCACUUUGCUGCCAAAAAACUUGAAAAAUAAACCAGGAAAAUUUUCAAUAAGCAAAGUCAAACAACUAACCCCUGUUUAAGUAAUUUUCCGAAGAAAACUUUUAAACACUCAAAUAAAGCACUCAAGUAAAGUAUUUCUGUCACAUUAGCUUUCGAGUGAGGUUUGAUUUACAUUUAUAUCAGAUAUACCAAGUGUUUUUUAUUCUUUUAAUUAAUGUAUAUCACAGCUUGGAAAUUCUAAAAAUUAAUCAUGCUUAAUCUUGAGCAACAAUAUCUGUAAUCAUCAUACGAGGUCAAAGGUGAAGGAAAAGAAAAAGAAAGAGUUAGUUUUAUGUAUAUAAGUGAAAGGAUCUGUUAUAGAGUAUUUCUGUUGCAUGGUUUUCGGAGGGAUAGCAUUGUCCACAGCAUUUGGACUUUGCUUCUGAUUCAAUGGCAUUUAGAAUUUGGUUUCCGCUGAGAUCAUAUACAGCUUGAUUCUGAUAUCUUCCAUUUUGGAGGGAUUCAGAUAAAUUGAAGAAGUUUGAGGUUCCAGUUCAAAUUGGUAAUGCUGCAGAUAAUAUAUAUAAUUUUGUAGAGGUUUUCUAACUUUUAUUUUUAGUAAUGUAUUCAUGUCCUGUCAUUCUUCUUUCUGCUUAAAUCCAGUUGCCCAUGUUGGAAUUUCUUUUCAGCUUUUGUAUUCUUUUUCCUUUUUGUUCAAUAAUGCUAUAGACGAUGCUCUACCAUUUAAAAGAUAUAAAUAAAAAAAUUUAUAAAUUUUUACUUUAUCAAGGUGUGAAACCUUAUAAAAUUUAUAAAUUUAACUAAUGAACAGAAUAUUUGGAGUUGUUAUACGUGGCGUUGUUAUACCAGAACUACAACAGUUAAGAUUGUACUUUGGACCAGUAGUCCGCAAGUUCGGGUUUCCAGCCGAUAUACCUCUGUGAUUAAAACUUUAAAAACAUUUUCUUCUCGGGUUAUAUAACCCAAAACAGACUUUCCUUUAGUCUAAAACAGGGUACCAAACCAGAUAAGAAAUUAUCAAAAGUUUUCUGAUGCACAGGAUCCUUGCAAAAGGCAAGUGCAGAGCAUACUUCCUUAGGUUUCAAAAUGAACAAAUUUAAUUCUUUAUUCCUUUUCUUUCUCUAGAGAGCUUCAUUUGCAGAGAGAGGAGAGAAGUUUAAGGAUUCAUAGUGAUAAAAACACACGAGAGUUUAUUGCUUCGAACUUCUAUCUUACAAGAGAUGAGAGAACUCAUUAUAUAGGAGAAAUCUCAGGAAGAUAGGACAGGACCCCUAUCUUUUACAAAAGCAAAAGUAAAAGGUACAUCAUGACACACUUUUAAUUAUUACAAAGGGACAAGGAUGCUUUAAUAAUGAAAGCAUGACUUUGGACAAAGCAAAAGUAAAACUUAAAGUAAAAGCAAAGCAAGAUGCAAUAAUUAUAUAGGACAAAACACAAAGGGACACAGCAUUUAUUACAUGAAGACAAACUACUUUAUGGAGAGGAGAGAUUCAUGUAGUCAUCUUCAGAGGAACUUUCUGUUGUGUCUGGGUCCGUGUCACCAGAGUGAUGAGGGUUUGGGAAAAAAAGGUUUGGAGAGCUUUUGAUGUUUACAGGAGGGACCACGGCAAGGUGGGUGAGGGCAAUUAUAGUCUCUUGGAGUACACCUUGGAGUAUACUUUGGAGAGGUUUGGGUGGCUUUGUCAACUUUGGAGGUUUGGGCUGGCCUUUUGGAAGGUUGGGUUGAUGGACCUGCUUCGAAGGGUCCGGGUUCAUCCAUUGUUGGUUGGGGAAAUGGUUGUAAGUGUUGGCUUAGAGGAAGAAAUGCAUCCCAUGGAUCUUGGGAAUCCUGGAACAGGAAGUCAGUGUAGUCUGGUUUUUCUUCCUUGAUAAUGAUACCUGUGGACUUUGGUUUGGAUAUAGUGGACGGAGUAGGAAUCAUGAUGAGGUCAUGUUGUGGACCUAAGGAGGUGUGGAAGAUAUCUCGGUGUAGAGGAGUCUGGUGGUUCAAUUGACAAAGAUAAUUGUACAGGGUGGUCUGGAUUUCAUUGUCAAUGAUAGCUGGAUGAGGGGCAGUAAACCAUUCAUAAACUUGAUCUUGAGUCCAAAAGAGGUUUGUGUCUGGAUGUUGGAAAUAUGGUCGGUGAAUGAUAAAAAUGGAUGUGAACAUUUGGGCUUCAGAAGCUGGUAUACGGUCGAGAUUGUAGAUCUCUGUUAGUUGCUGUAACUUUUUUCUCCACCAUGGGAUGGGAGAAUACAAUUCCAGUAAUAUCCAGAUAAGAGAAGUGGCUUUUUUCGGGUCGAGGAGAUGGGAUAAGGUAGGAGCAAUUGGUAGGAUGAGCUUGGUAGCAUAAAGAACAGUUAGGCACCAGAGGUACCAUAACUCGUCUUCAGUGAUUUCUCUAGAUGGAUCAAGGGUCAAACCUGUCAGGAACAGAUUUUCUGGGUGGAAAGUGGAAAAUGGAAAGGAGUCGGCCAUAAGGUAGGCUUUCAUGAAGAAGCGAAAAACAGCUUUCCUUGCAAAUUCCUGGAUAGCAAAAACAGAGGAUAAUGGUUUGUUAAGGGGAAAAGUCUUUUUGGUGAGAGCUUCUGGUGGAAGAGAGGUAGCCAUGAAGAUGAUAGGAAAAUGGUAUGCUGUAGAGAUGACGGUGAGAGUGUGUUCUGGUUUGGAGAGUCUGGAGAGCAUAUCAGGGAUGAGGUUCUGGGAUCCCUUUAUAUGCUUGACAGAGAAGUCAUAUUUGAAAAACCAAUCUUUUAAUCGGAGUAGCAUCUUUUCUGGAACAGUUUUACCUUUGAAGUUGAGAAUAUUAGGGAAAGCUGAACUGUCCAUUCGGAUAAGGAAGUGGUGUCUAAUCAGAUGGUACUCAAAUUUCUUGAUGUCAUUCUUUACCGCUAAGAUUUCUUUGAACACGCUAUGGUAGUGUUUCUGUGUGUCAGAAAAAUGUCCACUAGCGUAAGCGAUAAAGUGUUCUUUUCCAUCGAGUUCUUCAAGGAGGAUGGCACCCCAAGAUUCAUCACUGGCAUCUAUCUGUAAGAUGCGCUUUCCAUCUGCAAUUAACUUUAAAGGAGGCGGAUUUUGCGCGAUUUGUUUGAGAGUAGUGACAGCACGUGUGUGGUCAUCAUUCCACUCAGCAGGUUUCUUUUUCAAUAAAGCCGAGAGAUGAUGAGUGUAGUGGUCCACAUGUGGGAUGAAGUCUCUGAUGUAGUUGAUAAUCCCGAGAAACUGUUGAACUUGCUUUUUGGAAAGUUGUUGAUCUGGAAAGUGAAGCAACUCUUGAGCGAUGUGCUUUCCUGGCUGGUAAUGGCCAUCUUUAAUGAUCAUACCAAGAAAUUCGAUGGUAUCUGUGGCAAUGGUGCUUUUCUUGGCAGACAACAUGAUUCCAUGACUGUGGACAAGAUCAUAGAACUGGCUUAACAGCUGGUGAUGUUCAUCAUGUGAACUUGAAAAAAGCAAGAUGUCAUCAAUAUAAAUCAAUGCAUGAGACAGGAUAGGCUGAAAGAUCUUGAUCAUGGAUUUUUGAAAGAUAGAUGGGGCAGUUUUGAGGCCGAAGGGUAAGACUGUCCAUUGGAAAUGGGCAUUGGGAAUGCAAAAGGCAGUCUUAUAUCGUUCAGAGGGUUCGAUGCCUAAUUGCCAAAAACCUGACUUUAAAUCAAAUUUGGAAAAGAUCUGGGCAUUUUUUAGAAAAGUAAACAUGCUUUGUCGGCGGGGUAAAGGAAAUUUGUCAUCUUGCAAAAACAUGUUUAGGGGAUGAUAGUCUAUGACUAGGCGUUUUUUCCCUCGAACAAUUUCAGAAUGCUUUUCGACAUAAAAGGCUUGGCAAGCCCAUUGGGAAUUUGUGGGCUCGAUGAGACCUUGGACCAACAAUUGAGAACAUUCAUGUUGGGCUAGGAGUAAGUCAGACGGACUCAUUCCUGGAUGGGUAGCCUUGGUUGGAUUGAUGUCUUCAUUGAGUUUGAAGGGUAACUUAACAAAGAAGGACUUAUUUUUCCACAAAGGAUUUGGAUGGGUGGACUCAGAAUGAGAUUCUGGACAAAAACUCAAAAGUUUGGUUGAAAGGUCCUGGUAAGACUGAGGGGUUUCGGACAGAUUGUAAAGUUUCAGGAUGUCUGUGAAUGGUUUGAACAUGGACUUGACUCGAAUUCCAUUGGGAAUGAUUUGAAGGUGUUUGAUCUGGUGGAGGAUGUCAAAUCCUAACAAGAUAUCCUUAUUAGGAAGGGUUGAACCAAUAACUUUGGUCCAAAUGACACAAUUGGGAAAGAUUUGAAUACCAAUGGGUUUUUUGGUAAUCAAUGAGGUGGUGAACAAUUUGCCGUUGACAGCUUUGAAAUGUUCUUCAGACUGUAUCCAAUAGUCUGGUGGAAGAAUGUGCGGAUUAAGCAUGCUGCGUUGGGCUCCAAUAUCAAUAAGACCAAUUGCUGGAAUGGGCCUUUGGAAUUUUGAGGGCAAAAUCUGGAGUUUGAUGGAAGGUAUAGGAACUGUAGUGUCAAGGGACAAUAACUGUUGAUGAAAAAUGACUUAUGACUGAUCACUGUCUAAAUCAUCAGAGGACUGCUGUAGUGCGAACACGGUUUCAUCAUUGGGUUCAUCUUGUUCAGAGAAAUAGAAUUCCAGUUCAUCCUUUUCUAGGGAGUAAUCGGUAGUAGCUUGAAGAUGUUCAACAAGGCGAAUGGAUUUUUGUCUUUGGUUGAGACACUCUUUGGCAAAAUGACCCUUUUUCUUGCAGAUAAAACAUCUGAUGGACUUUCGUCUUUUAGAGUCUCGGGAAGAAGAAGACUUCUUUCUGAAGAAUCUGUAAAGUUUUCUGGACCUGCGGGGUUUGGAUGAAAAUUCUAGGGUUUUGAAUUUUCGAAAAUGCUUUUUCUUUUUGGAACUACAAUCACAAUUCUUCUUUUGUUUGCAUUUGAUCUACAAAUAAGGCUUUUUGCAGGCACUUCUGAAUGGUUCAUUGUCUUUCAACAGGUCUUUGAAAAACUAUUUUUGUUCACAGAGUUUAUCAAGACAUGUCUUGGCAAGCUGAAAGAUUUUGCCAAGAGAGAUGUUGUCAAUGACAAGAUUGGAGGCGGUGAGCUGCCGCUGUAUGUCUGGUUGGAGUUCUUCUGGAAGGGAAGCCAGAAAGACAUGCUUUAGUGUAGGCUCAUUAAAUCCAUUAAGCUUAUAGAAUAACAAGGACAUGCGUUUGUAAUGGAAAUCAAGAUCCUUAGCAUUGAGGGAGCAGCAUUUCAUGUUAAGAUAGUCUCGUCGGGCGGCUUUAAAGGCCGCAGCUGGGUCUCCGAGAAAUUGAUCAUUAAGAAUGGCGAGAGCACUUGAGACUUCUGGUAAUUGGACAAACUGUAAUUGUCAGUAUUGGCCUAAUGAAUCAAACCAAUCUCUUAGAGCACCCGUAAAACGAGUAGCAAAUUCUCUAAGGACUGAUUCAGUUGUGGCUCCUAGGUGAAGCAUUUGGAGAUCAAUCCAGGCAGACAUUUCAUUAAGGCGGUCACGCCAUUUGUAAGAUGGGAUAUCAUCAAAGGUGAACCAUGGACCAUUUGAUGAUUUAUGACUAGAUGAACUAGUUUGGGCCGGAGGAGGCUGAUGUGUAGCAGAAGAUUCAGGCAUUUUUUCUUCAACAUCAGAAGGAAUGUCAACAUAUGGUUCUGUCCGGGAUGACUGACCUUGGGUAUGUUGAUCAGGUUGAGCCAUUAGAAUCUUGGUGAUAUCAGCAUAAGAGUUUUCAGAGUCACUGGUGGAUGCUGAAGAUUCUGUGUCAGUCUCAGUGUGGCUAUCUGAAACGGCUAGAUUUGAAUCAGAAGUUUGGUCAUCGGUGGAAGAUGAGUGGUCAACUGUGUGGGCACUGAACUGGUGCAUGGGUUCUUUAUCUUUGGAUUUAGUAGGAGGUUGAGAUAAGGGUGGUUCAGGUGGUGAUGGUGAGGCCGGUGUAUAUCCUGGGGAUUGGUGGCCAGAGGUAGGAUUGGAGGAUGGGUGAAUUGUGACGGGUCGUGGUUGAGGCUUCGGCUUUGAUUUAGGUUUUGAUGGUGGUGGCAAUGGAUGUUCUCGAAAGAGUGUAUGAGUCAUACCAAAUAACUUGGAAGGCUCAUAUUGUCUAACAAGGGAAAGUAUAGAGGCAAAAGGAUGAUAAGUGGGACCAAUGGAAGGAAUGAGAGGUGAAGAAGUAAAAAGGGACGGACGUUGUUUUUCAGACUCAAUUUGGCAAAGCUCAACUUUUAGGCGUCUGAUCUCUCUUUCUUUUUGGUCAAAUUUUGGGCCAUAAUAGCGAUGGGCAAGCAUGGUUCGUAACUCAGAAUCAAGUUGAGCAAUUUUAGACUGCAGGUUUUGGUGGAUCUGCUGCAUCUGUGUAGAGAUAGAGUCAACUUUUGUCUCAAGUUGUUCAGUUCGCAAACUGAUUUUUUCAACUUUUGAGUUGAUAUUCAACAAAGUAUCAUUUUGAGCUCUAGCAUUGUGAGUUUGCCAGUUGAGGACUGACUCAAAAGGUUUGGAUGGUUCAAGAUGACCAGUUGAAGUUAUGGGUGAAGGGAUAAAAGGUUUGGAUACAACAUUUCGUUGGGAAUCUGUGUGGGUGUCUAAAGGAGGGAAGGAAGAAGAAUAUUCUGAAGAAGUAGAUGAAAACAUCAUACAACUCAGUGGUGGAGGUAGAUCUGGGAUUGGUGAUGGAAUCUCAUAUUUGCAAUGCUUUACAAUCCAUUUGAGUUCUUUUUGGUAAAUUGGUAAAGGAGCUGGUGGCGAUGGAGGGUCUUUUGGUGGUUUAGGGGGACUGUGGUGGCAAGAGGUAGAAGAUUGUUUCUUUUUGGUUUUGCUUUUCCUUUUGGUAACAUAAUCAUCGUCCUCUUCCCAAUCAUCCCAGCAGGGACAAUCUGGGUCACAGUUGCCUGAUCCAGGGACAUCCCAUAGGAAAUGUCCAUUGUGCUUGGCUGGAUAAACAGGGUAACCUUCAGAAUUGAACCCUGUAAUAAGCAGAUCUUCCUGGGCUGUUUGAACAGCUGUGAUCAUGGAGGAAUAUGUAAAAGAGAGCCGAGGGGGCUCUUGAGGAGCACUGGGAGGUGGUUUAAAUGUCAUUCUGACCGUUCCAUCUGGUCGACGUUCAAACAUGCUCUCAGAUGUCUAAACUGGAGCUGUAUUGUUAUGGAACUGUUCAUAGUUGGAGAUCCAUUCAAGUGGCAUAAGCUUGAUGAGCUCAUGGCGAGGAAUUUGUCUUGGGAUCUGGAUGAUGGUUGGGAUUUGGUCAGAUUCAGCUAAUACCAUGAAGGCAUCAGAAUGGUGUUCUAGAGUGGGAAGAUCUAAGGCAUGAUUUUGAAGCCUAUAGACCAGUUGAUGGUGUAUGGUGGCAAUUUUGGCAGAGGAAAUCUGUUCAGCACCUUGGAUCUGAACUUGAACUUUCAAGGUUGUGGGUAGAUUGGUAUAUGUUCAUUAGUUAAAUUUAACUAAUGAACAGCAUAACAAAAUAUUUGGAGUUGCUUAAUACCAUAGAAAAAAAAGCAGAAAGAGAUGUUCAAGAACAAAACACAAAAAUUUUCAUCAAGUGGAGCAUCGAUCAUGCCAGCAUAAUAACAUAAUUACAUAAUGCUCGAAGAGCACCCAAGACCUUCUGAAAAAAUAAUAUAACUUAAAAUAUCAAAAAACACAAAUAAUUAAUUGAUUAUCCAAAUAUAUAAACAAACCUAGCUCACAAUGUGAAAUAUAUUAAAACAGCAACCAUAAGAUUUUCAAACAUUUAAAUUAACGGUGAUGAUAUUUCCACCCCGUGAAUUUUAUAAAUCCACCCAUUUUUAAAAAAAUUAUUAUAAUCAGUUCACAUUAUUUUUUAAAAAUUUAAAUUAAGAAGAAAUUAAAAAAAUUGAUAUAGAAUUUAUAAUUUUAUAAAAUAAUGUAAACUUAUUGUAAUUAUUUUAUACAGGUGGACUGGGUUUAUAAAAAUAGCGGGGUGAAUAUACUUACACCCUUGAAUUAAUAGUUAGUAUAAAUUUUAGAUACCUCCCCUAAAAUUUGACUUUGCUACACUUAGAGAGAAUGUAAACAUAUAUUGACAAUGGAAAAUGCUACUUUUCUCGGGUCAAACUCCGAAUUAAAUUAAAACGACGCUGUUUUGAUUUCUUUUUUUUUCUUUCAUUCUCUCUAAAACGACGCCGUUUUAACUGGCCUCAAAUUGCUCUCUCUCUUCGUCACACAAAUCCUUUUUCUUUGUCUCUCUUCCCCUUCGUUUCAGCUUGGUUAAGGUAAAAUCAACAACAGCCCAAAUUGCUCUCUUUCUCUGUCGGUGGUGGUGCCUUCUGUACAUUUAUCCUGGUACACGUCCCCCAGACCACCACCCCGUUUCCUGUGUUUUUGUUCCAGAUCUCUUACAGCCUCCUCUAUAUUGGUAUUGUUUUCACCAAUAUCCUUACCAUUAAUACCAUGAGAAUCAUUGAAAAGCUCUUCUGUUCCCCAUCGUAGAAUAUCUUCCACUUCCUUUUGAGAUCCAGAUUUAUUGACAAAAAUAUGAUCAAGCAUUAAUUUCUUUUUUGCAAGCUGCAAGAUGCGCUCCUCAACACUGGCACCGACAACAAGCCUAUAUACUAAAAGUCUAUUUGAUUGUCCAAUUCGAUUUGCCUGAUUCAUGGCUUGAAUAUCAGCAUGCAGAUUAAAAUCAGAAUCAUAAAUUCAUCUGUGAAAAAAUAAGAACUCUGAAAAAAUAAGAGAGAACGAAGAGAAAGAGAGCAAUUUGCCUUAACCAAGCUGAAAACAAGGGUUAAAACGACGUCGUUUUAGCUUGAAUUAAAAAAAAAAGAUAUUGAAACGACGUCGUUUAUUGUUUUCGGGAUUUGACUCGGAAUUUGACCCGGGGUAGGGGUAAAUAGCAGAACUCAUUGAUAAUAUACCCCCUAGUCGUGUAUAAGAGUUAGGCACUGGUUAGGUAGUUGAGGGCAAUAACGUACAUGUUGCAUAUUUUUUUAUUUUUAAAUCUUACAAAAGCUGUUGUACUGUAACUAAUUAGACAAGAGCAGCGAAAAUGCAUACAGUGCUUUGAAGCUGGGGAAGCCCAAGGGGAUAGUAACCCAUUUUCAUUGUCAAUGCCUAGCUUCAUUUCUUCUUUUUCUCAGCAUAACUUGAUGAGUGCUUAGCUUCAUUUCGAAGGUCGUGACACCAACUGAUUUUAGCAAAAGCAGAGAUACUUUGUGAUGCAAUAAGCUAACAAGUUUCUGAAAUCAACUAUGUUUUGAACCAAAUUCCGGCGACGACCAGCAGCUGAAAAGCCGGUGAUUAAAGGGCAAUCUAGGUGCGUAAUUCUAUCAAAGCUUAAAAUUGAAGUUAGGUUUUAUUAUUUUCUUGCAUUUUGUUGAAAUUGCUGUUAGUUAGGUGCUUUAUUUUUAGUUCAAAUUAAUUGAGAAAAAUGUUUAGGGUUUAUAGAAAUUGAAGUAGUGACCGAAUAUAUCGGAAUUGAUUUUUGAGUUGAUAGUCACUCGACAUGUUGUGUAAACUAUGAAAAUGAUUUAUUUUUUGAUGAUUUUGGACUCUGGUUUUUGAAUGCCUGCUGAAAUUUGCUUGAUCUGUUAUUAAAAUUGAGAAAAAUCCAAUCUUUUUCUAAGAAUGCAGAGGUGUUGCUGAGAAAACGCUUAUGGUGUUGUUUUGUUUCUUUUUUUAUUUUACAAGUGUGCAGUUCAUGUAAGAUUGAGACAGUUGCUCUUGUUGCUUUUUGAUGUUUGUAUAGACUAAUUCCAAUCACUGAUUUUUGUUGGAAAAUGGAUGCUAUUAUUUUUCCUUUUCUUCGUGUAAAAAAUUGUACUUCCGUUCCCAACAUAAAAUUCAGAUGCUUGCCUAUUACUUUUUGAGGUUGUUAUUUAGGUGUAAGAGAUAUAUUAGUUAUAGAGCUUGUAGGCAGUUGGUUUAUUGAAGAACUAGUACAGUUGAGAAAGUGUCUUUUAGGUCAUCCAUUUUAAUACACAUAUUAACAGAUUUAAUUACAUAAACACAAGACUUCAUUUGUUUAUCAAAGUAGUACUUUCUGAUGCUUUCAUAUAAUGAAUGCCAAAGAGAUGUCAUUUGCAAAAAGGUCAUUUGCAAAAAGGCCAUUUGAAUGUACCAACUGCUAUCCUUGUAAACCUCUAUUGUGAUUCUGUUAUCAUUAUAUGUUGUUUAAUGAUCUGAUGAUUUCGAGAUAUCAAGAUGAGUUUAUUCAUACAAUAAAUGUUGUCAUUAGGUUCAUAAUUAUUGUAGUACAUGUUCAUUUAGCUACUUUAGGUACUGCUACAUGCAUUUAUUGUAUAAUGCCUACUUAGCAGCCAUAACUACACCCAUUGUUGAAGCCACAGCAGCACAAAUGAGAAAAAAAACAUGUUUAGGAACAACAUUGUCUUUAUAUCAUUUAAUUUUACUCCAUUUUGUUGUGCUUUUUGCAUCAGUGACUUCAAAUCCUUCCUAUCCUUUUGCAUACUCAUCAGCAGUUCAUAAUUUGCUUGACAUGUUCCUAAACCAUCAAAUAUAACACCUUGGUCGAUAUCAUAGCCACAACCAUUUUUUCUAUUCAUACAGCAAUAAUAUAGCUUGUUUGGGUUGUCAUCUGAUUCCGCUACCUUCAUAGCAGCUAUUUUGUAGCAUUUACUAAUCUUGUUUGAAAAUCAAAUGAAUUUAAAAUAUUCUCAUUUAUUGUUUUUUGUAGCGUUCACUAAUCUUCUGAUAUUCAGUAUUGUUUUUAUAUAAAUUAAUUUAAAAUAAUAUCAUUUAUUUGUCUUAUUAUAUGAUUUUAGACUAUCAAAUUAUUUGUUUUAAGGGGCAUUUUGGUCUUUUCAACACUCAAUUGAGUUUUGUCUUAUUAUAAGAUUAUGUAAUGUCAACAACAAUUAUCAUAAGGGUAUAAUAGCCUUUUGACCCCCCCCCCUCCAGGCGCCAAAAAAAAAAUCGCCCCAAAUAUAAAGAUCAUCUACAGUGUCAAAUAAUUUUGAAGGGCAUUAUUAUACAUUCACUCAACUACCUAACGGGUGCCUAACCUUCAUACAUGGCCGGGGGUAUGUUGUCAAUAUAUGGAUACAUUCUCUCUAAGUGUAGCAAAGCCAAACCUCAGGGGUGGUUUCUAAAAGUUUUCCUAAAUUGUUAAUAAUUUUAUACAACAGAUUCUUGGAUACCCCUCAAGUUCACUUAUUCUACGUCAUGGCUGACUUUCAAGAAAUUAAAUUCUACAUUAUGACCCCUAGGGAAACAACGUCGCUAAUAAAAUUAUAAAAUACAUGUGUGUAAUAGUAGUCAAACCUAAACCUAUGUCGUUUAGCAAUUUACAAAAUGAGAAAGACGACAAAAGCCAAGCGUUAGAGUGGCAGCGAGCCAACGAGACAAGCUCAAGUUCACAGUGUUUUUGUUGAACCUUCUGAAGACCCAAAACUCGAGGUUUGUUUUUACGUUCCCUAAUCGUUUGACUACAUUUUUAUUCUGUGCUACGUUCGUUAUGAACUGUUCAGGCUAAGUGUUCGACGAAAUUCCUAAGUGAGUAUAUAUAAUGGUUUGCUCUCGUAUUUAUUCUGUUAUAGAAUGUUUUGCUUUGGGUGGUUAAAUAGAGGAGAUUAGACAUUGAACUUUAUGCACUUGUAUGUUUUCAAGUAAUUGUUUGCUGAGGCACAUGUACUUUGAAUGGCUUCAUUCAUCUACAGAGAUAUCAUAACAUUUUUUGCUUAGUGUGAGUCUUAUUGUUGUUAAUUUGUCCAAAGUGAAGGCUUUUUUAACUUUUAUUUCUUUGAUUUAUUUAUUUAUUGUUUUGUCGAAGUUCUGUGUCUCAACUUUUAUUUGAUAAGUUCUUUCAGACUACUAAUUAGAAGAAAAAAAUGCUAGAGAGUGAGUAUGAGAGGGAAUGAUGUUUGGGCAAGGGGUGAUUGGUUCACUUGGCUCAUAAAGGACCUCAACUAUAAUGACAUGUAUCAAUUUCGCAGCCUAAUUGGAAGGUAAGCUCAUUUCUUGAUUUCCUUCAAUUUUCACUUUCAUUUUACUGUUUUCAAGUAGCAGGUAAUCUAAAUAAAAGUAAAAUCAGUAGUGAUUUGCUUCAAGUGCAUAUGGAUAGUAUAUCACAUGUGAGAAGAUUGUAUUUGUUAUAUGAAAAUCCUUAAUAACUUUAAUUAAAAAAUAUAUUCUCAAACCUGAUCGUGGAAUGUACUAUUUCUUAAUAUCUGAGUUUGGAUCAACACAUUUUUUGCCAUGCAAUUUGACAAGUUGUCAUGUCCUCAUAUUCUGCACUAUUAUAAGUUUUGCCAAUCUGCAUAGGUGUUUAAUAGAUUGAGUUAAUCUAGUUUCGAGAGCAUGCCUAACUAAAGGGCAUCAAGUUUCUAAGUGAGGGCAAGCACAACUAUAAUUAUCUAUUUCAUAUCCUCCCUAUCAGCGGGGCAGGUCUGUUACCUCUAAAUUCUUUCAAUAACUUGGGGACGUUAAUCCUAUUAAUGACAGCCACAUAUUAUAAGUCAAGAAAACUGAUUUUUUGAUUAUUGAAAAAAUCAAAUUUUUUGUAUUAUUCUAUUUAUGAUCUCAGUAACCUACAUGUUGCGAUUGUCUUGUAUGGAUCAUUGUUUCUCUUUUAAGCUGUUAUAGUGACAAUUUUUAGCUCUUAUUGCAGUUCUUAAAGUCAUUGCAAGCACAUGCUCUGUCGAUCUCCAUAAAUUCAGAUACAUAUGCAUAGUUAGCUAUUCAAAUAACCACACUGGUAUUUAACUUCGAUAUUCAGAAAUAUUGCUGAAGUGAAGCUUCAUGGGGCAUGGGCGAGUGCAUUUUGUUACAGAGUGAUAUGGGCUCUGAAAUUGAAAGGCAUAGCAUAUGAUUACAUUGAAGAAGAUCUCUCUAACAAAAGUGCUUUGCUUUUGAAGCAUAAUCCAGUUCACAAGAAGGUCCCAGUGCUUGUUCAUGACGAAAAAUCAGUUUGCGAGUCCAUUGUUAUCCUUGAAUACAUUGAGGAGAUGUGGCCACAGAAUCCCUUAAUGCCAAAUGAUCCUUAUGAUAGAGCUCUGGCUCAUUUUUGGAUUAUAUUUGCCUAAGAUAGAGUUUGCUUCAGAACUCUAGCUAAUGCGUUUAUAAGUUCAUUAUUUUCAUGUUUAUUUGUUAUUAGAGAAAAAGAUCAGUAUCCCUGAUUGUAUGUCAAAAUUAAUUAUUUGUUCUUUUAUGUUUUAAAACCUAUCAAAAUCUCCAUUGUCGUUCAAAAGAUUCUGUUAACCUUCAAUUUUUUUGUCUUUUACUAAUUUUACCUCUGGAAAAAUUUUUAUUAAUAGGAAGUUGAAAGUUUAAUAGAAUUUUUUUAACGGCAAGGGAAAUUUUGAUGGCUUUUGAAAUAUGAGGGAGAAAAGGAUUAAUUUACCAAAACAACAUUGUGGUUUUGUUGUUCAUUUACCCUUUGUCAUUCAAUGUAGUUGUUAACCUCUAGUAUAAGGGUGCUUGACAAAUGACAAGGAUAUGUAUUGUCCAAGUCUUUUAGUUCAUACAUAUUAUUAAUCAUGUGGUGAUAUUUUGGCAGGGAGCUACUGUUUGGAAAAUGUUUCGUAGCGUACAAGAUCAAGAGAAUACAAUGAAAGAAAUCUUGGAAAUGCUAAAAACCGUUGAAGAACAUGGCUUAGGAGAGAAGAAAUUUUUUCAUGGAGACAAGAUUGGCUUAGUGGACAUAGCAUUUGCUUCCUUUGUUUAUUGGUUGCAAAUCAUUGAAGAUGUAGCAGGAGUGAAACUAUUUGAAUCUCACAAAUUCACUCGCUUGCACGCAUGGUUUGAAAAAUUUAAACGAGUCCCAGAAAUUGAAGAGAACCUUCCUAAUUGGGGUGAACUAUUGGUUUUUUUCAAACGUCGCCGUGAAAAGUUGGUGGCCUCUUCCUCAUUGCAUUAGCACAAAAUUCGUGCAAUUGUAUUGUUGUCAAGAGGCCGCUCUUUGCUUAGUUUUUGAUUAUCUUGUGUGCUCAAUUGGGAGGCCGCCGCUUUGCUGGGUACUUUCGUAUGGAUUUGAGUAAUAAGGGGGACUUGACUUUAUAUUUAUGAAUUAUUGCAUGUAUUUCGUUAAUUAUUAAUGGACUACUAACGGUUAUGUAUUGUUUGGGAGGAAGUUUAAAUGCUGAUAUAUACUAAUGACUUGAAGAAAAGUCAACUUAUUUGAAGUAAUAUAACUCUAAAAAAUCAGAAGAAAAACUCUUUGUGGAAAAAGAUAGUUCUGGUAAACAUGCCCAGCAUUAAAGGGUAUUAUCGAAACUUAAAUGUGAAUGGUUAGAGCCAACAUGUGAACAGUACACCAUUAUGAAAAGAAUAAUUUUUUUUUCGCUAAGAAUAACGAGCCAAUAGGACUUUAGUGAUUUUUUUUAGAUCUAAUUUCUUGAGAGACUUCUUCAUCUUCUUCUUCCUUUAUGGUUGGGGUUUCUUUCUCCAUUUUAACACCACCAUGGUAAAUUUUAACCAUCUAUCUCCCAAAGAAGCCUUUUCCCUUACUCUUCUCCUGGAAAACUCUCAAAUCUCUAUAAAACUCGUAUCUCCCUCAUGUCAUUAUUCCUCAUAAACAACCUUUAAUAAAGUUUUGUCGAUAUUAUAAUGCAAAUUAUGUAAUACUUCAUUUAUAUAGUGGAUUGGAGAUGAGUUACUCUUAUGGAUGUAGAUCAAAGGGCCGAACAAUGUAAAAUCUUAUGUGUUCUCUAUUGUUUAUGCUUAUUUUCUAUUUAUUAGGAUGAUGAUAAUACUCAAAUCGUAUUCCAUACAUGAGCUCAUAUAGAGGCAUAGCACGAGCUCUACUGAGCUCCCCAAAUAAGCUCUAUAGUUAAAGCUAUCCUCGAAUUCGCUAGAGCUACUUCCUAAACUCUCUUGAGCUCCCCAAAUCAACUCUUUAAACUAAAUCCCAUGAGCUCCAUAGAGCUUACCUCCCAAAACACUUCAAUUUACCUCAGUUCACCUUCCAGAUCACCACUACUAGAAAAAUAAGCUUUACUGAUACUAAUUUAGUGUCAGUAAUUACUUUUCCUGACACUUAUUAAUUGUGUCAAUGAUGCUCAAGCCAGAACACACUGACACUAAUUUUUAGUGUCAGUGAUUAUUGUGUUAGUAAUUAGCGUCAUUAUAGUAUCACUUAAAUAAUGACACGAUGGUGUUAGUAUUUGAUGAUAUUAUUUAUACGUCAGUGAUUUAUGUGACUAUAGUAUCAAGAGCACACUGAUUCAAUAACAUCAAAAGUUAUUAUUGUCAUUUUAAAUAUUUAGUGUUAAUAUUUAAUGAUAUUAUGCUACUUUUGGUUAAUAGUAUAUUUUUAUUUUUAUUUUUAUUUUCCUGAUUGUUUUACAAUCAAAAUAAAACUCAAAAUAUAUUAAAUAUACCAAAUCUCACAACACAAUUCAUAUAAUAAACAUCCCAAUACAUCACUUACAUUAAUAUAAUUUAACUACAUCAUUGUCUGGAAAAGAAAAAUAUAAGUACCAAAUUGAGUUUCGACCAGUUCUAAACAAUAGAAUACAAAAUUAAGUUUCAUCAAACAUUAACCUACAAAAUUAAGCAGAAGAAUGUCACUGAAUAUCCACACAUGGCUUCAUUUUUUUCCCACCUACAAGUACAUAAAAUCAAUUAGUACACCUCAAAAAAUAAGUCUUGGAUAUUUGGAAACAAUAUAUAAAGUGCAACCAUUUUUCCAGUACACUAAUAUUAAUUUGAAAUAUUUUUGUUUUUCGAAAAUUACAUGGCAUGCUUAUCUAAUGAAAACCUUAUAAAUUAACAAUGAACAUAUGUAUUAAUUUGAAAGCAUUCAACUUACAAGUAAUCCUGAUCAAUCUUAAAUUGUUGGAAUGUCCUCUAGUUGACCAGCAACUGAUGCUCCACCUAUAAAUUAGAGAGACAUUUAUAAGAAACUGUGGCAAUCUUAAACAAAGAAAUGUAAAUUUCAAAACUGUGUAUAAAGAAAAUCACAUAAAUCUAGUAGUGCAUUCCGCAUAUUACAUGAUCAUCCGGAAGCUGGUUCUGCCCAAUCAAAUGUUCAUCACUUAAUUAAUCUAGAGAAACCAAAAUUAAAAAUUAAAAAAUAAAAAUCUAGCUACCACUUUUCCAAUCACUAUUAUUAACCUCUCUUAAAACGUAAGCGAGUAACAAGCAGUAGAAGAUGGACGAGUAAAAUUAGAUAUUUAGAAGGUUUAUAAUUAAGCACUUAUAAUAAUAAUUCAGACAAAAUCCCAAAAUUGAAACAAAAGAAGCUUUGAAAUUAAAACAAGAGAGGAACAAGUUAGAUGAGCCAUAAUGACUUUUUAAUUAGCCAAGCUAAUUCAUAAGUUAAGUAACUAAUAAAAAUUAAGACUUAAAUUAAAAAUGUCUUCAUUUUGUUUAAUUAUCGUAUAAUUUUUUUUUUCUCAUGUCUAAAGCAUAUUUAGAGGGAGAGCUCAAUUUUACAACCUACUUAUGAAUUAAAUUUUAUCCACACAAAAGGGGGAAAAAACACCAAGCUAAAGUUUUAAUUAAAAGAAUAGUGAAAGCAGAAAGCAACGUGAUUAAUUAAGAAUUUCAUUUAAUUUUACUCACAAAUUGAUGUGUUAUAUAUCUCUAUGUGUGUGUGAGUGUGCGCACGCGCAUACAUAAAAGACCAUGCAUUACAGAGUUAGUUUUUUUACUAGUACUGUUGACGAGGGAACAAAUCUCUUUUAUCAUGGAUAAUGUGUAGAGAGAUGAGAGAGUAGUGUUGUGUUAUAAAUAUUAAUUGUCAAACAAAAUAUUAUUUCUUAAGAGAUCUGACUUUCUCAACAAAGUGCUCAAAAACCAAUAAUUGUCAAGGAACACGUUGACCGUUGAUAAGGCUUUUAACUAGAUGCCUUAAGCAACAACUUUAAUAAAUAUUACUUUUUCAGAUUUCAAUAAGUUGUAGUUGGCAAAAAAAAAUAUAACAUUUAAUCAUUAAAUAUUAUCCAAGUCCAACCCAACAAAAUAAAAUCAAGGAGCAUUAACAGAGGUCAACUAGCUCCCACCGCCCUGGGCAUAUUUUUUACAGUUUCUUGUGAUUAUACUUGUUACAACUACCAUGUCAUAGUUAUUGAAGAGAUAACUUUAGAUUCGGAAGGAGAGGGGAAAAAAGUCAAAAUUAGACCACAAAGAAGAUAGUUCUCAGAGGAAAUUAAAAAGGAAUUAUAAGACUCAUAUUAUGUAAAUGAGCGGCCUACAACACGUCAGAGUUGCAAAAUACUAAAAAGCUUGCAAUAAGGACCCAAAAAAGAGAGAGAGCGAGAGAGAUAUAAAAUUAGCAUCUCUAAACAAAAUGUUGAAUAAUAGUUUGAGAAAUAUUUCUUUCUCCUACUUUUCCAUAGUGAUGGGACUGAGAAUUAAGAUCAAGUAAAGAAAAUUAGGCAUAAUUAUUGUAAAAAAAAUAAAAGACCAUCAAAACAUAGCAGACAUACAGAGAUCACCAACAGCAAGCAUGGAUAUGAAAUUAAAACAACUAAACAAAAAGUUAAUUAUUUUAGUAAGUAGACUGAACUAACCAUAUGAUUCUUGCCACUAUAAUAACCAUAAGAACCUGACAGUCAUGAACACCAAAGCUUGUGAUUUUCUCUAGCCAGGAGCCCACCUGCACUGAAGUCCAUAGGUACAACAAUAUCCAAAAUAAUAAUAAAAGCCAUGAUGGAGUUUUAAAAAGUUCAUAAUUCGGUUUUAGAACAAUUGAUGGAUAAACUUAAAAAUUUGAAGUACACCAGUCAGUUUGAAGUACUUCAUACAACUUUCAUAUAUAAAAUAUAAAUGUGAAAUAACAUGUUCACAGUGGAGACCAGUCAGCUGCUGGAGAAACUAUUGCCUUGCUUUACAUAUACAGAGCAUCCCAUGCUCAUUAUCAUGGAAUGGUGUCCUAUUGUCUACUACUCAAAUUAUGGACUAUUACACAAGUACCGAUCAAAGCUUUUGUUCUCAAUCUUAAAACAUAUCACAUAAAGUUCAAACAAAAAAAGGGCCAACUCCUAACACAAUCCACCAAUAAACUCCCCUUUAAACUUCCAUCGUACUAUGGAAUGACAAAUUGUUGCAAACUCCAAAAUAAAAAGGCUCAACAGAGAACAAAAACAAGAACUUAUUAAUCAGGCAGCUAAGCUAAAACAUAUCCAAUUUCCAUAAGCCCACAUAGGAUCCUCGUUUAUAAAAUAAACCCCAUUUCGCUUAAAGCCACAAGACUUAAACAAUAAUUUAAAUCAAUACGUAAAGAAAAGUGCGACCUUCCAAAUAAACAUGAAUUUCUCAACAUCGUCAACAGCCCAGAAAAUUAAAAUUACAAAAAAUAAUCAUAAGCUAAAAUAAAACAAACCCAGUAAUUAAAUUGACAAAAAAAUAUUAAGCCAUUACCAAUUGUUAAAAUAAACCUCUCUGCCUUUAAAGUCGUUGAAAUCCUCCUCUACAAUUCUAGGCAUAGGCGAACCUUCUAUAGCAAACAAAUUAACUAACUUCUCAACAAUUAUCUCAAAUUCAAGCAAAUGGGUUUCGAGUAGCGAACAAAAAAAGUGAAAUUUGAGCAGGAAAAUAAAAAAACUCUGAUGAAAGAAGCCUCAAUUAGGGUUUCGCUUUGUUUUUCGAUUUGGGGAAAAAAAGAAAAAGGAAAGAGAAGCCUCAAUUAGGGUUUCACUUUGUUUUCGAUUUGGGGAAAAAAGGAAAAAGGAAAGAGAAGCCUCAAUUAGGGUUUCACUUUGUUUUUCGAUAUGGGGAAAAAAGAAAAGAGAAGCCUCAAUUAGGGUUUAGCUUUUCAUUAUCUGUCUGAAUUAAUUGAAUUGAGUUUGCAAAUGGACAACUGGAAACAAAAGAGAUCGAGAAGAGAAAAAGGAAAAAGAGAAGGAGAAAGCAAGAUAGUGAUAGGGUUUGGUUCAAAUAUUUGCGUCCAGAAACGAAAUAAAGUUUCCAAGUCUGGGUUAUAUUUUGCUUUUGUUAUUUUAAUUUUGUUUUUUAAUUUAUUGCUGCUAUUAUAUCUUAAUUCUACAAGGUCCAAUGGUGUAUUGUCCAUAUGUUAAAGCUUUGAAUUUUAAAAGUCCUAGGUUCGAGUUGGAGUUAAAGCAAAUUUUAAUGAUUUUUUUUUAAUCUUUAAUGCUUCAAUGUCAGUGAUCACUGAUGUUUAAUUUACUGACACAUCAGUAUCAAUAAUUUAUGAUACCUAUUUCUUAAAAGCGGAAAAUGGUGCAUAUGUACACAAUUACUGACACUUUUUACAAAGUGUCAGUAGCUAAGUGUCAGUAAAAGUCAUUUUUGUAGUAGUGCACCUUAGUUAUUUCUUUUGUCCUUAACAGCAGAAAAACACACCUAGAUUUUUACUAGCUCAAUCUCCCCUCAAAUAUAAAUUUAUUUAUUUAAAUUAUAUUUAACCUUGUUCAGGUGAGGACAACCACUAAAUGAUUCAAAUCAGAUCCUAGAGAAAAUCCGGUCAAAACAUGUAUCUAUGUAUAAUAUUUAACAUCACCCUAACAAUCAAUACGAAUGCACUUGGAUUUAUUCUUAAUAGUACACAAAGUGGAAAAAGCAUGACAAGCAACACUCGCACACUCGAGGCUCAAUAUAAGUACGAACGUCAUAAUUCCAAGCAACAAACAAUGACCAUCAUUACUAAUUUUUUCUGAAAGCCACCAAAUUGGAAAAGUACUGCCAAGUAAUUAAUUAACGACUGCGACUUGCCAGAUUAAGCUUAUCCAAUGCUGAGAGUUCAUUAUUCUUCGAGGUUUGGUUAUUGUAAAUGUCUUUUAGAGUAAUUGCAGGAUAGAGCGGAGGAUUUUCUUCUGAUAGCAACUCUUUAAUUGGACCAUAUCGUCUCGAGCAACUAUUAUUCAUGAAAAAACUUCCGAUUGAAAUUCUGGAGUCUUCCUUAUUUGAUAACACUCUAUGAUAGGCACUCUUGAACUUAUCGUUGGUAAUCAGCUGCAUAAACACGAACACGUUGGUAAUCAGCUGGAUAAACACACACUUCAUAUAAACCAUAAUUAAGUUAUCUGAUAGAGAUUCAUGCUCGGGUGUAGACGUUCACAUAAUUUUGUAAGGACGAUUCUUUCACAGUAUUGUGAAAGAAUUGUGUCCGCACAAGAUUUAGUGCGAACGUCCCACUUGAGAAUUUUCAAUUUGAUGGAUAGUAUUUCUUAAUAAGCUAUCUAACACACACUUGCCUGCAUCAUGUAGCCUAAGUUUACAACUAGAGUUCCCGGAACAGGGGCAAUGUCAAACCAUUGAUCUUCGUGAAAGACUUGGAGGCCACCAAUUUGAUCUUGUAUGAGCACAGUGACAAAUCCAGGGUCAGAAUGUGUUGCUAUGCCGAUGGACAAUUAUGGUUGAGGGCAUUCAGGGUAGUAACCAUUCCCAAUAGUCAUUUCCUCUACACAACCUAUGUCUUUCAGGUAAUUGGGGUCAAGCCCUAAAGCUUCGGAUAGAAGUUCAAACAGUGUCCCCUGUUUUCCACAUUAGGUUGUUGUAUGCGAUCAUUAUCUCUCUGCAAAUUACUAAAGACAAAAAAUAAUCACUACUAAAAGAAAGGGAGAAUGACAUUUCGACUUUUAGAAAUUAUUUUUUUAUUGGGGUAACAACUAGAUGAAAUGAGAGUAAUAAAAACUUAUUAGGAACCCAAGUGAUGCAAAAAGUUCUAAGAAAGAGGCAGGUGUUAUCCACUGUAAAAGAAAUAAAAUCUAUUGGUCAUCGUCCACAUACCUGCAAGCUUCAGGAAAAUCUUCAGGAUUUGAAAAAUCGCGACCCACAACACAACUCAAAUUAUCUUUCCAAAAGAGGGUUGGUGCACUAUACAAAUUUAAAUUUGAACAAUAUUUAAUUUUUUUGGAGUAAUCACGAGAAUAAUAUUUCUGCUUAACCUCAACAUCUUGUUGAAAAAACCAAUGGAUCCCAUCAAUGGCAUGAUCCAAAUGCUUGUUGGGAUUCCAUGAUUGAUCACUUGAAAGAAACCCCACUUCUCACGAGCACUUCUAAUUUGGUCAAUUACCUGAGAACGCAAACUUGAAUCCCUGUGUAUUCUUUUAAGGUCUAUGAUAGGGAUGCUGAUUUUGGGGUCCCUGCAGAUUGGCUUAUCAUCAAACUUAUGUUUAGUGUGAUGAUCUUGAAUGAUGAUCUGUGGAAUGGUUGUGAUCCCAGCAUCUACGAGUCCCUUAACACCAGCUUUCGUGUCAUCAAAAGCUUUCCACUCGCUAACUCUGUCACAAGUAAUGCUUCCCAUUGCUUGGUGAAUUGUCUUUUACCUGGUGAAUUAUGAAGUACAAAUGCUGACUUGCGGGUGAUUGCUUUUGGUAUAUGCCGUUUAUAUGAAUAUGAUUCCUAGCUUGCCACGUGCAACAUGUUGAAAUAUAACGAUAGCAUGAAGAUGUGGAAAUUUGUAAAAUUUGAUCCUGCGUUAUUUAUCAUGAUUAAAUUAAUUAUAAAUUAUCAAUAAUAGUCAAUUCCGGGGACCACCAACUACUGGGUGGCACAUCACAAUAAUAAAUUAUCAAUAAUAGUCAAUUCUGCAUUAUUUAAUAUUUAUGUGGAUAAAAUUUCAAUUAGCUACACUACAUUGUUGUUUGAUAGUUAACGUUUCACCUUCUCCAUUUGUAAAUAUUAUUAUGGACUUAUAGUGUGGCUUAAAAGCUAGAUCUUAAAUGAAAAGAAAGCUUUAAUGGUGAAAUAAAAAUUUAAAUAAAUGAUAAAGGGAUUAAAGGUUAACCUAAUGUUAACAAAAAUAACUGCAAAAUAUACAUGUUUUAUCAUGUUAAUUGAUGUUUUUCCAUUAUGCACAUAAAAAAGAUCUAUUUUACAAUUGUUUCUGUUGGCGUUGGGGCAGAUUUUUUUUUAGUCUAAUUAAGUAUAUCAUAAGUUAAUAAUAGUGCGUAUUUUAACUUUAAUAAAUUUGGCCACUUAGAUUUUUAAUUUUGACUCCUUCCCUAAUCAAUCAAGAAAAAGAAUGCUUUUCUCCAUAAAAAUUAAAAUAGAAAAUUCAGCAAGGACAUAACUGCGGAGAUGUUUGAUCCUGGAUUUAUAUAUCAAAGCAACAUCAAAAUUAUAAUAAUACUUCCUUGUUACCGAGAAGAGAUAUAUUCAAGAGCACUAGCCUUAUAAAGCCUUAACAAUACUAAACUACCUACAUGGAAUCUAAUGCGUACAUGCAAUGCUUUCUAAAGUGAAACUGUCGCUUGAAAAUAGAAUUCAUGUUCAGCAGCCUCCCUCUAUCCGAGCUCCAAUUUUAUAACAAGGAAGCUAAAUAAGAUGAUUUAGAUGGCAUCGGCAUCUGUAGUAUCGUUUGUCUGUAGUCCCUCAUUAUCUACGAUCUGAUCGCUCCCUAUAGUAUUGUUUGUCUGUAGUCCCUCAUUAUCUACGCUCUGAUCACUCCCUAUGUAGAGGAUCGACAAGAGAAAAUUGUAGCACACGUUCACAGCACUAAUAACUGUUAAACUCUUAUAGUACUUGUCAAUCCUACUAUAAUCCAAGGUUUCAGCAAACUCGCCUUUGUUUGCCAAAAUGAAAAAGAUGUUAAAAAUGCUUCCAAUUCCGACGAAAAAAUAACUUAUUGCUGAUCCAUGGUACUCCAUCCGUUCAGGAAAAUGAGAGCUCGAGUAUUCAUCACAUCCAUACCAAGCAAGCCCUUCCAUAAGACCUAAUAGACAGAAUUGUGGAACAAGCCAAAACAUGCUCAUAUUUUCCAAUUGUUUGAGCUUUUCCAACCUGCGAACCUCAACCUGCCAUGCCACUACACAGCAAACUGUAGUCAUCACCAUUCCAAUGAAUGUUCUCAACACUUGAGCUUGUCUCUUUUUAGUUUUUGGAACAAAAUUGGAAAUUAAAUUUUUUGACAGAUAAGAGAUCGUUGCACGAAUUAUCCCUUUAAAAGUUCGUAGAAAGAUUAAGUAUCUUUCAGAAAUCAUGUUGGCUCCCUGCUCAGGAAAAAAUGUAUUUCCUGCUGACAGAACCAAUCCAAACACAAUGAAGCUAGACCACAAUGGCAACAAUUUAAGAAGAGAUUUUGACUCCCUGACCUGGGCCACAGUGCAAAGUGUGCCUGCCUCUUCUUGUUCGUUAGAAGUACUUGAUGUCUCUAUAAUUGCCGCUUUGUCUAUCCAUCUGCAAUUCAAAGAAUUAAUUUAUUGGUAAUUUUUUAGGAAAAUAGAAAGCGACAGCUCAUGGUUUGGCAAAAUGAUCACACAGACGCGUUUAUGAAUACGCCCUUUUGGACAAAUCUUGGAGGUCGGUGUGACUAUUCCCGAACACAAAAGGGUAUUAAUGUGUCCAUAAAGAGGUUUAUAUAAUUAUUAAUAAAAAUAAGAGGGUCUCCCCGACAAUUUUGCCAGACCACGGGCCGGGUGUGGGUGUAUACAUGUUAGGCAUAUACCUGAGUAAUUUGAUUCUGGGUGACAAGUGUAAUACGUUUCCCUCAUCAUUACUGAAGAACAGCUCCGGAGAAAGAGGAUAAUUGAGAUGCUUUUUCUUCAGGGAGGUUUUAAUAACGCGGAUUAUAGCAAAACGGUCAAUAGGAGGUAUUUGUCUACUAUGAUAAAAGGGAAUACCCGACAACAAGAGGAUCAAACUGCCCCCCAUAAACAACAAUGUGAACAUGAAAGUCUUCUUCCAUGUCUUAAUAUUAUUUGCAUAGAAUGCCGCAGCUGCACCACAGCACCAGGCAAACCGCCACCACACUCUUUUCUGAGCCAUUACUUGAUCCUCAUUUGAAUUUUCUGUUCUCCCUCCUUUACCAUGUUCUCUUAAUUGAUCGGCAAGAAAUGGUCCCAAAAGAGGCGCCGCUCCAACUUCACCCACUGCUAACAGGAUAAUUCCUAUCAUGUUGAGUAGCUCAAAGUUGGUUUCUGAAAAUUCUCUGGACGCUGUACAGAACAAUAGCCCCAAUGCCUGAAACGAAAAUUGUUGGAACUAAUUCUAUAGCAUGACAUUAUGAUCCUAGAAAUGCUUUUCUUAAUCAUUAUUAUAAUCAAAGUGGAGCCAAAAUGAAUUAAUGUCACAUCAAUUGUAAUUUAACUAUUGAGAUCUCUAGCAUUAUUUUUAUAAGGGUAAAGCUCCUAAUAUCCUCUUAUUAGGUAUGUGUGUGUAUAUAUAUAUAUAUAUAUAUAUAUAUAUUUUUUUUUUUACAUGCUGUGAAAUUUAACAUUUACUGCAAAAUAAUAAAUUUUUAAUUCAGCUCAAAGUACUAUAAAGUCCUGGGUCCGCCCCUGAAUAUAUAUAUUGCUUGCAAUGAUAGACAUAUGUUUUAAUUUCGUCUCUGUUUAGAAGUUUAGCAAAUUCAAAACAUAUUAACUUACAAGGAUGUAGGAGACAGUUGAAAAAAUGAGGAUUCUGAGAGGACGAAUGGCAUAACACGAAAUCCAGGCGGCAACAAUCGUAAGAGUUGCUAAUAUUACAUCCUGAACACUCGUAAAUAUUGCAGCUUUCUGAAGUGUGAAUACUUUUGAAUAUUCGGAGUCGGAGAAGUAAGUUAUCAAGACGCCCACUAUAGCCAAGUCUACGAGUUUGCGGCUUAUCAACAAACCUGGAAUCAAAAUAAUCAUUAGAAAAAAUGUUCGUGCUCACUAAAAAAAGCUUACACAUGAGGACUGCAAGAACAACGUGAGAGAACUAUUGUCAUGUUUUUAUAAUUUAGCCCAACCUAAUCAAAGAUCUUAAGUACACCUCUCUUAACUGAAAUUAUUCUAGGGGAUUAUCUAUUUAGGAAUCUCAAAGUUCAUGAGCUCUUAAUACAUACACACAUACAUAUACAUACAUACAUCAUCAUGUUGUUAAAGUAAUGAUGUUAGUAAAAUACAAAAAAAAUAUAUGUACAUGUAUUAAAUUGUAUGGUUUAACAGUAUUAGUACAAAUAAAUAAAUUACAUGAUUUUGUAGUGCAUUGAAAAUUAAUUCUAUUAAACUAUACAAUUUACUAGUGUGUCUCCAUUAAAAAAAAUAAAGACCCUCAUAUAUAUAUAUAUAUAUAUAUGUAUACAAGUUUAUGUUCUGAAUAAAUACAUUUUUAAAAGAUAGGAUUACCUAAGGCCCCACAUGCAAAAUUACCUGACAGAAAUGCAGCAGCCUUACAAAAGCAGACGUAAUAUCGUACCCAAGUUAUGAACCUGUUUUGAAGCUUCAACAGCUGAGAAAAUGGAAACAUUGUAGUUUCUGAAACUGCUUUUAUCUGCAAAGACUUCUACUUGUGAGUUGUGAAUCCCGAGACGAUGAAGAUUUUGUAAUUAUGCCAAAGUCUUUUAGGUAGUUUAUUCAAAUUAAAAAAUAAUAAGUCGCACUUCAAGACCACCUAUUGGUCACAUCAAGACCACCAUUUGGUCACAUAAGUCUUCUUUUUUUUCUUGUGACUUUCAUCCAGCUACGGUCCAACAGGUGCACCGUGCCCCUCUUUUUGACAGCACCCCUUACUUUCUUCUGUAUUUAUAGUUUAUUAAAGUAAUUUCUUUUUCCUCUUUCUUUCACCCCUCACCUUUACAAUCUUCCAAUUUUUUCCAUUUUCAAUUAAACCUGUAAUCAACCAAUUGCAAGCAAUAAGAAAAAAGUUGGCAAGCUAUUUGCUCUAUAAUACACAAGUAAUUAGGGGUGGGCAAAAUAUCCGACCUGAUCCGACUCGAAAAAUUUUAGAUUCGAAUCGGAUCGGGUUGUUAAUAUAACCCGAUCGGAUGAAAUAUUGCAAACCCGAUCGGGUUGUGAUCGGAUCGGAUAAAACCCGAUCCGAUCCAAAAACCUGAUCGGGUUGCUAAAAAAAAAAAAAAAAAUCUAUGGCCAAACACACACACACGGCACACAGCACACCACACAUAAUCACACAAAUCAGUGAAAUCAAAUACUCAAAAGGUUACACUUUACAGUUUACACAAACACAAAACACACAAAAACAAAAAAAUCACAACACCCAACCCGUGAACCCACCCUCAAGAAGCAAGAAAACAUUCUCUCCUUCCCGCAAUCUGCUGCUGCCGUGUUGCGAGUCCGGCCAUCUGCUGCUGCGUCAGCGAUCUGCUGUUGCCGUGCUGUUGUCAUGCUGCUGCCGUGUUGCGUCCAGCCAUCUACUGUUGCGUCCACGAUCUGCUGCCGCCGUGCUGCGUCCACGAUCUGCUGCCGCCGUGCUGCGUCCAGCCAUCGCGAGGAAACUGCUGCGCGUCCAGCCAUGCGCAAGCUGCUGCUGCACGCCCACCGAUCUGCUGCCGAAAACCCAGCCGCCGAUCUGCUGCUCCAAGGCUCAAGCUCCAACCCGACCCGAGUUUCUCCCUUAGUCCCUUAUGUGUUUUGAAUUUUGAAGCUUUCAUGGUGUAUUGGUAUAUAUGUUUUGAAUUGACCCGUUUAAUUUGACCCGAAUUGGUUUAAUUUGACCCGAAUUUAAUAUGAUCCAUUUUUUAUUCGAACCGAUUCAACCCGAAUUCAACCCGAUUUUUGACCUGAUCCGAAUAUAUAUCGGAUCGGAUCGGGUCGGGUUGUAAGUUCGGGUUGUAUUCGGAUCAAUGUUUGCACAACCCGAAUAACUCGAAACCCGAUCGGGUUGACCCGAACCUGACCCGAACCCGAUUUUGCCCACCCCUACAAGUAAUAAUGAAUUGAAGUUUUUAUAUAAAAAAAUUACAUAGAUGUAAUUUUUUUACGCACACUAUUUAUCAUCUACAAUGAAAUUAACAUGUAAGUAAAUUGCUUUUUUUAUCUUUUAUUAUAUGUAUUCUUCCCCUUUCUCCCCCGUAUGUCUUUUCAUUUUCUCUUUGAAUAAUCUAACCUAAGGCUUUCUAAUAAUUGGUUUAUUGUUAUUAUUUUUAUAAGUAAACCUUCUCUUUGUUAUGUCAAUAGGUUUAUUUAAAAAAAAAAAAUUCGUAAAUGACCAAAAGUGAGAACCUUAAUAAAAAUUCAAAACCUAUCUUAGUUUUUGUUGUCUUUGUUAAUGCAUCUUGCAUGUUUGAUGUCUUAAUUAUAACUUGUGAGAGUAAGUACUGUAAUACAAUGAUGAUUAAUGAUUAUUACUAAGAGUAUUCAGAGAAAAAGAAGUUGGUGUAAAAUUUUAUAAACUUUGAGUUUUCUAAAUUUUCACUAAACAAUAGGGAUUGCAUUAUUAAUAACUAAAUAAACACAUCCAUAACCUUGAAACUACAUUUGUGUAAGUUCUUUCUCUUUGUAAUGGUUACGAAGACUGACAAUUUUCUAUUGAAGUUAUUUAUACAUGUAAUUCUUUUUCAGCAUGUAAUACAUUUAGGAAAUGAGUAAUGAUUAAGUACAAACACUUUUAGAUAAACAAUGUUGUACGAACUUAUGUGAUAUUUUUUAGAAAAAAGGAUCUGAACAUCCUUAAGAUUUUAAAAAAUGGUCAUUUAUACUUUGAGUUUUCAAUACAGAACAUCAAGACACUUUUUGACUAUAGUAUUCUUAAUAGAUAAUAACAAAAAAUAUUGAAUUUAAACAUUUUAAUAAAUAUAAAUAAAAUUUAAAUAGUUUAAUAUGUCUAGUAGACUAAUAAUAUUAGAAAUUUCUAGUAGACUAAUAAUAUUAGAACAUUUCUUAAUAUGUAAAUAAUUUUUAAAAGAUAAAUUAGUAUAUUUAUUUUAAUAAUAUAUUUUUACUUAUUAUAAAAAUUGUAAAUAAAUCUUUAGGUUAGAUAGAUUUUAAAUUUAAUAAAAUAAAUGUCAUGUACUAAUAAUAUUAAAACUAUUUUAUAUAAUAUUGAAAAUAAUUUAAAUUUUAAAUUUUAAUAUUAUCUUUCGAUUUAUUUUGAAAUUUAGUUUAAUAUAAUUUAAUGUUGUAAAGUAUUAAAAUAUUUUAAAAAUAUUGAAAUUAUUUUAAAAUGUAUAUAUUGUUACAUUUAUUUUAAUAUUAUACUUCUAUUUAUUAUAAAAUAUUAAAAAUAAUAUUUUAAUUAAAAGGGAGUUUUGGUGUCUCUUACUGAAAAAUAGAGUGUACAUAAUCAUUUUUUCAAAUUUUCAAGGGUGUACAUGUCAUUUUUCUUACUUUUUUAUAAUCAAUUGAAUAAAAAAAAAGUCAUUUGGCCACAUAAAUUAUUUCUAAUUUAUAUUUUCAAUCAACAAAUCAUAAUGUGUCAUAUCUAUUUGUAUAAGUAUUUAUGAACAUAAAAAAUUAAGUUUAGGCACUAGUCGGGUUGGAAAUCAACUCAUCCAAACCCAUGUAUAGUGCUAGUUGGGUGAGUUGGACUUAUCUCGAAGACCCAUUUUCUGUCUUUGAAAUAUCAAUAUGAAAUUAAAAUAAUUAAAAAAUAAUUUAAUUGAAACAACUAAAGAUAGAAUACAAAAUUACAAAUAAUAACUAUCCCUGAAACUUCAUUGUUAAUAAAAAUAAUUAUUUGUAUAGGAUCCUAAUUACACCAUAAAAAGUAAUAGGAUGAAUUCAAGAGUUGGGUUUGAAAAUUUUCAACACCUAGUAAAUAUAGUGCAUUUUCUCCACCCCUAUGAAAUUAGGGGUUGGCUUUCUACUUGAUUUUAAGUAGCGAAAAUGAUCAAAACUACCUUAUUGUUUGUUGAAACUAUAGGGUGAAUUUAAGAGUUGGGUUUGAAAGAUGCAAUAUGCUCAUAUGUAUAUAUGAACAUAUUGCAUCUUCACUAUCUUAUCCCCAGAAUUUUUGCACCAAAUCGUGGUAUAAGAAUAAAAAUUCGCAACUCGAAUCAACAAAGUAUAUCACUAAGUUAUUCUGCAAGCCGCCAAAUUGGAAAAUGUCCCAAAUAAUUAAUUAACCACAGCGACUUGAUAGCUUAACUUUUUCCAACGCUGAGAGUCCUUCAUUCUUCCCUAUUGAGGAUUGGUUAUUGUAAACGUCUGUUGGAGUAACAUGGGGAUAGUGCGGAUGAUUUUUUUCGGAUAGCAACUAUUUAAUUGGACCAUAUUGUCUCGAGCAACUGUUAUUCAUAUAAAAAACUUCCAAUUGAAAUCGUUGAGCCUCGCCUUCUUGACAACACUCUGUGAUAGGCACUCUUGAACGCGACACUGGUAAUCAGCUGCAUAAACAUAUAAAAGAACACUAUAAUUAAGUUAUAUGAUGGAUUCAUAAUAGUCAAAGUUGUGCAUAACAUCUACUUGCCUGCAUCAUGUAGCCUAAGUUUACAACUAGAGCCCCGGAAACUGGGGUAAUAUCAAACCAUUGAUCUUCACAAAAGACUUGGAGGCCACAAUUCGAUCUUGUAUGAGCAUAGUGACAAAUCCAGGGUCAGAACGUAUUGUUACGCCAAUUGUCAAUUUCGGAUGAGGGCUUUCUGGGUAGUGACUAUUCCUAAUAGUCAUUUCCUCUACAGAACCUGUGUCUUUCAGGUAACUGGGGCCAAACCCUAAAGCUUCAGACAAAAUUUCAAACAGAGUGAAUUAGCAAUUGACGUUGUUGGAGAAAAAUCAAUUUUUAUUUUUUUUUUAAAAAAAAAACUUUUUAGAGUCGAUCUCAUACAAUAUAUAAGAAUUCAUAAUUUAGAAAUUAUACCUUGAAAAUAUGAGAAAAUGAACAAUCUUUGCUUUUUCUACUGAAGUGAAACUAGGCUCCCAUAUCACGAUUUGUCACCACCACACCUGUUAGAUCAUAAUCUGUCACCACCACGCUUGUUAGAUCACGAACUAUCACCAAUGAUUUUCUAGAUUAUGACUCAGGUUUGAUCUGCACUUGACGUGUGGGUGCUUUUAUCACUACCAAUAGCAACUAGUAUGAGAAAAUUUUUCUCUCAAGAUUAAAGAGAAAUAUUCUUUUUCUCUUAUCUGUAUAAUGUGGCCUUAUAUCUUUUCAAGAGAAAAUAAGCCCUUUUAUAUCUUAUCUAGUGGAAAUCCUAAGCUCUAUAUUUUUUAUUUUUUAAUUCUAUUAACACAAGGCCCCUUACACAUAAGCAUAUUACAUGGAGCCUCCUACUAAAUAAUAUAUUUAGGCUUUUAACCCAAAUAGCUAAUUAUCUUACUUAUUAAUCCAGUAGCGGCGCAGUCAAUUAAAUGAGCUAACCCAAAGAUCAUUUGAGAACAUACAAUAGUGGCUACAAUAAUUAGGCAUGUAAUCAAACUAGCCCAAUUAUUUAAUUCUAAAUCUACUCCACUAAAAGAUUGGAACUGACUUCCACAAUUGUAUGCUUGAAUAAUAAUUCAUCCCAAACAACAUUGAUUUCUUUACUGCAUAAUCCUUUGUACCACAUCAUUAAUUAAAUUGAUAUCUCAACUGUCCAAUCAAUUUAACUACAUCUUGUUCCUUGAUUCUUACUGGUUUUCUCUAAUGAUCAUUUUCAACAUACUAAAUAUGUCGACACACUCUGACCAAAGAAUUCUAUGAUCAAGUGCCGAAAACCUAUCAAGAGAUGUGUUGUACAAAUUCUAUAUUGUCAAUCUAUAACUCCAAUACUCAUAAUUGGUCUCAUCAAGAUACCGGAUAAUCUUGACUACAAGUAUGUGUCGUGCCCAUUGGUAAUUCAAAUGGAAUAACAAUUAUAAUCAUGAAAUCAUAAUUAACUCAAGAUUAAGAUUGCAGUAAAAUCCACGUCUAUGAGAUUUAAUAAGUCUGACAGUAAUUACAAAGUUAAUUAAAUCUCAUAUGUUAUCUUGUUCAAUGUAGUCUUACUAUAUCAAUAAAUUCAUACAUGAAUAAGACAAAUCAUUCAAUGAAUUCAUUACAGUCUAUACCUAAAUAAAGUGCCCAACUUUAUUUAUCAACUGCGAAUUAAAUUUAUUUAAUCAUAAGAUAACUUGUAUUUAUGUCUUCUAUAAUCCACAUGGUGAUUCUUGUACAAAUUUAUUGAACUCGCAAGUGCACGAAUAUAUUGUAGAAUAGAUUAAUGGUGACAAGUGUCGAUCCCACGAGAAAGUGGAUUUUAAUUAUGUGUAAAAUUAAUUUUCUAUGAGGGUGGUUGGAUUUGUGGUGAAAAUGAUUUGGAAUAUUCUAAACAUUAAAUUAGAAUGGCAGGAAUAAAUUAAAGGAAAAUCUAUUGAAAUAAAGCACUUGGGUAUCUGGAUCUGCAUUAACAUGCACCAUGUGCUAAAUAUUCCUUAGUAAUGCCAAUUAAAUCAUGAGGGGGGUUUCUACUCCUCAUGAACCACACUCUAAUCAAUAUGGUGUUAAGGGCUUAUUGUGGCAAACAAUAAUAACCUUGUACUAGGGAGUCGGUUAAAUCAGUGCAGUAUCCAGACAAGAUUAUUACUAUUUGUCGACGAAAAGUCAAAAUAUCAACAAUAAUUAGAGGAGAAGAGAAAGUAAAUUUACUAAAUAAAGCCCAUGACACAUGUUGAGACUUCACCAACCCAAACUUGAAAGAAAAUUAGCUACUUAUAAUUGAACUAAGGGUAAAAUGAGAAUUUAUUAAAAUACAUAGAAAAUACAAGAUGGAGAAGGAAUUACAGAAAAUAGGCUCAAAAAUGAAUUCAAAAAUGCCAAAUUAGGGAGGAGCCCCCCUUUUAAUAGAUACACUGAGUAAAUCAUGGCCAUCAGAUUAAAAACAUUUUGGACGCUCAAGAUUGCGCCACGUCAUCGGUCAACAGUACGUGGUUUGACCACGUGGUUUGGUUGUAAAUAAUCUCGUGUAUAUGCAUGUACCGUACGCACUAUUUUUUAUCCACUAACAUGCUGCCACGUCACCGAUCAACAGUACAUAAGAAUUUUAGUCUAAUAAAAUCGUGACAUCUCAUCAGUCAAUACCACAUCAUCAGUCAAUGCCACGUCAUCAUUUUGUAUAUGUGAAUAGUGUCGUGAACAGUAACAUGGAUAGUAUCGUAUCUGUGAAUAGUACCGUACAUGUGAACAAUUCCAUUUUUCCUUUUAAACUCCUCCUAAGAUUUUCGACUGUCCUGAUCUCAAAAGUGAUGUCUGUUUUGCUGUAUGAUCUCUCGUUCAUUGUGAAAUGACCAUGAUGCCCCUAAAAUACAUAAAAUAUUUAAUUAUAAUAUAAUACACAUAAUUAAAUCAUAAGGAACUUAAAUACAUAAAAGUAUGAAUGUUAGUGAAACUUGAAGUGUAAAAUGACGAUUUUCUCCUUCAUAAAUAUACACUUUCUAACACUCAAAAGUGAUCACAUAAAUACAUAUAAUAUGAUUAAAUGGACUUUAAUCAAAAUAUUAAUGCAAUUAAGAUAUUUGAAUAAAAUACCUUAUUUAUUUUAUUAAUCAGAAAAAUUGUUUAUUACAAUUAAAUAAACACUUAUGCUUUUAAAGAGCAUAUUUUCCCAACAGGCGUAUCUCAUAAAGCCAACUUCGGUGGUUGGGGUAUCCUGCCGUGCAACACUGUAUCUCUUAUAGUCAACUUUUACGACUUGGACAAUUUGUAUUUUACCGAUUGUCCAUUGAAUUAAUUUGUUUUUGCUGAAAAUGAAUAUUAAAAAAAGAUUAAAAUAAAUAAAAUUAUAAAUAAUUAAAAUCACAGAUUGUCCCAGACCACCAAUAAAACCUCUAAAACUAAAAUUAUAAGCUCCUCCGUAAGAUCCACCAUUAUAUUUCUUAUUACCACUAGCAUUCUUUCAAGGAUUAAAAUGGUUUUGAGUUACAUUAGCUAACAAGUUAUGUGUGACAUCACUAGCAAUUUUACCUCUUGUCUGUUCAACUCUAUUCUCCUGAUUUAGCAGUAAAGAGUAAAAUUCAUCAAGGCUGAUCUUAUCACCUCCAGCUAACACACUGAUAACUAAAGACUCAUAAUCAGAUGAAUCUAGUCUAGUCAAAAUAUAUUGAACAAAAUCACUUAACUCAACAGAUUUUCUAGCUAAAGCCAGACUGUCAGACAAUCUCUUCAUUUUAACAAAGUAAUCAAUCAUAGACAUUGAUCUUUUUUUGAGUGUUUGAAUAUGCAUCUUAAAGGCAUUAUUCUAGCUUGAGAUUGUAAAGUAAACAUACUUGUGAGUGUAUCCAAAAGCUCUUUAGCAAUGGAGCAAUGAACGAUUGUAGCGAGUAGAUUUUGCUGAAUAGAUGACAACAUCCAACUCAAAACUAAUUGAUCUGUCUUCAUCCAGGCUGUGUAUGCUGGAUUGACCUUUCGAUUUUCAGUAAUAGUUGAGGACCAACUUCAGUGCUAGCUAGUGUGAGAAAUUACUCCGAACAAGUUUGAUCACCAUUAAUGAAAUUAUCCAGAUCGUUUCCUUUGAUGGAUGUUAAAACCUGAGUUUGUCAGACAAUGAAAUUAUUAUGAUCUAGCUUAACAGGAUUGAUAAAACUAUAGGAUCCAGAAAAUUGAUUAGAACUGACCAUUGUAGGCUCUGAGAUCAUGAUAGAAUUUGUAAUAUAUAUGUCUGGAAAGCAAGAAAAUUAAGGAGAAAAAGAUAGAAAGAAAAGAAGAAGAAUUUAGAAUAUGUUAAUUGUUCAUUACAUUACAAAUGUGAUUAUAGCCUUUGUAUUUAUAUUAAGUGAAAUGCUUAACUAUAAUUUGUUAUAACUGGAAUAGGUGCUAAACAGUUCGUUAGCUAGAAGGCUGAGAUGGCUAACUAAUUAUUCCACGUUAGCAAGAGCACUCAUGUAUGGUCCUCAUCCGUACUGUAAUUAUCAUACUCUGUAACAGUUCUUCUACAUCUUCUUGCUCUUCAGGACCAAGUGUACUUCGUGGGUCUAUAAUUGCUGCUUUGUCUAUCUAUUUGCAAUUCAAAGAAUUAAUUUAUUGGUCAUUUUUUUAGGAAAAAAGAUAACGAAACAUAGUUGUUUGGUAAAAUAGUCAUGUGAACUCUUUCUUCAAAACAUAUAUAAAAACAAACCUUGGAGAUCAGUAUUGUCUAUGUGAUAAUUUCUAAAAAUAAGAGGUCUACCUGACAAUUUUUUCAAACCAUGGGAUGUUGGUAUAUACUCUUUAAGUAUGUACCUUAGUAAUUUGAUUCUAGGUGACAAGGGUAAUUCAUUUUCAUCAUCAUUACAGGAGAAUUGAUCUGCAAAAGAAGGAAAAUUUAGAUGCCUUUUCUUCAGGGCAGCUUUAAAAAGACAGAUUAUAGCAAAACCGUGAAUAAGAGGUAAUUGUUUACUAUGGUAAAAGGGAAUACCCAACAGCAACAAGGCCAAACUGCUCCCAUAACCAAUAUUGUGAACCUCAAAGUCCUCCGUCAUGUUUCCAGAUUAUUUGCAGGGAAUGCUGCAACUACAUUACAACACCAGGCAAGCUGCAGCUAUACUUCUUUUUGAGCCUUUACUUAUUUCUCAUUUGGAUUUUUUGUUCUCCCUUCAUCACCAUGUGCUCUUAAUUGAUCGACAAGACAUGGUCCUAAAAGAGGCCCCAUUCCAAAGUCACCCACUGCUAACAAGAUCAUUCCUAUUACGUUGUGUAGUUCAAAUUUAGUUUCUAAGAAUUUACUGGACGCUGUAUAAUACAAUAGCCUUAAUGCCUCCAACAACAAUAGUCGGAACUAAUUGUAUGGCAUAACAUUAUGAUCCUAAAUAUGCUUCUUAAUCAUUACUAUAGUUAGGAGCGGAACAAAAUUGAGAUUUAGGGGGCCAAGUGUAAUUAAGGUAAUUAUUUCAGGAUUAGAGAGUAUUAGUUAUUUUCUGGGGUUAGGAGAUGGGGUUCACGUUUAUGAAGCCACCAUAUAAAGAAAAACAACUAGUUUGAAAGUUGAAAUUACAAAUUUAUAUAGUGUGAGAUUAUUUCAACCUACUAAAAUAUAUGUUAUUUUAAAGACUAAUGAGCUUGCGGCUUUGAAAAGGUUGGAAUGUUAUUUGGUUGGAGAGGGACUCGGUUUCAACUUUAACUUGUCUUACGAGUACCAAAUUCAAGCCGUCGUAGCAUCUGCAUAUCAUAUAGUUGAAUUGUUUGAGAGCCUAAAAGUCAAAUAUUGUGGAUCAUAUCAAAUGCCAAAUGUUGGAUAAUCUUUUCCAAAUGUUGGAUAACAAGAAAAGGGAUGCACACAAGACCGCUGACUGAAAAUAGAAAUAAUUGGACAAAUAAAGCCCAAACCACAACUCAUCAUAAUCUUUUUGUUACUAAUGGAAGCUAAAAGCACCUGAGUUAUCAACUAUUCACAUUUUCUAUUAGAUACUGAUGCUUGAUACAUUCAUCAUGAUAUCCAGAAACAAUAAAAUUAAGCUAGUACAAAGAUAUCUAAAUGAAGAUGAUAAUAUCAUAGGCAAGAUAUGGUCCAAUUGAUUAGGAAAAUCAAGCUAAGGUAAUUUUUUUUAAUACUAAAUGCUUAAUUAAAAAGGACAUCAUUAUAUGUUUUAUACAUGCACAAAUUGUCAUUUAUUUGAGGCAUGUCUAAUAUUUAGUAGAGUGACAAAUAUACUUGAAAAUGUAUAAAAAUUAUCAAAUAAUAUGUGAGAAAUAUAGUUAUUUUUGUUGUAAUAUUAAUGCAAUAAACUUUUAUCGUAUCAUAUCGGCAUGUUUAAAGAGGAAAAAAAAAACUCAGAGACUCAAAAAUUCCAAACUUUAAUGUGUAGCUGGCAUUUAUUUGUAGGCUCAAUUGAAGUACAGAAGUCACAAUUCCAAACAACAAACAAGCUAUCAUCACUAAUCCACCAAAUUGGAAAACAUCCUCAAUUAAAUUAACCACCGCGCCUUUCCAGCUUGAGUUUUUCCAAUGCUGAUAGUCCUUCUAUUGAGGAUUGGUUAUUGUAAAUAUCUUUUAAGGUAAUUUCAGGAUAGAGCGGAGGAUUUUCUUCGGAUAGCAACUCUUUAAUUGGACCAUAUUGUCUCGAGCAACUGUUGUUCAUAAAAAAACUUUCGAUUGAAAUUCUUGAGCCUUCCUUUUUUGAUAACACUCUGUGAUAGGCACUUUUGAACUUGUCAUUGGUGAUUAGCUGCAUAAACACACAAUAAAAAAAUCCACUAUAAUUAAGUUACAUGAUGGAUUAAUAAUAGUCAAAGUGAUGCAUAACAUGUACUUGCCUGCAUCAUGUAACCGAAGUUUACAACUAGAGCUCCGGGAACUGGGGUAAUUACGAUCUGCAGUUUUCUAAUUUAACUCAUGCACGCUCGAGGCUUUUGUUUACCCUAGUUUUCAGUAUGAAAAGAGGCGCGCAUCACAUAAUACGGCGGCAAAGAAUUAUCAUUAGAAAAAUUGGAGAGAAAAAGAAGAAGAAGAUCAUAAUUCAAGGGAACAGCUGCAACAUCAUUGAAGAAUCCAGCAGAGUUAUUUGGAUUCACUUUUUGUCGUUCUCGACUUAUACCUUUCUUCUUUCUCUAACUAAUCUAAUGUAUCUCAUGAACAAUAUGUUGCUGAUUGUUUAUCUCUUUCAGAAUAUGAACUAAACUCGCUUGUAUUUGAGUGACAAACAAUCUAAUGGGUUCUUGACUGUUCUUAUGAGUUGCUAUGUCAUUGCUGUAGCAUUUUACUCUAGUAGCUAUUAUUAUAACUUUUAUUUUGGUUGACCACCCAUUUAAUGGUUCAAGUUAAGAUAGGACCAUAAAAGGGCAUGUCUUACUGGAUAUUAUUAUAGUAAUACUUGAUCUUAAUUUAAGUUUCCUAGAUUACGUUUAUCUUGAAUCCCAUAAGGGCCAUACUUAAAGUUAAGAUUUGUGAUAAACUAGACAUAAGUAUUCACCUUGUAGGGUGGAGAGAAUGGAUGUUCAUAAUGUCAUGCCAUAGGUAAAAUAGCAACUGGCCAUUGUUAAGAUGUUUACGGGUAUGAGACUUCCAAUAUGCGACAACUGAGGAUGCAAAUUAAAUUCUGUCCAGUGCUAUAGAAAUUAUUGUAGCAACUGGUGUUAACUUGAUGAAAAGCAGUUAACCCAUAAAAAGAGUUUGAUCAUUCAACUACCUUAUUCUCAUUUGAUUCUUCGACGCAUUUUAUUUAAUUUGUUUCAUUACUACAUUGUUUAACUUUAUUCUCUCACAAUUAUCAAUUUCAAUAGUAACCAACUUUACAUUUGUUAAUUUAGGAAUCAAGUUAGAUUACACUAUCGUGAUUGCUGUAGCAUUUCUAGUAAUAUCAAUCCUUGUGAAGACGAUCUUAAAUAUUCAUCACUUUAUUACUUGUUCUGUACACUUGCACAUUGACAUAAAUAAAAUUUGAUAAAAAAUACCAACAAUGAGAUAGGGGUAAACUUCAGGAUGUGCUGCGCUUUUUAAUUGUUGUGUAGAUUCUUUUGAUUCCUAUCUCUAGUGGAGAACCAGAUGUGAUUUUGUGAGACCUUUCUCCUGAUGGUAGUUUUUCUUUGAGGACUGCUUCAAAUAUUGUGCAUUGGACAAUGCCAAGUGAUGAGGCUUUUUUUGUUAUUUGACAGCGACAUCUUUUCCUGGAUAUCUUUUUUUCUCUAGAGGUUGUGACACAAAUUCUUGACCACAGAUGAUGCCUCGUGUUCGGGGGAUUUCUGCAUAGUUUCUUAGUAUCUUUGUGGUCGGGCUUAUGAGACUUCUAGGUAUUUUCUUUCUUGGUUGCCCUCGAGUUAGGCCAGUUUGGGUCCAUUUUCUAUGUACUCUUGGUUUGCGCUAUGUUGCUUUUCUAUUCCCCCGUACUUUAUUUCUUAAUUGGUAGUGAUGUGCCCUUUCUUGGAGCCAUAUUCGAGUUCUUCUUCCUUGUUUCAUUUUGUGGCGAGUUUAGAAGGCCUGUAAUGCAUUGAAGUUUGACUCAAUGGCCUUUUUUGUUGAUGCUGUUAUUUAUUGGGCAAUGUUGGAUCUUAGGCUUGCUGGUUCUGCCUUUGGUCUUAAACCAUCCCAACUGUGAGGAGUUCUAGGUUCUCGAUUUGUAAAGUUCUUGAGAGUUGUUGUUUCAUCCAAGAGGCUGAUUCUUUUAGUUUUUUGGCAGUGGUCACCACCUGGGGCGGUGAAGCUGACUAUUGAUGGUUGCUUUAGGAGUAAUCCUAGGAUGGCUGCUUCAGAUAGUAUUUUACGUGAUGAUUAGGGUGUGGCUUUGGCUGCUUUUGGUUCCUUCCUUGGGCGCUCACUGAUCUUUCAUGCAGAAUUCAUGGCUGUUUUUUAGGGGUUAGAGUUGGUGCUCAGCUCCAUUAUUCUGUGCUUGACGUAGAGUUGGACUCAACCAUGGUGGCUUCUUGGAUUCUUUUCUAAGGCCUUGUUCAUACGGACUAUACCUAUUCUUUGCAUCGGGUGUGUAGUUUGACAUUUUCUUCUACUUCGUGGUUAGUCAUGUGCUUCAGAAGGUUACUUCUACUGCUGAUUUCUUUGGCCUGCACUCUUCAAGGUCAUUUGUGUUUCUUGGGUUCUCAGGAUAUAUUUGCUAGCUUAUCUAAUAAUCUCCGUUUGGAUAUGUGGGUAAUUUCUCGUAUCAGGCAAUAGGAUUGCUUAUUUAUGUAUUCCAUUUUUUAUCUUGUAUUUUUCUCUUUUCCAUUCUUAUGUUCUUGCAAUUGCGGUUUUGAUUUAUAUUCACCUCCUUAUGUAUUUGAUUCAUUCUAUGAUUUAUAUGAAAGAUAGGAGUUCCACCUAACCCCACCUUUUUGUGGUUAAAAAAAAAAGAUCAGGAAUUCAACCUAGAUCAUCAAGGUAAAACAUCAAAUAGGUUGUAAAUUUAACAUAUGAACGUAAAAGCUUAACAAAACAUUUGAAGUUGCUUGACAACAUAGAAAUACAAGCAAAAAGAGAUGCUAAACAACACAAAAUUUUGAUUGGGUGGGAGUAUUGUUCAUGCUAGCAUAAUAAUGAGGUGCCUGAGAAUACCUAAGACUUUCUUGAUAAAUAAUAUCAUCUAAAAGGUUAGGAAUCACAGAUAAUUGUCCACGUAUGAACAAACCUAGCUCAAAAUGUGAAAUGUGUUAAGAUUUUCAAACAUUUAAAUUAAUAGUUAAUAAUUUCAGACAAAGGAUUCUUGGAGACCUUAAAGUUCACUGAUUCUAUCUUAUGGCUCAUUGUCUCUCUCAACAAUUUAAUUUCUAGAUUAUUUGGCUCCUAUCUAUUAAAAGACAACACCGUUACUAAAAUUAUAAAUUAUAACAGUUAAACCUAAACCUACGUCGUUUAGCAAUUUACGAAAGAAAAAAAUAUAACAAAAGCCAAUUGUUGGAGUAGCAACGUGCCAACGAGAAAACCUCAAGCCAUGUAAUAUCAUGUGUCAACAACUAAAGAAGAACAAACCACCACCCUCUAGGUCGUCGCUGCACUAACGCUGGGCCCGAUUUGAAUAGUUAGAAGUUGUAACAUUAAUUAGGGAAUGAGGGCAAAAUUUUGGACUUCGAUUUAAUAAAAUUGAUUUAAAUGAGUCCCAAUAGAAAUAUGAUUAUAAAUAUAUCAAUAAAAUUAUGACAUGUUUAAAAGAAAAAAAUUAUUUUCACACAAAACAAAAAACACAACCCUUGGAUGUGGGAUGUGUCUAAAAAAUAAUAGGGUGGAAAAAUUAUCACCCUCAAAUUAGAUAUAUAAAUAUUUAAUGUUUUACUCUUAUAAUUUUAUAAUUGUUUUUUUAAAUAUUAGUAAGAGAAAGAUAGAAAUUAAUAUAUAGACAAAUCGAGUCCUUUAUUUUAUUAUUCAUAUCCAUAAAAAGUAACCACUAUGCUAGUCCCACGAACUUAGCAUAAGACGGUAAUUUAGAAAAAAGAAAAAAAAAAAGGAACGUUUUUAGACACCAAAACAAAAGCAAAACAAGCACAAAGCGAGACAUACAAACAAAUUUUAUGCUACUGCAUAGGGGUGUUCGUGGAUCGGAUUUUACGGAUUGGAUAUCAAUCCAUAUCCGAUCCAUGAUUUUGCAGAUUAUAAUUUUUCAAUCCAAUCCAAUACACAGAUUGAUAAAAUUCAAUCCAAAUCCAAUCCAUACAUCUGCGGAUCGGAUGCGGAUUUGACUCAAUCCAUAUCCAAUCCAUACGUCUGCGGAUCGGAUGCAGAUUUGACUCAAUCCAUAUGCAAUCCACCAUUUUGCGCAUUAGUUUUCGAAUUAAAAAUUUUUAGUUCUCUCCAACUAAUGAAAUAAAAAAAAUCUAAUAUAAAAAUAAUUUUGCUACUAAUUAAAUUUAAAAUUGAAUAAAAUUUAAAUAAAUUAAUUGUUUAAAUAAAGCUAAAAUAAUAUAUUUAAAGUUUUAAAAUAUAACACAUCGAGACUAAUUAUUCAAAUAAAGCUACAAUAAUACGUUCAAAGUUUCAAAAUAUAACACACAAAGCUUAAUUGUUCAAAUAAAGUUACAAUAAUACGUUAAUAUAACACCAAAAUUAAUUAUUCAAAUAAAGCCACAAUUAAUUGAAAAUGGCGAAGUUUUGGAAACCAAACACAGUUUGAUCCUUCACCAAGGCUGUUGUGCCUGUCGAAAAGUGGUGAUUACGGAGCCAUUCACGAUGGGAAUCAGGAGAAGCCGUACGGGUGGCGAUCUUGAAGGUUGUGAUUGUGAAAUUGUUCAAUUGGAACCAAUGAAUGUGAAGUGGCUCGAUGGACUUGGGAAAGAAGAUGGCUUGCUCUCGCCAGAAUCGCGCAGCCGAUGUCCUUUAAAUCCGUGUCGAGAGUGUAUCCAACCAGUAUUAAGUGUUGCUAGUGUGUAUGACGGUGGGGAAGUUUAGGGUUUUUUGUUUGUAAAUUGGUUGUAACUUUACGUUAUGUUACUUUGCUUUUGCUAGUGCGUGUGACUUUGCUUUUAUUUUGUUUUACAAUUUUUACAAGUUAUAUUUGUAUAUUUGAUUAUUUAAUUAUUUUUCAUUUUAUAUUAUUAUUAGGUAAUGGCUAAGAUAUGUUAUAAUGUUUAGUAACUAUGUAAUGUCAUAUUUAUAAUUUUUUAAUUAUAUAUAUAUAUAUAUAUAUAUAUUUUUUUUUUUUUUGCGGAUUCACAGAUUUCUGCGGAUUUACAGAAGUAAAUCCAUAUCCAAUCCAUCGACUGCGGAUUUUUAAAUUUUCAAUCCAUAUCCAAUCCACCAAUCCACGGAUCAGAUUUAUACGGAUCAGACGGAUUGAGCGGAUCGGAUUGGAUUCUGAACACCCCUACUACUGCAUUCAAGCAGAAGCCACCAAUUGUUCACGACGGCGUUUGAAAACAACCAACAUUUCAUCCUGAUUGGGAAGGUUUUCUUCAAUUAUAGGGACUUGCUUGAAAGUUCAAGCCACGCAUGCAAGCGAGGGAAUUUGUGUGAUACAAAUAUUUUAACUCCUACUACAUCUUCAAUGACUUGCAACCAAUAAACAAUUGAACCAAAUGCUAGGUCCACUAAGCCAAUAUUGUCUCCGUUGAAAAAUUUCUUCUCUCCCAAGCCAUGCUCUUCAACGUUUUGUAGCAUUUCCAAGGCUUCCUUCGCUGUGUUUUGUAGUUCUUGUCCAGUGCUACGAAACAUUUUCCAAAUGGCAACACCCUGCCA
RNAcentral lists this long non-coding RNA (103721 nucleotides) under Citrus maxima (pomelo). Its description in RNAcentral is "long non-coding RNA (CMAX_LNC003698)". Lineage: Eukaryota; Viridiplantae; Streptophyta; Magnoliopsida; Sapindales; Rutaceae. The record is from RNAcentral.